GGUGCAACAUCUACAAAAGCAGGAAACCCUAACAGAUACCAAGUCAAUGAGGUCUGGCGAUGAUAUUGAGACUGAACAUGCUGUCAAAGGUCUUGGGAAGCAAUUUAAAUUUUUGAAGAAGAGGGAGAACAGACCUAACCUUGUUGGCAGCAAUAAUGAGGCUAACGAAGAUGACAAUGGACCGUGCAGCAUGAAUGUGGGAACUAAUGGCAGACAGCAAAGCAAUGGCGAGCUCAAUUGUGAGAUGGAAUUGAAAAAACUAAUUUCUGAAGAAUCCUUCUUGCGAUUGAAAGAAACUGGCACUGGCCUUCAUUCAAAGGUUUCAAAAUCUCAAGUUUGUUUUGCAUUUCAACUGUAAAGUUUGCUACUUUUUGUGUUUUCAUUAUGCUAAAUUUGGUUUGUUUUAUUUUCAUAUGGAACUGGUAAAAUUAAUUUCUUGUGCAGGCAGUGGAUGAGCUUAUGAAAAUGGCAUACAAAUAUUAUGAUGACAUUGCUUUACCAAAGCUGGUACUAUUUAAUUUAUUUAGGGCCUUUGUUGCAGCCAAUUUAGACGUGUGGGGAUGGUUUAUGGACUAAUUUCCAUUCUUUAUUAGGUAACAGACUUUGGAUCACUUGAACUUUCUCCGGUUGAUGGCCGCACACUGACAGACUUUAUGCAUUUAAGGGGACUACAAAUGCGCUCUUUAGGUCGCGUGGUGAGGAAUUUCUCCCUCUCUUUCUCUCUCAGACAUGCAACCUAUUCACCCGUGGAAAUCAGAAUAAACAAAUGUUGUCUUUCUUUAUGUAAACAAAGCCCCUAAGUUAUCUUUCUAUAUGUAAACAAUCUCCCCAAGUCUUCCUGGAUUGAAUUAUCAAUGUUCCUUUUUGAAAAUUGUACUACAUGAUAGAAUUUUUGACAUGGUGACCUUUUCCAAGAUAUUGAAUUAUUGUCGUCUUUAGAUAUUACUGUAUGUUGUAUGACAUACAAUAUUUUGAGAAAUUGACAUGCUAAUACUUGAAAGCCUGGUAUUCUUCUUCUGUUGGUUCUAAUCCCAUUUACAAAUUCAGGUUGAACUUGCAGAGAAGCUUCCUCACAUACAAUCACUUUGUAUUCAUGAGAUGGUUACUCGAGCGUUCAAGCAUGUACUUAAAGGAGUCAUCGCAUCUGUUGACUAUUUAUCAGACCUAUCUGCAGCUAUAGCUUCUUCCCUAAAUUUCUUAUUUGGCUGUUGUGAGAUGGAAGAUGAGCAAAGCUUGAAUGAAGAUCAUAUCCUUAGAUUGCAGUGGCUACGAACAUUUCUUGGCAGAAGAUUUGGUUGGUCCCUGAAAGACGAGUUUCUGCAUUUGAGAAAGAUUUCAAUUCUACGUGGGCUUUGCCAUAAGGUAAGGUACUGUCUUUUCGGUUCCUUUGGCAGCGGAUUAUUUUCAAAGCUUGAAUUUUGCUUGUAAACUUUACCCAGGUUGGGUUGGAGUUGGUUCCAAGAGAUUAUGAUAUGGAAUGCCCAAACCCAUUCACGAGAGAUGAUAUUGUCAGCAUGGUUCCUGUGUGCAAGGUGAGACUAUUUUCUCUCUUAAUUGUGUUUUGAUUUAGUUUUUACAUUCUCAAUGAGUCACUCAUUUGUAAAUUGAAUGUAAUUGUGCUAUUUUUAUGGCAUUCUACAGCAUGUAGGUUGCACUUCAGCUGAUGGGCGGACUUUAUUAGAGUCAUCCAAAAUUGCCCUUGAUAAAGGAAAACUAGAAGAUGCUGUAAAUUAUGGGACAAAGGUAAUAACCCACUCGAUCUAUACGUAAGAAUUACAUUAUUCUUUUCAUAAUAAGGCAUCUCUUGAUCUCAUAUGAUGUAUUACUUGCAUUGUAAGGCACUGGCAAGGAUGAUAGCUGUUUGUGGUCCCUACCAUCGGACUACUGCAAGUGCUUACAGUCUUCUAGCUGUAGUUCUCUACCAUACUGGAGACUUUAAUCAGGUACGACAAUCUUCAGUUGUAUUUCAGUGUUAACUUGGUGAUUCUAAGUCGAGUAUAAUUAUAACGUCCUUCUGUACGGAGAUUCUCAUUCAGUGGGACAUUUGAUUUGAAACUGUGUUAUGGCUAGUUUUUAUGGUCUUGUAUAAAGAUAUGCAUUAGAAAUUAUAAUUUUCUGGACUUAGGAAUUACAUGGACAGGCAUUAGCAUGAUUUUGAUAUCAGAUUAUAUAUUUUAACUAAAUCAAACACGUUCAUAGUUCUUAUGUUCUGGCAUUUGGUCUAAUGGCAUCUGCGUCUGAGUGUGAGAGUGGCGUUCGUAUGUACUCAAGAUAUCUUCUUCUUCAUUUUAGGCAACUAUAUAUCAGCAGAAGGCAUUGGAUAUUAAUGAGAGGGAACUUGGUCUUGACCAUCCAGAUACAAUGAAAAGCUAUGGGGAUCUUUCAGUUUUCUAUUAUCGCCUUCAACACAUUGAAUUGGCUCUUAAGUAAGUAGCACUGCUUGAUUUACCAGAGCAACUUUGUGAUUUUCAUUCUUUAACUGAUUAAGGUUUAUUUAUUUAUAAAUUAAAUUGGAAGUUUCAAAAAAUGUGACCUUUGUAUUGAAUCUGCUUCGAACGAAUGCAGUUUUUAUCUACCUACUUUAGCUUUCAUUUGUCUUUUAUUGGCUCUAGCUCCUGAUCAUACCGUACCAUUGGCAGAUAUGUAAAUCGUGCCUUAUUCCUUUUGCAUUUUACUUGUGGACUUUCACAUCCAAACACGGCUGCAACAUACAUAAAUGUGGCUAUGAUGGAAGAGGGCAUGGGAAAUGUUCAUCUUUCUCUUAGAUAUUUGCAUGAAGCCCUUAAAUGCAACCAAAGACUAUUAGGAGGUGACCAUAUACAGGUUUUUCUCUCUCUAUUUACGCAUGUAUACAGACUCUUUAGAAUUAUAAAUCUUUCUGUUAACUCAGAAUUUUGUUUGAUUUCUUCACGUGACAGACAGCUGCAAGUUAUCAUGCCAUAGCCAUAGCUCUUUCUUUGAUGGAGGCAUAUUCACUAAGUGUGCAACAUGAGCAAACUACACUUAAGAUUCUCCAAGCAAAGCUUGGACUAGAAGAUCUGCGUACUCAGGUGACUACAUGUAGUCAUAUUUUAAUUGGUUCUGUUGUGCAAUUUGGCUAGUUGGCUUCUUUCUUGUCAAUCUUUUACAGGUGAUAUUAUGAUAUAAAACAAAUUGUAUUGGAGGCAUAUUUUUGGUGUCAAAUAUGGAUAUGACUCAUUCAUUAAUUGUAUCGAAAUAUCAAAAUACGGAUAUGACCCGUUUAUUAAUCGUGUUGACUUGUUUAAUAUUAAAUACAAACAAAUUAAAAAUUAAUUUUAAAAUAACAAAUGUGUCAAAAAAAUGAGUUAUAAAUAAGUGAAAAUGACAUAAGUAUGACAUGAAUAAGUUUAUAACAUAAUGUGAGUAUGACAUGAGUCAUUAAUUUAGUGUUUAGUAUAUAUUUUAGUUUUUUUUUUCCAAUAAUAUUAACACAUAAUAAUUGAUAUUUGUGUUAUAAAUGUAUAAUCAUAUUGAGAUGGUCCAAAACAGAUACGACAUGGUUAUUUAUCGUGUUGUGUCAACUCAUUUAUUAAUCGUGUCAAUAUUUGUCAACACGAAUAUGGGUCAUAUGUCAUAUUAUGUUGUGUAAUCGUGUCGUAAUCCAUUUUGCCACCUCUAAUCUUAACUGUCAUAAGAGAAUUUCUCAAGUUCCAUAUUAUUGAUGGGAAGAGAUUUUUGUUAUUUUGUUGUAUUUUUUUUCGUUUUACAGGAUGCUGCUGCAUGGCUGGAGUAGUUUGAAUCAAAAGCUCUAGAGCAGCAAGAAGCGGCACGGAAUGGAACUCCAAAGCCAGAUGCGUCCAUUGCGAGUAAAGGUCACCUUAGGUAUUAACAGGGUAUUCCCACAUUACUUGUUUCUAAAUUGUUGAUUAUUUCUUGUGGCACCAAGACCUAUAAUGAUCGCUUUUUGCAGUGUGUCAGAUCUCCUGGAUUACAUUAGUCCUGGUCAAGAUUCUAAAAGAAGCGAAGCACAUAGGAAACAACGACGUGCAAAGGUAGUAUAUACUUAGUGCCUGUUUAGUAUGACUUAUCUAAUAGUCAUAAAUUUUUAUUUAAUCCCAUAAGCUGUUAUCAAUUUUUUUUUUUGUUUAAUUGUUUUUUUCGUAGAGCUCUUGAAAAUUAAAUAAGUUAUUUUGCCUCUACUACCAAAAGCUCGAAUUUUGUGCUUUUGAGAGUAGAGGUUAAAAAGUUUUUUUUAAAUCUUAAAAUAUCUAAAAUAUUUUCUACUUAUUUGAUAAUCUUAUUUUAUUCUUUCCAAAACAUAACUUUAAAAAAUUUACUUAUUAAAGUAAUUUUAUAAUUUUUAAUAAAAGCUCUUAUUGACAACCAAACAACACAAAUUUUUUGGGUAAAAACUUUACUUAUAAAAUCUUUACUAACAAAAGCUCUACUCAGAUAAGAUCUAUUUGAAAAGCUAUGUCAAAUGAAGCAUUAAGCCUGCUGCUGUUCUCUGUUCCUUUUUUCUUGUGAUGUCAUCUGAAUGGAUUCUUAAACUAAUUGUAGUUAGGAUUUGGUAUUUUAGAGUACACUCUGCUGGCUGCAUAUAGUUUUGGAUUUGCUGAUGACACGAGUAAACUUGUUGGCCAUGCAAAAUGCAACUAUAUAUCUGCAGGAUAAUAGUUCUACUUUUCUGAGUGAACUCUGAAGGCACCAAUUAUAACAUCCAUUUCCAGCAUAGAAUCCCCUGCCCAACAAAAAGAAAUCUAACAUGCUUAUACAGAUCGCAGACAUGAUUGAAACUUCAGAAGUUUCUGAUCUAUUGAUGGCCAUAGAUUGGGCCAGCUGAUAGUUAGUAGGCAAUGAUGGAGGGUUGCUUGGUCAAGCUGCUAGUUCUUUGGAAAUUCAGAGAUGAUGAGCAGAACGAGUGAUAGUUUUUGUUUUCCCCCGUAAUCAUGAACAGAGUGGGAAGAAACCAUUAAUUUGAAGUGCAAUGGAUGGAUAUGACAGAUCUAUCAUUUUGGCUAGUAGAUGGAGUUCUUCCAUUCUACUGUUAUUUAAUGGUUGUUUUUAUUGAUUCUAGAAAAACAUUUUUCGAUUUGGCAGUUGGAGUUUUGCCCUUUUUUUUUUUCUCCCCAUUUUGUAGGCCUUGGAGAACCAAAUAAUACUACAUAUUAGAUAGACAGGAUUAUUAUGUGCUAAUUUGAAGUAUUACCUGGUUGACAAUUUAAGACACUAGUAAAGUAUUUUGCUAUGAUUAUUUUUUUUUUGAGAAUUCCUUGAUUCAAAAGGCCGAAGAAUUUCAUUAGUUUAACAUAGUAUAUAUUAGCAUAAUUUCUCACUGAGUGUUUUUUUCAACAUUUCAGGCAUGUACAUAUCAAAUUCCCAUUAUGUUCCACUGAAUUCUGCCUCAUGUUAUGUCCGGAUUUGUUGUAAUAAAUUUUGCUACUGUAAAAUUACAAGAUGAUUGUAACUUAAAAUGAACUAUUUCUAUUUGCUCAAUUUUUGACAUUUUAUAUGCAUACAAGUUAAAAAGGUUUUGUUUAUUUUUAUUUUUUUUAUUUUUUCAGGUAAUGCAGAUUAGGGAAAAGAUUCAUGGAGCACAUCAUGAUAUGAUGGUGGAAGAUGCACUGCCCCAUGAUGGAUUGAAAAAGAGUAUGACUAUAGUGGAAAGCAAGACCGAGGAAGUAAUAGAAGACGGUGNNNNNNNNNNNNNNNNNNNNNNNNNNNNNNNNNNNNNNNNNNNNNNNNNNNNNNNNNAAAAAAAAGAAUAUAUAAGGCUUUUGAGGGGUGGCAAGAAGCCAAUCCAAAAGGUAGGUCAGGAAAUGCUGCUGUUCGGAAGCUCAACCGGAGGCGACCUGUUCUUACAAAGCUAAAUGUCAAUGGUUGUGAACAUUCAAAUCUUAGAGAAAAAGGCAAUAGACGGGAAAUUGUAUCUCCAGCACGGGAAAAAGCUUCAAGGACCACCACCACUGAGUUAACAGGCAAGAAGGAUUCAAGUAAAUUGCAGGCAAAAGCUUCUGUCUCCGAAGUUUAUGCAAGUCCACCAAACCUUACUGCCAUGGCUUCCAAGUCGCUGUCUUACAAAGAAGUAGCUGUGGCACCACCAGGUACGGUUCUAAAGCCAUUACCAGAGAAACCUGAUGAAGAAAUUGAAGAAAAAACUGAAACACAGAUGUGCAGUAAUGCUCCUGAGACAUCAAAGGCGGAGUUGAAUAACCAUUUCUCUCCCGUUGAAGAUGCGCCAGUUGAUGGUCAGUCUCAAGAAACUCGUGGAAGUGUAACUCAAUCUGAAACUACUGCUGCAGAUACCGGGGAAGUUCCUUCUUCUUCUAAUGAGGAAAAGCCCAUGGAAACAAAUGGGAGUAAGCUUUCUGCCACAGCUGAACCAUUCAACCCAGGAGCUGUCUCCAUGACUCAUCUGCUACACUCUGUAGCAGCCACGAGUAUUUAUGAUCCGAGAACUAGUCAAGGUAUGCUUGCAGAACCUGCUGUACCUUCGGCUGCUGCUAGAGUUCCUUGUGGGCCAAGGUCGCCUCUCUAUUAUAGAAAUAAUUAUUCUUACAUUAUGAAACAUGGAUUUCCAAAAUACCACUCUUCCAUUAUGGAAAGAAACCUGUUGGGGCCUUCAAGAAUCAUGAACCCGCAUGCACCCGAGUUUGUGCCAAUGAGAGGUUGGCAAAUAAAUCCUGGAUAUGCACAUUCAACUGUUUCAAAUGAGUCAAACUCUUCAAAUGACACAAGUGAGGCAGACGAUGAGAAACUUGACAAAAUGUCCAGUAUUCAAGGCGAGGAUAAUACCUCAAGAAAGAGCAGUACAGAGGCGGAGAAGUCAGAGCUGGCAAGACAGAUACUACUUAGCUUCAUUGUAAAGUCAGUCCAGCAUAAUAUGGAUGCUCCAAGUCAUUCUUCAGGCUACGAAAAGAAGAUUGGGUAUUCAGAAAAUUCUUCAGAUGCAAUUGCAAAUGAUAGUGCUAUCAUAAAGAUCCUUUAUGGAAAUGAAAAGGGCAAAACAAACUUGGCAUCUCAGUCCAAUGAUCAAGAACAGCAAAAACCCAAAGAGGAAAACCAAAAAAGUGGGGAUGGUGAAGGAUUUAUAGUUGUCAGAAAACGGAGAAGAAACCGACAGCAGAUCACAAAUGGGGUAACUGAGAUGUACAAUCAUCAAUCCAUCUGUGCUUCUGUUCGUUAAAAGAGAGAGCAAAGCAAUAAAAUGCAAAGGUGCCGUCCUGUUUCUCCCAAUUUUAUUCGAAAAAUUUGUUAGUGAAUGUUACCGUUGUAGAGAUGGUUAAAGUUUGGAGCAAGUUUUAAUCAAUACUUGAUUGUAUCAUUUUAGAUAUCCUCUCUGGAUGUUCUAAUAUAAUAUUUGUACAAAUCGGUUUCUUGUUUUGUUAAGAGAUUUUGUUUUGAUCAAUAAAUGAUGAUAAAUUAAUUGGGCGAUUUUCCUCAUCAAGAGAUCUGUGAUGUUGUUCUAUAAUGGAUUUUAAUGUUUUAGACUGAGAUUUGUAGUUAUGCCUCAAAUUAUUUGGUAUUUGGUUGGUGCGUGUGAACAAUACGUUCGGAAUGGAGUUGAAUUGACCCACUGAUAGAUAGCUUACAUUUGCAGCUGAAGUUGCUGCACUGAUGAUAUUACAACUGACAUGGUAGGCAAAAUUCCUUAUUCAAUUUAAAUUUGCAAUCAACAGAAACUGAAGAAGAAGCCGUAAGUUUAAUCCUAAUGGAUGCAUAGCUGUUUGGAGAAAAGCCAAUGGAGACAUAACAAAGCACGAUAAGUUAUACACGGCAGAACGGUAUGUGCUAGUAAGCACAGUCACCGAUGGAAAACAUAUUUGAAAAGCCAAUAGUAGCAUGUGUCAAUACAUCUAUCAAUGAAAUAGAACCACAGUCUGCGCCAGUACGAGUUUAUCCAAAGUGCUGCAAGUAAACCCAAAAUCACUGACACAUAGGAUGCUCCAAAACUCCAUCUUAAUGCCACCAUGUCAAUCACAGAAUCGCCUUCAUCUUCUCCUCCUCCUGUAGGUGUCGCUGGUGGUGCCAACGCGCUGCUGCAUUUCCUCUUUAUCAUUGAGCCACAAAGAGCCGAAUUACCUUUAUAACUGCUGUCAUCAAAGGUGGCAAACUGCUCUUUGUCCGGGAUUGGGCCGGACAAAUUGUUGUAUGACACGUUGAAGUUUGAUAAAAAGUUGAGCUCAGUUAGUUGAGGAAUUCGGCCACUUAAUUUGUUGCGGGAAAGGUCCAGGCUCUCUAUCAUUUUCAGAUUGGAGAAGCUCUCUGGUAUAGUGCCUGAUAGUAAAUUAUUGGACAGAUUAAGUGCACGAAUAUGUUGAAGAUGCCCAAUUUCCCAUGGAAUUUCUCCACUGAACUCAUUGCUCGACAAAUCCAGUCCAGCCAUGUCGUCGAGAUUGAGACCAAUGAAAAAUUCAUAUCUAUACUUUGUCACAAAUUCUACACCUACUGGUUGAUCUAGUCCACCAUGUAGUUCACCUGGCGGCAGCAGAUGAAGAGUGGAAUUGUAGUAAGUAGAAGCGGAAUCACGAUUAGACAUAGCAAAUUCAUAUUCAAAUGAACCAUCAUCAAUCGCUUCCCUCCCGAAUGAGAUGUUACCCAGGCAUGAAGGUAUCGGCCCAUUAAGUCUGUUAUGUGAAAGAUCCAUGAUACCUAAUUUUCUUAAUUGGCACAACUGAUUAGGAAUACGUCCUUGUAGAGAAUUCCCUCUCAAAAGAAGAAAAUGCAAAUUCGAAAGCUCAUUGAUCUGAUGAGGAAUCCUACCAAAAAAUUUAUUGUCCCUCAAAUCGAGAGUCAAUAAUGUAGAGCUUCUAAGCAAUGCAAUUGGAAUUAACCCAUUAAUUGCAUUGUUAUGCAGAUAAAUGUGCUUCACUGAUGAAAGAUUGGAGAGAGAUACCAUGGACCCAGACAAACCAUUUUCGGAGAUGUCUAUAAACUCAAGACUUUCAAGAUUGCCGAGCUGGACCGGAAUACUACCUUGCAAAUAAUUUUCUGACAUUAAAAGAAGCCAAAGGACUGAGAAGUUGCCAAUCCAGUGGGGAAUAUCGCCGGAUAACUUGUUGUUGGAUACAUCUAAUACAUCCAGCAAAGUGGAGCUCAACAAACCAUCUGCCAUUUUCCCACUGAAAUGAUUGUUGUUCAAACGUAAUGAACUCAAAUGAGUCAAGUUCAUAAAAUUGGGAAAAAGUUGGCCAUAGAAAUUGUUAUUUGAUAGGUCCAACGUUUCUAAGGAGAGGCAACUAGAGAAUAUAGAUCGAGGUAAUUCUCCUGAAAAAUUAUUUCUAGACAAAUCCAAAGUAAUUAGCUCUUUCAUCUCACUGAUUGAAUAAGGAAUAUUACCUUCAAAACUAUUUUUUGACACAUCCAAAUAUAUCAAUUUCUGAAAGACAAUACCCAAAUUCUCUGGUAGCUUACCAGAAAAAUUGUUAGUGGAAAUAUCUAGAUGACGAAGCUUGUCGUAUUUGGCAUUGGGAAGUCGCGGAAGAAUUCCCGAGAAUGAGUUAUUCCACAAAAUCAAAACUUCUAAUCCUGUGUUGUUUUGCAACAACCAAGUUGGGAAAUUGCCAACCAACUGAUUGUGAGAGAGAUCAAGGAAUUUUAAGUGGUGUUGGUGUAAAAGAAAACUACUAUUGACAUUUAAGUGGCAGUGAGAUAAUUGGAGAACCUUGAGAGGAUAUGUGGGGAGCCAGUUUUCGGUUUUCACUUGCAACAUAUCGUUUCCUGACGAGAGUACCAAGACCUCAAGCUUUGAAUGAUUAGCCAAUGAAUUUAUUAAGAAUGUUCCUUGGAAAUCGAUGAAAGAGAGAUCCAAAUAUUCAAGUGAUGUGAGGUUGGUCAAGACAGAAGGAAAGUUUCCACUUAACUGAUUGUAAGAAAUAUCAAGAACUUUAAGAUGGGUCAAGUUGUUGAGACACUGAGGAAGAUGACCCUCAAAAUUAUUUGAGCUUAAAUCCAACUCAAGAAGAUUCUUCAAAUUACAUAUUCCUAAAAGUGAAAAUAAAAAGCUCAGAUUUCAUAAAACGAAAACUAAUUAUAGCACAUUCAAUCAUAAACCCAAUAUAAGACUUAUAAAACGGACAUGAAAUCAAAUUGUCUAAGUAUUUUGGUCAACAUAAAUAAUAAUAGAAUGAUAUGAAUUUAUUUCUCAUAUAAUAUGAUGUUGAUUGCAAAAGCGUUUCAAUUAAUCUAACAAUAAAAAAGAAAAUAAUAAUAAAAAUAUAAAAGCAGUCAGCAAUUCUUGCUCAUCGUAAUCCAUUCAAUAAGCGUUUCAGCAAUUCUCGUUGUUUAAAAUAAUGAUUUUCUGCGGAAGAGUUUGUUGACUUCGUCUUUUUCGUUGGAUAUUGGUUUUCUAAUCUCUAAAUUUGUUGGAUAAUGUAAAGAGAAACUCAUAAUAUAUUGGUUGCUUUCUUAAACUUUAUUUAAUUUCGUCGAAGUACUUCGACCAACAAGUCACUGGGAAGUAGGAAUUGUGUAAUCAGUAAUGCAAAUAUUGGGUGCGUUGGUAUUGUUUUUAUAUGCUGUUUUUUAUUUUUUGAAUUUAGAAAAUAUUAGAUACGUGUUCGGUAGAUUGUUUCUGAAUUUUUUUAAAAAAUAUAAAAUUCAUUCUACACAUUUUAACAAAAGAAAUGAGAAACAACUUUUUCUUAUUUUCCUUAUUUCCCAAUACAAUAUUAAGUUCCAAAAUGAAGAAUUCUCUUUACCUCCUCCUGAAAUAAUAAUAAUAUCAACAUUAUUAUUAUUAUUAUUAUUAUUCUUGUUGUUGUUGUUGUUGUUGUUGUUAUUGUUGUUCUUGUACCCAAAGAAUCAAUUUCCCUCACAAUAAUCUUUUCUUUUUAUAUACAUUAUAAUAUUUAUGUUUUUAUAUUAACUAAAUCAAAUAUGUAGGGUUUAUCAUUUUUCUUUGAACAAAAAAAAUAGAAAGAUCACCUAAUUUAUUCUUAAAAUUAAAAUAAUCAAUAUACAUUGCUUAAUCUUAAGUUUAUGGAAAUUAUUCCAAUAAUAAUUCUUUGAGACAUUCUUACCAAACAUAUUUGUUUUCUCAUUUUUGAGAUUAUUUUUAAAAUGAUACUGAACACAUUUUUAAAUUUUAAAAAUAAAUUUAAAAAUAGCAUUUUCAUUUUUUUUGUGAAAACAACAAUUAGAAAACAAUAUUGGGCUCUUAUUUAUCAUGUUUCAACAUAAAAACACAAUGUAAAUGGUUUAAUAUGGGUUUCUAGAGAAUUUUUUAUAUUACUAUUACUCAAAUUCAAUGCUUCCAAGCUUUUGAAUUUAGCUAAUCUUGCAUCAAGAAUUAAUGAACAUAAGGAAAAAAAAAUUUAUUCAGAACUAUAAAUAUUGAAAUAAAGAUAAAUAUCAUUGUUGAUUUUUUUGUAAAAAAAGAUUUAGAAUUAAGAGAGAGUGAAAGAAAUGAGCGGGUUAUGUCGGAAAUUGGUGAUAGAGUAUGUCAAGUACUAAACUUUGUAUAGAAAGCAGUGCUUCUAAUUUAAAUUUGAUCUAGUUUAAAGCAAUUAAAAAAUGCAAAUAUAUUAUCAUCUUGAUUAACAUCUAAAACAAUUUUUGUCAUUGGAGGAAGUGAGUUGUUAUAUACCUUGAAUUGUAGUUAUCCCACAAGAAUGAAGAUCCAAUGCUUUCAAAUUUGGCAAAUCUGCCAAUCCUACAUGCGCUAAUAAAAAAUGAAAAUAUUACAUUUAAAGGUAUUGUAUGUGAUCUGCACGUUUGAAGAAUAUUAAUUCUUAAUUUGCUUCUUAUCUCAGAUUCAAUGGCUUACCUAGCGUUGUCAAAUUUUGAUUUAAGCUUAAAUCCAACACUUGCAGGUUUGUCAAAUUUGCUAAUCCUAUUAAAAAAAAACAUAAAUUUUGUCAAUAAUAGUUACAUCACUCUCGUCUAAAUUGUUUAAUUAAAAUAAUAUGAUAAAUAUUAAAUGAAAAUUAAUUGUGCAAAUUGUUUAAUUAAAAAAAUUGCCUUCUAAAGAACUGUGUAUAUAAUAAUUAUAACUCAAAUCCAACGUUUCCAAGCUUUUUAAUUUAGCUAAUCCUGCACCAAGAAAGAAGAAAACUUUUAUUAAUCAUCUUUGGAAAAAAAAAAAGAAUUAAGAUUAAGAAACAAAUUUCAAAGUUAGAUUAAAUAAUUGUAGUAAUAAAGCUUAUGAUGAUUAAGAUAUAAUUAAAUUGAUCAUAUACUCAAAAAUGAUUUUAUUUUAUUUUAUUUUUUAAUUUUACUAAGAAAUUAGAAAGUAAAUUUUUGUCGUGUACCAAUUAUAGUCAAGUUUGUCAAGUUUUCCAGUCAAAAAUUGCUUUUAAUUUGACAUUAUACAUAUGUAAAAAUUAAAGCCAUAAUAAUAUCACAAGGAAUUUGGGUAGUGACUUGUUGCCGUGUACCUUGAAGUGUAGUUAUUCCACAACUACCAAGAUCCAAUUCUUUCAGGUCUGUCAAAGAUAAUCCUAUACCAACGAAAAGCAAACUAUUACUUUUAAAAUUAUUGUAGAAGGUUGUGAUUAGUGUGCUAACUUGGUAGUUAUCUCAGUAGCCUACCUAGCCUUGUUAAAGAGCCACUAGUUAUAUUGCGGUUCCCGCUUAGAUCCAACACUUGCAAGUAUCUCAAAUUUGCUAAUCCUGCUUAGAAAACAUUAAUUUUGAUCAAGACAAUAUAAAUAUAUAUUUUAAUUAAUAAAUUAAUUAAGUUGCCUGACAUGUAUAUCUGCUGGCUUGAAACGUAUAUGUAUACCUUGCUUGGUUCUGGAACCUUCAAUCUUAUUGUAACGAAGAUUCAGAGUGGUAAGUGAAGUUAGUGUAUUCAAAUAUGGUAAUAUGCUGUCGAUGAAGAAAUUAAAACCAAGAUUUAAGAUCUUUAGCUGCUUCAAACUCCCAAAGCUAUCGUAAGCUGCAAAUGCAUAUGAAGUGUUAUUUUUAAUUAGUCACUGACAAAAUAUUUAUGGACGAGAAAUAAAUGUAUACAUAUAUACGGACCUCUAUUCUCACAGAAGCCUGUAAACCCAUUCCCAGGUAAGUCGAGCCUUUGCAAUUCUUUGAAAGGAUGAAACAAUGACAUAUUCAGAAGCGAAGCCGAAGUUCCAUCAUAAUAAUUCAAUCUCUUUGUAUAAUUGAGUGAGAGUUGCAUCACGCGUCGUGUGGUGGCGUUGCACAUAACUCCCUCCCAAUCAUCACAACAAUCAGACGGCAUUCCAUCAUCCUCACCAACCCAUGAAGGAAGAAUUUUGUCAUCAUAUCCAAUAUCACUGACUAAUGAUAUGAAGAAGCUCUUGAUUUCCAACAGAGCAGUCCUCUCUGUUUCCAAGCAUCCUUUGUAUCCAUGAAUUUCAUCCAUCGAUACAAUAAUCCAAAUUAGUGACAUUAAUGAGAACUUAAUACAGGAAGUACUUUCCAUUGUAGAGCAACUUUUCAUUUGGUUAAAAUUAAAUGUGCAAUGAGCAACUUUCCAUUGCAGAGCAAUUUAUACUAAAAGUUUAUCGUAGGUCUUGCAAUUUGAUUGGCUGAAGACUUUUUUAAGACUUUCCAAUACAUUGCCAUCUUUGAAGACUUGUAAGCACUUCAUUAAUACCCCGUGGAAAAUAUAGAUAAAGUGAUUGUAAACUAUAAAUUUUUGUAAUAGUUUGAUGGAGAUAAUCAUAACUAAUAAAAAAAAAGUUGACCGAGAGAAUUUAAAUAAUUCAACCAUAUGUUUGGAUUUCCAUUGCAUUAUCAGUCAAUCUAUUAAAUAAUGUGUUUUGAGAAGAAUUUGAUUGGAUGUUUGAUAAGUUUAAAUUAAUUUAUUAGAAAAUCAAUAAUUAAUCAACAUAAAUCUUCGUAUAUGUUUAGUUAGUGUGGCGUUGUCUGAAAUGACAAAAAACAUAAAUGUUAUUUGAAGCUCUUGUGACCCUUUGUGUUCAUGCAUUUGAAUCAAAGCUGUACUAAAAUCAAAGAUAUUGGGCAUCCUUAAUAAGGAAAGUUUCCAUUGCUCUCAGUCUGCACUCUUCAUUACUAUUGCAAUCACUUGAAAUGACUAAAACAGAAAUUUCGUAUGAACUUGGGACAGCUGCACGGGUCCAAUUUAAAUGACAACUACGUGGAAAAUAAAAAUUUUGCAUAUAUUAUUACAACUACGUGGAAAAUUAAAGUUGACUGACUUUCAAAUUAAGCCAACAAACAAGUGGCCAUCAACUCUUUUUCCACUAACAAUUAGUGGCGACGGUCAAUACUAUAAAAUAAAAGUUGACUAAGAAUUUAUGUAAUUUAAGAGUAUGAUUGGCCUUUUAUUGAAUAUUAUGAUUGGGUUUGCACUGAAUUAUCAAAAAAUCUAUUCAACGAUUUAUAUUCUAAAAUAUUUAGUGAGUUUAGAAAAUUAUUUUAUUAGAUUUUUGUUAAUUUUUUUUAUUAUUAUUAGAUGGCCAACAAUUAAUCAAGUAAUUUUCCAUAUAUAUUUGAUAAUUUACUCAUAAAAGCGUGGACUACAUUCAAAUGGCAUUUUAUAUGAUGUGUGAUAUAUGUAGAGGUGAAAUUUAAAUAGGCUUAAUUUUAUAAAUAAAUACAUAUGUAUUGCAGCAUUCAAUCAUUGUGUUAAAGCGCCAAUCACGGUGACCACCAAAACCUAUGAAUGAUUAGUCCAUCGAAACCCAAUGUAUGCUCAAUUAAUAUUUCCUAUCAAGAUCAAAUUUUUCGCUCUAUUGCUUCAACAAUCAUGAGCAUAAAAGCUCGAUUUAUACAAAAAUUACGAAUUUAUGAAAAAAAAAAGUCACAUUUAUUAUAAUAUGAAGUUUGAUUGAUUUUUAAAGAUUGAUUCAAUCAAUCUUAAUGUUACUGGACAAUCGAUCUUAAUGUUAAUUCAAAAUCAAUCUUUAUUUCGAUGGGCACAGAUAAAGAUAAUUAGUUUUGGUCUCUAUAAUGACUGACGAAGACUUGUAGGACCUGGACCAAUGAGGAAAAACACUUUCAAAUUAAGCCAACAUACAAAUGGUCGUCAAUUCUAUUUUUUACAAAAAUUGAUGGAGAUAGUCAACUAAUAAAAUAAAAGUUGAUUGAGAUAAUUUAAAGAAUGUAGGCAUAAGUUUGGCUUUUAAAUUGUCAAAUAAUUUAUUCCACUAUUGAUACUUAAAAAAGUGCUUUGGAAUUAAUAAUUCAAUAGGGUGUUUGAUAUAUUGGAAUUCGUGAAAAUCAAUAAUCAACUAUUUUUUAUACAUGUUUAGAAAUUUAUCCGGUGUGUAUAGGGGCUUGUAUAUUUCACAAUAAACAUGAAUUAGUACAUCCAUUGAUUGACGUAUAAUUAUAAUCAUAUAAUCAAACACGCACACUACAAGGCGACCUUCGAUUGACGUAUUCUGUGAACUAACCCGUGGGAGAUGGAGGAUGUCUUAACGUUAUAAAAAAAAAUUGAUGAAUAAUAUAGUUCCAGGCAGUGCUAAAACCAUAAUGUACGCCAGUAUGAGUUUAUCCAAAGUCACCGGCUACACCAAUAUCAUUGUGACAUAGUAACAUUCUUGUCCCAUUGAGUGAGAGUUGCAUCACCCGUCGUGUGGUGGCGUUGCACUCAACUCCCUCCCAGUCAUCACAACAAUCAGACGGCAUUCCAUCAUCAACCCAUGAAGUAAGAAUAACGUCUUCAUAUUCCCUAUCACUGAUUGAUAUAAAGAAGCUCUUGAGUUCCAACAGAGCAGUCCUCUCUGUUUGCAAGCAUGCUUUGUCUCCAUGCAUUUCAUUCAUCAAAAUAAUAAUCCAUAUUAGUGAAAUUAAUGAGAACUUGACAAAGGAAGUACUUUCCAUUGCAAAGCAACUUUUCAAUUGGUUAAUAUAAAAUUUGCAACGAGGAAACUUCGAUAUUUAUACUAAACAUUUAUCAUCAUGGACCUUGCAAUUUGAUUGGCUGAAGAUUUCCAACCACCCAACCUAACGAAAAUGAAACAUCUUAGAGAUAUCAAGUAAUAAAAAUACUUGAUUAUCUUAUUUUUGUUUUAGAGGGUUAUUAAAGACAAAACAUUGUCAAUACAUUAUAACAUCGCUAUCUUGAAGUCUUUGUCUUUUAGUGAAGACUUGUAAGCUUGAAAUUACAUAUAUAUUGCAACAUCGACCCAGGAGAAAAAGAACUUCACUAAUACUCCGUGAAAAAUAAAAUUAAAGUUCACUGACUCUCGAAUUACGCCAACAAACAAGCGAGUGCAAACUAUAUUUUCUCCAACAGUUUGAUGGAGAUAGUCGUAACUAAUAAAAUAAAAGUUGUGUGAAAGAGUUUAAAUAAUUUAUCCGUAUAUUUGGGAUUACAUUGGAUUAUCAGUUAAUCUAUUAAAUAAUAUGUUUUGUAAAGAAUUUGAUUGGAUGUUUGAUAAGUUUAAUUUAGUAGUUUAAUUACUCAUAAAAGUGUGAUGUACUCUAAAAUGACAAACACAUAAAUGUUAUUUGAAGCUUUUGUGACCCUUCAUGUUCAUGCAUUUGAAUCAAAGCUAUUAAAAUCAAAUAUAUUGAUAAACCUUAAUAAGGAAAUUAAGUUUCGAUUGCUCUCAAUCUGCAACUCGACUACUAUUACAAUCACUUGAAAUGACAAAAACAGAAAUUUCAUAUGAACUUGGGACAGAUGUACACGGGUUCAAUUUAGCUAAUUUCCCAUAUAUUUACAACUACGUACGGGGAAAAUUAAAGCUGAUUGACUUUCAAAUUAAGCAACAAACAAGUGGCUGUCUACUAUUUUUCCUCUACCAAUUGAUGGAGACCGCCGAUGCUAUAAAACAAAAAUUGAUUAAGAAUUUAGAUAAGGAAAAUUAUCAACUGUCCGUCUUAAGUUUAUCAUUUAUUCAUUUUUCGCCUUAAGUUUACAAUUCGUAUUAGUCAUCUACUAAAAAGAUAGAAUUACACUUAUGAAAUGACAAUACAUAAAUAAAUACAAAUGGCAAUAGUGGUAAUUUUGUAUGAAUUUUUCUAUUCUUUUGGCGGUUGGUUGAUACAAAUUAAAAACAUAAGAAGAAAAAUAAAUAAAUUCAAUCUUUUUAGUAUUUCUGAUAGUAGGUUAAACCAAAGGAGGAGGGCUUUAUAAUUUCCCUUUAAAUAAUUUAAGGGUGUGAUUGCGUUUCUAUUGAAUUGUACGCUUGGAUUUGCAUUGAAUUAUCAAAAAAUCUAUGCAAGCAUCGAAUUGUAAUGACUGACGAAGACUUAUAAGGCUUGGACCAAUGAAGAAAAAUGCUUCAUUAAUGCUCCGUGGAAAACAAGCCAGCUUGGAAGCAGUUGAUCGGAUGGUCAACAGUUGAUUGAGAUAGUCAACUAAUAAAAUAAAAGUUAGUUGAGAUAAUUUUAAUAAUUUAAGCGUCGUUUGGGUUUCAAAUAUCAAAUAAUUUAUUCCAGUAUUGAGAAGAGUUGAAUUCCGUUAUUUUAUUGAGAAGAGAUCCAUCGCUCCCUCCCAAUUAUCACAGCAAUCAGACGACAUUCCUUCAUCACCGUCAAACCAUGAACUAAGAGCUUCGUCAUCGUAUCCAAUAUCACUGCUGCUGAUAUGAAGAAGCUUUUGAUUUCUAACAGAGCAGUCCUCUCAGUUUCCAAGCAAGCUUUGCAUCCAUGCAUUUCAUCCAAAACGACAAUCCAAAGUAGUGAGGUUAAUGAGAACUUAAUGAAGGAAGUACUUCCAUUGCAAAACAGCUUUUUAUUUGGCUAAAGUUAAAUGUGAAUUAAAUAUCUUUGACUGGUGAUAUACAUAUAUUCAGAGAUUUGAAGUGCUCAAACCAAAAACAAAUAAAAAUAUAAAAAUAUUAUUAUAAAAAAAUUGAUGAAUAAUAUAGUUCCAGGAAGUGCUAAUAUGGCUCUUUGAACUCUCUUUACAGUAUUGGUAGAAAUUUAUCCGAUGUGUACAAGGGCUUGUAUAUUUUGCAAUAAAAUAUACGAGCCAAUAUGAAUUUCUUUCUUUCUUUCUCUCUCUUUUUUUUUUUAAGUUUCUCUCUCUUUUUUUUUUUAAGAAACAUGAAUUGGUUCGUCCAUCAAUUAAUAAUAAAACCAUAAUGUACACCGGUAUGAGUUUAUCUAAAAUCACCGGCCACACCAAUAUCAUUGUGACAUAGGAAGCGAUGAGGAAAUUUACGAAAUAUUUAUUAAACCAUAGUCUACGCCAGUAAGAUGGAAUUAGCAUUCAAUGAUCAUAGACUUUCUGCAAUUUCAUUGACUUGUGAUCAGGGAGUCCUUAUUCUACAAUAAUUAUAAUCAAACACGCACACUGCAAGGCAACCUUCAAUUGACGUAUUCUGUCAACUAACUGGGGACAGGGGUCAUAAAAGGGUACGUGAGAGAAAGCACGAGUCUAUGCACAGUUCCGGUUUUGCUAGUUGAUGGAACAUGGAGGAUGUGUGUUAACGUUAACCAAUAGUCAAGUUUAUGAACACAACCAAGUAAUCGUAUCAUCAAUCAGAACCACAUUCGACGCACGACUAGUAAAUAUCAUAAUUGAGUUUGAGGACCACAACCGCACAGUGAAAGAAUUUGAAUGAAGGAAAAGUAAAAGAAAAGGAAAAGGAAAAGAGGGGAAUGCUAAAGAAAAAUAAGUUGAUUCAUCAGUUAUUCAAUAUGACAAUUGCACACAAAUUUUGGAUGUUUUUAGCCUCCAUGUGAAUCAAAAUAAUUAAUAGAGACUAUCCCGCGUGUCACAUGUAACUAACUUUGGCGCCAUCUUGAGCUACUUCUGUUAAGGUCUUCACUCCAUAGUCUUAAGAACACAAUGCACAAUCAAUUCUUCAGAUUCAUAUGGCAAAUGAAUUACUCAUAAAAGAAAGAUAAAGUAAACUAUGGCCUGGUACUGUCGUUUUAUGCGUUCUAGUGGUGUUGUAGUAUAAACAGUACUCGUUUUUCUAUCUUGGUGGUUUCUUGAUUGUGUUCAAAUAUCAAUACUCGGAGACAGAUAGAGGAAAGCUAAAGAAAAAUAAGCUAAUUCAUCACUAACAUAAUAUGACAAUUGCACGCAACUUUUGGAUGUUUUUAGUCACUGAAAUUUUUAACAUUAAUGAUUAAUUACAAGUAUGUGAAUGAAAACUUAUAAACAAAUUUUGUUUACAGGAAAAAUGUAACUGUGAAAGAAAGUAAAAGAGAGCAGAGAGACUAAAACCAGAGGAUUUCAUUCGUCAUUUCAUAACUAUAUUCCUAGUGCAACUGCGCAAGGUUGAGCAUUCAAAGUCCAUAAUUCUAAAUCAAAAUCACCAACAGACACCUGUACAUGAAAUACUCAGGCCUUUACUCUGGACUUAAGACCGCAUGUCUGAGAAAUUCGUCAGAUUCAUGUAGCAAAUGAAUUGCACAAGGAGGCAUAAAAAUUAGUAUAUUUUUCAAGGACCCAGCUUGAAAGCAAUGAACUAAAAAUUAAUACAUAAAAGUUCAAUUACACGUAAAGAAGGAUAAUAGUAAACUAUGGCCUAGCAAGAUGACGGAUGAAAGAAAACCAUGGCCAGCGCCAAUACGAAUUCAACCAAAGGAUUCAUCUUAAUUGCAGAUUCAUCUUCGUCUUCUCCUCGAUUGGAUGUUAUUGCUGGAUUUUCCUAUGUUCUGGUGCAAGUCUUAUUAAUUGUUGGACCACAAAGACCGAGAUUAUAACUCUUUUCAUCAAACCUGCCAAAUUGUUUUUUGUCUGGGAUCAGACCGGACAAGUUCUUAUAUGACUCGUUAAAGUUGGAUAAAUAGUUGAUUAUUGAUCAGAAGAUCACUAAUCAGAAAAUUUUUCAUUUAUGUUUGUGUAAAUUAUUCAUAAAAGUAUGGUCUACUCUGAAAUUACAAAAAUAAACAUAAUAAAUUUGAAUAAAGGAAAGGAAAAUGAGAAGCAAAACAGAGGAAUGCUAAGGAUAAAUAAGCUGAUUCAUCAGUAACUCAAUAUGGCGAUUGCACACAACUUUUGGAUGUUUUUAGCCUCUGAAAUUUCAAUAUGAAUGAUACAUUACAAAUAUGUGAAGCAAAACUUAGAAACCAAUUUUUGCUUACAGAGAAAAUGUUAAAAAACAAAUAAUGAUAAAAGAGUGCAGAGAAACUAAAAACAGAGGAUUUCACGGAUCAUAAUUUAUAAGUGAUAUUCCUAGUGCAAGGCUGAACAUAAAUCUUAGGUGUGCGAAUCAAGAUCAUUAACGAAGAGAUCACGCGUGUCCCAUGUAACUAACUUUGGCGUGAUGUAGGAUGGUUGCAUAGAAUGAGUAGGGUAUCUUUCAAAUGUCAUAACUUGGGCUACAAGUGUAACUAACAACGACGAUGCUCAAGUUUGGUUAUCGUCGAUGACUGCGGAUUGAUGUUCGUAGCUCCUCCUAUAUCAAGGAAAUGUCAUAAUUACUUUCCAAACAUAAGAAAUACAACUAUUUUAUGUGAUAUGAUUCACAAUAAAUAUUUAUCCCAUAGCUUAUAACUCUCGAAUCCAUUAUUUGUAAAUAAAAAUUACCCUAAUACUCUCAAAACCAUCAAUUGCACCUUAUGCUCAAAAUUUCAUAUUCCAGCUCAAUAAUUAAAUUUCCAUAUCCUAUAAUACUAAUAAAUCAGCCACAUUAUCGCCAAUCUCAUUAUUAGCCAUGAACUACCCAAACAUAAUAUAUAACAAUAAGCUAUUUACAUACCGAAUUGAGGAAAUAGUGAGCGCUACACAUUUUGGCUCUAAUGCCUUGGUGCCCUUGUGCACCUAAAAUGAUCCACCAAUUACUAAAAUUAGCUUGGGACUGACUACACCCAUUUGUUGGGAACCCUAACUAUAAAUAAAGUACACUAAUCUUUGAAUUAUUUUCAUUUUCAUGUAAAUGCAAUUUCAGGUAAAGAUAAAAUGAUAGAAAUCUUACUUCAUUUGGUAAGAAAUUCAACUUGAAAGCUUGAAUCCCUUCCCUCUCACUGAAAUCCUUUCUCUACACUUCCUACAUUUAAAUUCCUCUCCAAUGAAUUUCCAAAUGAACUUAGGGAUAAAAAUACUCUAGAAUGACUCUCGAAUCCAAGUUGUGCAAGACCAAACUCAAUUUUGGAAAAAUCCUAAAUCAUGAAAAUUUUCCCAUUGUCUUCCUCUCAUGCCCGUGAGCUUUUGCAAAGCAAUGGUAAGUGCUUUCUUUUUUAAUUCGCUUUAUAUAUAAAACUUAUUUUAUUUUUUUGUUUAUGGGCUUUUGAAAUAUCCAUUUAGGCCCAAUUAAAGAAAAUUAAUUUAUAUACAUUCGUAUUCAUAAGUUAUUAUUAAUAACUUGUAUAUACAAGUCAGGGCAGUACGCAAAUUUACUGAAUACAGAGUAAAGUUGUACUUUAAUUGGUGAACUCUGAAGGCACCAAUUAUAACAUCCAUUUCUAGCAUAUAUAUAUAUAUAUAUAUAUAUAUAUCAUGGAAAUCUGACAUGCUUAUACAGAUCACAUACAGGAUUCAGAGAUGAAGGGCAGCAAAGAUUGAUAAUUUUUGUUUUCCCCAAUCACCUUGAACAGAGUGAGAAGAAACCAUUAUUUCUAUAUGUGCAGUUCUUCCAUCCUAUUGUUAUUUAAUGGUUGUUAAAUAUAUAUUUGCAACCAACAGAAACUGCAGAAGAAACAGUAAGUCUAAUUUUAACGAAACCGCUCGAAGGAACUUCAAAACAUGAGCAUAGUUUUAGAACCAAAUUAAGAAUUUUAGCAAACACAUACACUGAUACAUAGCAGUUUGCAGAAAAGCUAACGGAAUACGUAACACAGCAUGACAAGUUAUACUCGCAGACCCGUAGGAACUUACUACAAUGGCCUAGCACAAUCACCGAUAGAAUGCAUAUUUGAAGAGCCAAUAGUAGCAUGUGUCAAUACAUUCAUCAAUGAAAUAGAACCACCGUCUACGCCAAUAGGAGUUUAUCCAAAGGACUGCAAACAAACCCAAAAUAACUGUCACAAAGGACGCGCCAAAACUCCAUUUUAAUGCCACCAUAUCAAUCAUCGAAUCGUCUUCUUCUUCUUCUGCUCCUUCUGUUGGUGUUGCUGGUGGUUUUAAUGCACUGCUGCAUUUCUUCCUUAUCAAGGAACCACAAAGCUCUGCUUCUACUGUUUGAUUUAUUGAGGCAUGUGGUUCAGUGGGCGGUUGAAGAUUAAGAGUAGAAUUGUAGAAAGUAGUAGCAAUAGAAUCGAUGUAGAAACCCUGAUACGCUGUGUAUUCAUCAAGCAAACCAUAGUCAUACAAAUAAUAAUUAGUUCAUUCUCUCCAGAAUGACACGUUACCCAAGCAUGAAGGUAUUGACCCACUAAAUAUGUUAUUUGAAAGAUCCAUGAUACGUAAUUUUGCUAACUGGCACAAUUCAUUAGGAAUAUGUCCUUGUAGAGAAUUCCCUCUUAAAAGAAGAACAUGCAAAUUCGAAAGCUCAUUGAUCUGAUAAGGAAUCCUACCAAAGAAUUUAUUAUCCCUCAAAUCUAGAGUGAUUAAUUUAGAGCUUCUAAACAAUGCAUUAGGAAUUUACCCAGUAAUAGCAUUCUUCUGCAAAUAAAGGUGUUUCACUGAUGAAAGAUUAAAGGAAGAUACCAUGGUCCCAGACAAACUAUUUUCAAAGAUGUCUAUAAGCUCAAGACUUUUAAGGUGGUUGAGUUGGACUGGAAUAUUAGCUUCCAAAUAAUUUUUUGACAUUAAAAGAACCCUAAGAGUUGAGAUGUUACCAAUCCAAUUAGGAAUAUUACCGGAUAUAUCUAACCCCUCUAAUGAAGUGGAGCUCCUCAAACCAUCAUCCAUCUUCCCACUGAAAUGAUUGUUGUCAAAAAUAAAUAAUUCAAAUGGGUCAAGUUCAUAUAUUUGGGAAAAAUUCGGCCAUAGAAAUUGUUAUUUGAUAGGUCUAACAAAUCUAGAGCGACGCAACCAGAGACUAUCGGUCAGGGUAAUUCUCCCAAAAAAUUAUUUCUAGAAAAAUCCAGCAUAUAUAACUCUUUCAUCUCACCUGUUGAAUAAGGAAUAUCACCUUCAAAAAUAUUUUUUGACAUAUCCAAAUAAAUCAAUUUCUGAAGGACAAUACCCAUAUUCCGUGGUAGCUUACCAGCGAAAUUGUUAUUGGAAAUAUCUAGAUGACGAAGCAUAUCGUGUUUGGCAUUGGGAUGUAGAUGAAGAAUUCCUGAGAGUGAGUUGUUCGCCAAAGACAAAUAGUUUUAUCUUGUGUUGUUUUGGAACAACCAAAUUGGGAAAUUGCCAACCAACUUAUUAUGAGAGAGGUCAAGGAAUUUUAAGUGGUCCUGUUGUAAAAGAAAACUUGGAAUGACAUGUAACUGGCAGUCGGAUAAUUUGAGAACCUUCAAUUGAGAUGUCGGGUGCCAGCUUUCGGUUUUCACUUGUAACAUAUUGCUUCCUGAUGAGAGUAACAAGACCUCGAGCUUUGAAUGAUUAGCCAAUGAAUUUAUUGAGAAUGUUCCUCGGAAAUUAAUGGAAGAGAGAUCCAAAUAUUCAAGUGAUGUGAAGUUGGUCAAGGUAGAAGGAAAGUUUCCACUUAAUUGAUUAUUAGAAAUAUCAAGAACUUUGAGAUGGGUCAAGUUAUUGAGACACUGAGGAAGGUGACCCUCAAAGUUAUUUGAGCUCAGAUCCUACUCAAAAAGAUUCCUCAAAUUACAUAUUUCUGAACCUGAAAAUAAAAGAUCAAAAUUUUAUAGAAUGGAAACUAAUCAUAGCGAAUUCGGUCAUAAUCCAAUACAAGACUUAAAAAACAGACAAAAAUCAAAUUGCCUAAUUAUUUUGGUCAGCACAAAUAAUAAUAGAGUAAUGUGAACUUAUUUCUCAUAUAAUAUGAUGUUGAUUGCAAAUGCGUUUCAAUAAUCUGAAAAAAGGGAAAAAAAAUGCCCUCAGCACUUUUUGCUUAUCAUAACCCUAAGUCCUUGUUUAUAAUUAUAAUUUUCUGAGGAAGAAUUUGUUCACGUGAUGUUGUUCAUUGGACAAUGGUUCUGUAACCUCUAUAAUGUAAAGAGAAACUCAUAAUAUUUUAGUUGUCUUCUUAAAUAAUAAAUUGUCUUAAAAUACAAUUAAUUUGUCUUAAAUUUAAUUUAUUCCUCAGCAUUCAAGGAAAAACAAAAACAAAAAAAAAAGAAAAAGAAAAAAGAAAUGGUCUUCAUAUAUAAUUCUGUCCAAGUACUUUGAUACACAAAUCAAUCGGAAGGUGGUGUAUCAGUAAUGCAAAUAUUUAAUUAUCAUGUUUCAACAUAACAAUUCUGUGUAAAUUGUUCGCUUUAGGUUUCUAGAGAACUGUUUAUAUUAUUAUUACUACUCAAAUUCAAUGCUUCCAAGUAUUUGAAUUUAAUUAGCUAAUCCUGUAUCAAGAAUUAAUGAACAUAAGAUAAAUGUCAUAUUAAUUAGAUUUAGAUUUUUUUUUUCCAGUUUUGACGUAUAGAUAUAAAUAAUACUUCAAAAGCAUUGAAAUGUAAGAGCUAUUAAAAAAUCGUUUUUCAUUCAAAGCUAUAAUUAAUGAAAUGAAGAUAGAUAUCAUUGUUCAUUUAAAAAAAAUUAAAUUCAGAAAAAAGAAAGAGCGAAAGAAAUGAGCAGGUUAUGUUAAUAAAUAGUGAGAGAGUAUGUCAAGGACUAAAAUUUAUUAAAGAAAGCAGUGGUUCUAAUUCAAAUUUGAUCAAGUUAGAAGUAGUCAAUUAUGCAUCGAGAAUCAAAAGAAUGAAGAAUGGGAAUUCAAAAUUAGCUUAAAAAUUAUAAUAAAGUGAUUAGUUAAGAUUCAAUUAAGCUGAUUUACUAAAAAAUAUUGAAAAAUAAAAGACCACAACAUUGCCAAAAAGACUAGGAAAUUAAGUAGGAAGGGGUGAUUGUUGCGGAAUACCUUGUAGUUAUUCCACAACCACGAAGACCAAUUGCUUUCAAGUAUUGCAAAUAUGCCAAUCCUACAUCAAUAAAAAGCAAAAUGUUACUUUAAAAUUAUUGUAGAAGACUGUGAUCAUUGUGAUAGAUCGGUAAUUUCAGUAGCUUACCUAGGCUUCUUAAAGAGCCGCUUGUUAGAUUGAGGUUCCAGGUUAGAUCCAACACUUGCAAGUUUCUCAAAUCUGCUAAUCCUGCUCAGUAAACAUUAAUUUUGAUAAAAACAAUAUGCAUAAAUAUUUUAAGAGAUUAACUUGCCUGGCAUGCAUUUCUGCCUCAAACAUAUUUACCGUGCUUGAUUCUGGAACCUUCAAUGUUAUUGGAACGAAGAUUCAGAGUGGUAAGUGAAGUUAGUGUAUUCAAAUAUGGUAAUAUGUUGUCGUUGAAGAAAUUACCACCAAGAUUUAAGAUCUUCAGCUGUUUCAAACUCCCAAAGCUGUCGUAAGCUGCAAAUGCAUAUGAAUUAUUAUCAUUAAUUAGUCACUGACAAAAUAAUUAUGAAUGAGUAAGAGAUACAUAUGCUUGUACCUUUAUUCUUAUAGAAGCCUUUAAACCAAUUUAUCAGAUAAGUCAAGGCGCUGCAGUUCUUCAAAAGGGUGAAAUAAUAAUGACAUAUUCAGAAAAGAAACUCCAUAAGAAUAAGAGUUAUAAUCAGAGUAGUUGAUUUUUGUUUUCUGAUUGAGUGAGAGUUGCGUCACCCGUAGGGUGGUGGCGUUGCACUUAACUCCCUCCCAGUCGUUGCAACAAUCAGACGACAUUCCAUCAUCAUCAAACCAUGAAGAAAGAAUUUCGUCAUCAAAUCCAACAUCACUGGCUGAUAUGAAGAAGCUCUUGAUUUCCAACAGAGCAAUCCUCUUCGUUUCCACGCAUGCUUUGUAUCCAUGUAACUGAAUCAAAGCCAUGCCAAUCCACAAUGACAACUUCAUCAAAAGCAUUUUCAUUUUUAAUAUUAACUGCUAGAGAAACACUCACAAGAUUGACCUGUCAAUUGUUGCUCUCUUGAAUUUUUUCUGGUUCCAUAGCAAAUAUAUGACUUAUAUAUAUACAAUGGAAAUUUUGCGCAGAAUGAAAAUUUUGCACAUUUUCACGUGCCAUGUCAAUGAGAAAACAUGCAUGGAUAGAAAAAAGUAGGUGAGAGAAUGUUACCUGUUGAUACAUGUUAUCUGCUUGUGACUUUAGUACCGUCCAAAGAAAUUGAAAUGUGAAAUAAUUGAAGAUGCAAAUUGGUUGAUUUCACGGGCCUGGCCUCUGGCAAAGUGAAAUGUUGGCCACGCACUAUACCAGUAAAGUGUCAACAUUGUAGCAUAAGGAAAUUGCGGCAUCUCAGCUGGAUUUUGAGAGUCACUAUUUCGUAUAAUCAGUCCCAUUUGUUCGUGGGGACUCACAUUCUGUCCUAUUGUGGACUCACAAAUAUUUAACAUGAUUUUGAUAUUUUGAUAACUACUUAAACCGCAUUUCCUUGAUAAUUAAAGAAAAAGAGAAGUGAAUGAAGCAAAAGAUACUGAUGACCAUAAUUAUGUAAAUAAAUACAAGACUUUACAAUAGAUUAGACCACCAAUUUGUGCUUUUUCGUCCAAAAAUAAUGCAUCUGCUUUAACAAGAUACGAGUGAAUUGGGGCAUAUCUUUCUUUCAUAAUGUAAACUUGCCAAAAUACAUGUAAUCUGCUGGUGAAAUAAUUUUAUAAAACAAAGGCUUAAAGUUAAAGCUGACUAAAAAUAUUGGUGUACGUCAAGAACGCUACGGGGAAAAUUUAACCGCGAGCUGCAGUCUGCAGUCCCCAGCAAUCCGGGAAAAGGCUGAGGUGGUGCGGGCCUGCCCACUAAUUUGGCAGGUCUGAUGGGAUUUAUAAAUAAAAAUAAUGUAAUUUUAUAUAUUUUUUAAAUAAAAAAUUUGUUGAUGCCGUUGUGAGAUCCAUUGGAUCCAAGGUCUUGAAGAGGAAAGAUCACUAUGGCUGCAAGGUCUGGAAGAGGCAAGUCCAAUAAAGCCAAGGCUGACAAGAAGAAGAAAGAAGAGAAAGGUUUCAAUUGUUAAGCCUUAUUAUUCACUUCUUUCAUUGGAAAGUGCUUUUUGUAAAGUGCUUUUGCAGUCUAGCUUCCGUAUGUUCAUUGAUUUCUUUUGUUGUGCAGUAGUACCCAGUGUUCUUGAUAUCACAAUCAUCACCCCAUAUGAAUCACAAGUUGUUCUCAAGGUAUACAUAUAUACUUAUCAUUAAUACUUUCUCGUUUUGCCCUCACCAGCUAUUAUUAGGAUAUUAUUUUGUAAAACUUUAUAAAUAUAAAUGAAUUAUUAAUUAAUCAUCUUUUUCUUGUUUGAUUGAAAUUUGCUCGAAGGGCAUCUCCACUGACAAGAUACUUGAUGUGAAAAAAUUGUUGGCUUCCAAUGUAGAAACUUGCCACCUCACAAAUUAUUCUCUCUCUCACGAGGUAUAUAUAUAUAUAUUUUAUUAUCUCUCUUUUUUUUAAUUAUAUAAGAUUAUGAAUAAUGAUAUUAAGCACUAGAUACUAUUUUUUUCCACCUUAUUUUUAUUUGUUUAUUUCUUUAUGAUAUUAAUGCAUUAUUAGUUGUUUUUUUUUAUCAGGUCAAGGGGUAGAAAUUGAAUGAUAGAGUAGAGGUUGUUACUCUGAAGCCCUGUUUGCUCAGAAUGGUUGAAGGUAGGUGAAGCUCUCUCGUGUCAAAAUUUCUGAAUUAAAAAGUCUCAUGCAUGUGGAUGUGGGUCUCAUCUUAUUUGUUAUUUUUAAGAGUUCUGCUAUUUACCUCGGGUUAAACCCCGAAAGCUAAAACAAAACGACGUCGUUUCCUCUUCUUCAUGAAACGCUACCGUUUCACCCUAGCAAAAGCAAACGUUCCUCUCCUCUUCAUUUUCGUCUUCCUCUCCUGACUCCUCUUCGUUUCACCAGGGAACGACAUUCGUUUUGUUCGUUUUGUUUAAGAUCCAAAUCAAAGAAAUUUCCUUUUAAACAAAUCUGCCAUUUGUUUUCUCCUUUGAAAUUUCCUCUUAAAAAAUCUGCCAUUCGCGCAGGCAUGGUCACCGUCAACGUGGCAGGCAUCACGCGCAUCUCUCAUUGAACUCAUGAAGCGUCACAGUUAUCACAGCCGCAGGUAAUGCUUUGAUCUUUAGCUUUUCUAGGUUACGGUAAAAUGGGGGCAAUUUUGAUAGCUAUCAUCAUUUCCGUUUUAUUUAAUUUUCAGUUGAAAUAGAAUGUUAAGGAAAUAAGUGUGUUAAAUUGCAAUUGGUUUGUAAUUUAUGCUAAAUUGGUCUGCAAUUUGUGCUUGAGUUGGUCUGCAAUUUGUGCUUGAAUUGGUUUGCAUUUGUGCUGAAUUGGUCAGGAAUUUGUGCUGAAUUGGUCUGCAAUUUGUGCUGAAUUGGUCUGUAAUUUGUGCAGAAUUGGUCUGUAAUUUGUGCUUGAAUUGGUCUGCAAUUUGUGCUUAAAUUGGUCUGGAAUCACCAAAUAGUCCAGAAUUGUUGAUGUAACUUUUACAACUCUUAUAAAUAAUAGAAAGCAAGUUAAUUAGAAGCACCAAAAUAGUUCAGAAUCACCAAAAUAGAAGCACUAAAAUAGUCCAAAAUUGUUGAUUUUGUGGACACACACAGACACACACACAGGGAGAGAGAGACACGCACAGAGAGAGAGAGAGAGAGAGAGAGAGAGACACACACACACACACACACACACUGACACACACACACAGACACACACACAAAGAGACACACAAACACAGACACAGACACACACAUACACACAGCUUUGUUCAGCCCACUUUAGUAGCAAAUUCAAAUACCAAGAAACUGAGUUGGCCUUAUAAAACAUUGUUCUGGUUUUCUUUUCAUUAUUAACUGUAAUUGUAUCCCUUUUUGAGCUGUUUCUUUCCAACGGUCUAUGGCUUUACAAAUAAUGUCAUCCAACACAACCGAGAAUUGAAUCUCAUUGCAAAUGUGUAAUGGAUGUGGUGAUCAGAUGGAGCUGUUAACGUCACGCACAACAAAAAAUCCAAAUUGCAAAUUUUGGAUUUGUAGAGGAUGUAACAACUUUCAAUGGGCAGAAGAUCGUAAAUCUAGCGAAGAGAAAAUAGACUUGUUAGCGGAUGAGGUUAGGAAGUUGGCCUUGGAGAUUGAGUGUUUGUCCGUUAAAUUUCAACUAUUGCAUAAAGAACUUGAGCAUAUGUGAGAUCGUGAAGUGCAGAGGCGAUUGUUGGACGAUGAACUUCGAAAGAGAGAGGCACUACGAUAUGAUUUUAUUAAAUUAAUCAUGAUUGUUGUAUUAUGUUUUCUAUUCAAGUAUUGUUUUUAAGUUGUUUCAAUUUGUACUAUGUUACUGGAAAAGACUUGUAUUGUAGAAUUUGACCACUAUAUGUAAUAGCAUUUUCAUGUUAAAUAUAAGUUUUCGAUUGUUUGAAUUAAUUCAAAGUAUUCUGAAUUUAGAAUUUGACCCCCAGAAUACUUCUCAAAAUUAUACUAUGUCCCAACUCAUUCCAAUAUGUUCCAAAUAGAUCCAUUUUCAGAAUUUACAAAGUCUAAAAUUUAAAAAAUAUCGAAAUACACAUACACCAAGUUACAUUAGCUUUACAAUAAUACAUAAAACAUAAGCUAACUUUGUUGAUUCGUCAAGCCAAUUCCAAUGAACUUCGAUCAUGUGCUUGGUUCAUUAGUUGAAAACUCCCCUCGAUUGGCCUCCUCGAAAUUUUGUUGCGGAAAAUAUUGCAAGUUUGCGUGAUGGACUCCGCUGUAAUUCAUCCAAGACUGAUAAUAAGGGAGGAAAAAUGCAUGUUCUAGGGGUGCUUGCUGUGCUAGCUGUUAUACAAAAAAAAAAAAUUAUAUACAAAUUAUCAAACAUAUGACAAUGAAUGUAAAUAGCAAAAAAAAAAAAAUAUUACCAUAGCCAUAUGGCUCUCUUGUGUUGGGAUUGUAGUAGCCACUUGAGAAGAAAAAUCAUGUAUCUCCGAGUCCUAGAAAUAUGGUUAACACACAUUUAAAGUAUAUAUUAAAUUUAUUUAAAAUGAAUGUAUUAAAUAUAAAUGCAAUCAACAUACAUUUAAAGUAUACAUUAAAUUAAUUUAAAAUGAAUGUAUUAAAGUAAUUACCUCUACAGUUGUGCUUGUCGAAGCAUUAUUCGACUUCUGUUUUGGCCUCUUAAAUUGCUUUUGCUUUCUUUGACUAGGUGGACGAUCUUUACGCCGAGUUACUACUGGAUCAUAUAUAAUUUUGAUACAGCUUCCUGAUCCACUAUAAAUGGUUGUAUCGUGACCGUCACUUCGAACAUUCAGAGAUACAUCCUCCAUUGCUUUCUCGAUCCAACCCAUAAUAUUUUUAUGGCUUUCUUCAUUUUUUGAAGUUACCUCAGCAACAUCAUAAAAAUCAGUGCACUCCUCUUUAUAUCGCUGAUGUUCAAUGCUCGAACUUCGUGCAUCAUAAUUGACUUUGACUUUACUAUAGAAUCUCCGCACAUCUUUCCUCUAUCUUCGUAGAAUAUACUUUUCAGGCAGUAAUUGUAUACGGUUACGUGACAACACUGCGAUGGCGUGUCUGCAAAGAAUGCCCUUAUAUUCAAACAUUGAACACACACAAUGAACUUCACCCUCAUCUUUUGCAAAAAUGACUUGAAAAGUAUUUUCUCUACUAUUUUCAUCGUUUUCAAUAACUUCAUAUUCUAAUCCACCACAACUGAAAACCUCACAAUAUAUCUUAUUCACCAGCUCUUGCUGAAAUUCUUGAAACUUGGAAAUAGUGUACACUUCUUCAACUUGCUUCUCCAUUGCAAAACUGGUACGACAUGGCAUCCGUUGGCUAAAACACCUAACAUCCGCUUGCCAUUCUUUCUCAAUUUUACUUUCCAUUGCUUUCUCAUAUUUCUCCACAAAUUGCUUCAAAGUUGUUUUCGAGUUAACAUACCCAUCAAAGAAAGCAUUCAUACUUUCACUACGCUGAGUGGUUGGCAUUCCAGCCCAAAAAGAAGUUUUUACGAAACAUGGAACCCAACGAUUUCUUUCCUCAUAUAAACCAUUUAACCACUGAUUACUAAGAUCAUAUUUAUCUAACAUGUCAUGCCAAGCUUUCUCGAAUUCAACAGGAGUAUAUGAAUCAUAAACAAUAGAAUGUAAUGAAACUCUAAUGGCAUGAUAUUCAACAUACCUUCCUAACUUCUCAGGCACCUUUUUCAGUAUAUGCCAUAAACACCAUCGGUGCCUAGUGUUUGGAAAAACAAUCUCAAUCGCAUUUUUCAUCUCUUUGUCUUGAUCUGUAAUGAUUCCAAGGGGAGGAGAGCCAGACAUGCAUGAUAGCCAUGUGUCAAAUAUCCACGAAAAUGUCUCCGUGUCCUCAUGCGAAAUCAACCCACAUCCUAACAAAAUUGAUUGACCAUGAUGAUUAAUUCCUACAAAAGGAGCAAAUGACAUGUCAUACUUGUUUGUAAGGUAUGUGGUAUCAAAUGUGACCAUAUCUCCAAAGUUUUUAUAGGCUGCCUUACUCCUUGGAUCGGCCCAAUAUACAUUUUUUAACCGGCCCUCCUUAUUUAGGUCAAGACUGAAGAAAAACCCAUCAUUUUCUGUUUGCAUUUUCUUAAAAUGUCUCUGAAUUGCAACAACAUCCCCUUCUCCGAGCCUUAAUCGCCUCACCUUGUCAAUAUGAUUUCUAGCAUCUUUUUCUAAGAAUGAGACAUUUUCAAAGCCACCAGCCUCAACAACAAUCGACUUAAAACUUUGAGCCAUUUUAAUUCCAGCUUCAUCAUUUAUUUCAAGCUGCUUUUUAACAAAAGGACUAAUGGUACGGUUGCAUCGAUAAUACCUACUCUUGCUCGGACUCACGGCACGGUUGUGUUCAAGGAUCAUAUUUCCAAUUACCCAUUUUCUACUAACAAAAUCCAAACGUCCUCCAAGUUUAGCAUUGCAUUCAAUUUUUUGGUUUGGUUGAAGCCGCAAAACAUUAGUGCUUUUGGCUUUUGAAUUGCCAUUUCGCCCACAAGUAAAUGUCACAUAUCUCAAACUCCCAUCAUCCCCUUUUCUACAAGAUCUCCACAUCACUGGAAACCCCUCUUAUAGGCCAUAAGCCUUAUAAUAUUCAAACAUUUCAUCAGAACUAUUAAAAGACAUCCCAACUGCUGGCUCAACAACUUUUUCCACCACCAAUUCCUCAUUAUUUUCUUCCAAAUCAGCCCCCUGCAAAUCCUGCAAUUCUUUAACUUCAUCAACCUCCUCCACUUACUUCAAAUUAUCCAUUAACUGCUGCAAAUUAAAACAAUUCAAUAUAUUAUUAUUUAUUUUUCGUGAAUUCAUUAAAUUUAGAAUAAAAAAAUUAAAAACAAAAUGAAACAACUACUGAAGAUUCAAAUUUAAACAAUUCAAGCUUGUUGUAAAAGCAUCGCAAUUGGAAACUGAAAAUGUCAAAUAACGGCAAGCCGCAAAACAUUAACUAAUAGAAGUCCGUAGGCAUAAUUAAUACUCAAAUAACUUCAAAGUGUGGUUGAGCCAGACUAAGUUUAACUUAUAGCUAGCUCAAGCGAAAAUAUUGUAGGUCUUACAUGCGCAUGAGCGAAUUCCAACAAAAACAAGUUCAUGACUUACCACAAACUCAAACGUUAAUUCAUGUUGAUGCUAUCUCCAACUUAUCUAUUUAGGUUACGAACUAUAUUCUCAGCAGGGGUUAAAUUAUCUUCUCGAUUGAAUAUAAAGAAGAGAACAUUUGUAUACUCAAAUAUCUUCGUAAUCGAAAAUGAGAUAGAAAUUCGAAAACAAAGUUUAAUACAAACAUGACAACAAAAAUGAGUCAAAAAUUCGUAGUCGAAACUGAAACUUCGAAAAUUUGAAGAUUCGAAAACAAAAUGCUGCCAAAAGAAAACAGUACCUUAGCUUGUGCAAAGCCACGUAUAAUCGAAACUGGAAUCUGUAAAUGCCGAAACUUAGUCUUAUGUCAGAAAAAUUUAACAGCUGCUGUUAAUGCCGAUGAGGUUAGGAAUCAUGGACAAUGUCGAGACUCUAUCUUGUUCAAGCUUCUGCUUUUGCCUUGUUUGAGCCAAAUCUUAUCACCUUCGAGGAAUAUAAGAGCUUAAAGAUUUUGCAUUUCACUCGGGUGUGGUGAAUCGAAGAGGAAGAGCUUAAAGAUUUUGCGUUUUUCUCAGUUCAUAAAGUAGCUGUUUCUUUGCGUUUUUUCUGCUUUAGUUGGUUUUGUUUUUACUAGGCUGAAACGACUACGUUUCAUGGAAGCAAAAAGGAAAAAAAAAAGAAAGAAACCAAAACGGCAUCGUUUUGGUUUAAUUCGGGGUUUGACGCGGGGAAAGUAGCAUUUUCCUAUUUUUAAUUGUUAACAUUUAGAUCUUUUUAGUUCUACAUCCAUAGCCAAACUAUUUUAAGUAAACUAUAUUCAUUUUAUUGUAUGUUUUUUAAGAAUUUUUUAAUUCGAAAUAAUUUUUUUAAUAUUGUUGAAAAAGACAGGUUAAAGUAAAAAAAUUAUUGACUAAAUAAAUAAAUAAAUGACAUUAUUUUAUUUUUUAACAUUAAAAAAAACCAAUUUGAUGCAGUCCACUUAGUCCUGCACACUUGGAACGUUACCAUGCUUUUUAGUGCUGUACAUUUUGGACUCAAUUGUCCUUGUCAUUUCAAGUAAAAGUUGAAGCCGUCUCAAAAGUAAAAUAAUAGGGUCCGCCUAAGUUACAUUUAACGUAACUUACGGCUGACCCGCAAAAUAUCAUUAAUCCCCCUAUACUCUAUGUUAUUUACAAUAUAUUUAUAAGUAUUAUAAAAUUUUCUGUAUUGUAAAAUUUCGUUGAACCUCUUGUACUCUGUUUUAUUUUAAUGAAACUCUUGGAGUACGAAUUUGCCCCCUAUAAUUUUAAAUUCCCAAAAUACCCUACAGUUAAUUAAAAAUAUAAUAAUAAUUAAAUAAAUUAUAAUUAUAAUAAUUAUUUUAUUAUAAUUAUAAUAAUUAUUUUAUUAUAAUUAUAAUAAUUAUUUUAUUAUAAUUAUAAUAAUUAUUUUAUUAUUUUAUUAUAAUUAUAAUAAUUAUUUUAUUAUAAUUAUAAUAAUUAUUUUAUUAUAAUUAUAAUUUUUUAAUGGAUUAUUAUUAUUAUUAUUAACAAGAAUAAAAAGUAUUAUAACUAAUUAAUUUUUAGUUAAAAUGUUAAUAAUAACAUUAACAAUAACUAUUAUUGAUAAUUAAUUUUUGAAUAAUAAUAACAGUAACAAUAACAAUAAUUAAAAUACAAAAGAAUAAUUAUGAUAAAAAUUAAUGAAGGAUUUUAUAAUAAUUUGUUACAAUUUAAUUUAUUCUGAUUUUGAUUUUAAGACAAAGUAAACAAAUAAAUGGUAAUACAGCUCAUUCUAAUUAUGAUUCAUGCCGUUCAAAUAAAUAAAUUAUUAUGAUUCCAAUUCUUUAUUUGGAUUCUAGAUAUGUCGAUUCUAACUUAUUAUGUUUUCAGUAAAUUUUGAUUUAUGUUUAGUGAAUGCACUAUAAAAUUCAUAAUACUUAUAAAAAAUUGUAAAUAAUAUAGAGUGGUCUAAUUGAAUAUAAAGUGAUUUACAAUUUUAUAGUGCAUUCACUAAAAAUGAAUCGAAAUUAGUUGGAAACAUAAUGAGUUAAAAUUGGAUUAGCUAGAAUUAAAAUGAAAAAUUGAAAUCAGAAUAAUUUAUUUACUUGAACUGCAUGAAUCCUAAUUAGAAUAAACUGUAUUACCAUUUAUGUGUUUACUUUGUCUUAGAAUCAAUAUCGAAAUGAGUUAAAUUGUAACAAAUUACUAUAAAAUUCUUAAUUAAUUUAUUAUAAUUAUUACUUUGUAUUUUAAUUAUUGUUAUUGUUAUUAUUCGUCAAAAAUUAAUUAUUAAUAGUAAUUAUUGUUAAUUAUUAUUAUUGAUAUUUUAACUAAAAAUUAUUGUUAAUUAUUGUUAAUAGAUUAAUUAAUUAUAAUACUUUUUAUUGUUGUUGUUAAUAAUAAUAAUAAUCCAUUUAAAAAUUAUAAUUUUAUUUAUAAUUAUAAUAAAAUAAUUAUUAUAAUUAUAAUUUAUUUAAUAAGUAUUAUAUUUUUAAUUAAAUGUAGGGUAUUUUGAGAACUUAAAAUUAUAGGGGGCAAAUUCAUACUCCAAGAGUUUCAUUAAAAUAAAACAGAGUACAAGAGGUUCAACGAAAUUUUACAAUACAGAAAAUUUUAUAAUAUUUAUAAAUAAAUUGUAAAUAAUAUAGAGUAUAGAGGGAUUAAUGAUAUUUUGCGAGUGUUGGGUUAAAUGUAACUGAUCCAAAAUAAUAAUGUGCAAUUAAGUAACUGGCCUAAACUUUAGAAAUUUCAGAAGUUACAGUAUACGCAGGUCACAUCUAGGACCAUUAUUAGUUUAAUCAUUAAAUGACAAAAUUUUGCCAAUCUUGAGGGGGCUACUUAAAAAUGCAAGCAUCUCGUCCCUUGCCUGCUUCAUAGAUGCUCUUACUCACCCCCCCCGUCAUCUCACUUGUGCAAACCAAAGAAAAAAGAAAGAUUAUUAUUUUCCAUUUAUUACACAAAAAACAAUAAUUCCUUUUUAUUGCUCCAUGUUUAUUAUUUUAUUCUAUUUCUCCAGAAUCUCUCUUUAUCAAUUAAAUUUAUGAUAUAGAUAUUGAAGAUUUGCUUAAAUCAGAAAACUUGUUCAUAUUUCUGGUCAAUAUAAUACAUCCCUUAAAAGGUAAAAAUAGGGAAAAAAAAAAACAAGAAUGAUGAUUUUUUUUUUUUUUUUGGUUUUGACUGUUCUAGACAAUAAAGAAAUAUUUUGAAAGGGUCGGAGAUUACAAUGAAUCUAUACACUUGUGGAAAUAUUUUUAAGGCAUAAAUAAGUGCAACUUGAGAGCAUUUUGUUUUUUGUUCCACUAUAUAUUUUUAUACAACUGCCGCCUUAGAUUGGGUGCAUCACUUCAUUAUAUAAUCAGUAAAAAUUAAUUAUAUAAAUGGAAUCAUUCUCUAUUACAAUUAUUCGACUUCAUGAAGUAACAACUGAUGUUUUUUACCACAUUGUCAAAAGAGUUCAACUUUUAUUUGAGAAUACACCAUAUAAAAGAAAAAGAAAAAAAUAAAAACAAGAGUACACCAUAGAAAAGAAAAAAAUAAAACAAGUUUUAGAAUUAGUAGAUUAGAAUUGUUAUAAGAAAGAGUUGUCCCUAUAACUUCAAUAAGCUAGCCAUGUUUCUGAAGUUUGUUUUACUACCCUUACCAAACUUUUUCUAGUUGAUAUUAAUAACUUUAGUUUAGUAAACAGAAGCAAGAAGGUUAGAAUUAAUAACUUUAUCGUGAAUAAUUAAUAUGAUUACAGUUUAAUAAAAUUAUAUGUAAAGGCUUAUUUAAAGAGCGAAAAUUUUAUUUUUUUAUCAUUCUUUAGUGCUUAUAAUUAUAAUUUAAUCUAGAAGUAUUUUAAUUGUAAAAAUUAUUUAAAAAAAUAAGUUUGACGAAUAGUUUAGAGCUUAUAAUUAUUUUCUACUUAUAAUUAAGUUAAUAUUUAAUAGAAAGAACUAAAAUAAUAAAAGCAAAAACCUUUUCCGGCAAUUCCUUGUUAUUUACAUUUUUGGCACUGUCCUUGACAGAGGACUACACCGAGGAAUCUCAGGCCGUGGCACACGUGCGGCGGCUUCUCGACAUCGUCGCGUGCACCACACGGUUCUCCAAGUCCAGAAACUCCCGAUUGCCGCCAUCGUCAGAGUCAUGUGCCAAAAAGAACGACAGUAGGCCCCACCAACCUUCACCAAACUCUGCCGCUCUGUCUGAUGGAGCAGCAACAGCAGCAGCAGAUAACCGAAGCGGGCCCCGCGCCACGUCAUCGCCAAUUUCAUCGGCGGUUUCUCCGAGUCUGGACAUGGCAGCCAUUCACCCGACGCCGAAACUCUCCGAGUUUUACGACUUCUUCUCUUUCUCUCACCUCACUCCCCCCGUCUUAAGUAAGCCUAAUGUUCAUUUAUAUAUUUGUCUUCGUUUCUUACAUGGUUGAUCAAAAAAAAAAAAAAAAGAAAAGAAAGAGGAAAAUGAUAUAAAUAUAUGUGAUUUAUUUGAAUAUGAAAUUUGUUUAUUGAUUUUAAUUUUUAAUAAUUUUGAUUUUGAAGAUUUGAGAAAAUGUGAACGCAAAGAAGGAGACAAGCGCGACAGUGAUUAUUUUGAAAUUCAGGUGCCAUUUAAUAUAAAGUUCUGAUUAUUGUUGUUUGUUGUUUAUGGACUAAUUAAUUGUAGAGUUAUUCAACUCGUUAUUUUUGCUGAUGAAUUGGCCAAUGAGUGUUAAAGAUUUAAUAAUCAUUGUCCGCUAAUUAAUAAGAAUGCAUGGAUUAUUUUCAUGUCUUUGUAAGUAAUGUGAGUAUUUGAAAGUGCGGGAAACUGUAUUUUGUGCUUACAGAUAAAAAUCUGCAAUGGAAAGCUUAUACAAGUAGUUGCAUCAGUAAAAGGGUUCUAUACUUUGGGAAAGCAGUUUUUCCAAAGCAACUCCCUGGUGGAUCUUCUGCAAAAUCUCAGUCGAGCUUUUGCCAAUGUGGGUACUCAAUAGUUGAAUCUACAGAUUAUUUUUUUCUUUUUUAUCUGAAUGCAUCUUUUUUUCCUUUGUAAAUUCAAUUAGCUUACCCUUCAAUUGUUUUGUUAAUAAUUAUGGUCAUUAUGCGUGAUGCAGGCAUAUGAAUCCUUAAUGAAAGCUUUUGUUGAACAUAAUAAGGUUACAAUUUCUGUGCUGACAUAGUUUAUUACCAAUUCAAAUGUGAUUUUAACUUGAUUUUACUGAUAUAGUAUAUUCAUUAUCCUUCUUCAGUUUGGUAAUCUUCCCUAUGGAUUUCGAGCUAAUACAUGGCUUGUACCUCCAUCUGUUGCUGAGUCUCCAUCAAAUUUCCCUUGCCUACCGGCAGAAGAUGAGAAUUGGGGUGGCAAUGGCGGAGGCCAGGGAAGAGAUGGAGAACAUGAUUUACGACCAUGGGCGACGGAAUUUGCUAUACUGGCUAGGCUUCCUUGCAAAACUGAAGAGGAGAGGGUGGUUAGAGAUCGGAAGGCCUUUUUGCUUCAUAACCAAUUUGUUGAUGUCUCAAUUUUUAAAGCUGUUGGAGCAAUACGCCGUCUCAUUGAUUCAAAUUUACACACUCAAGAUACAAUAAAGGGGGCAAUCUUGCAUGAAGAUCGUGUGGGAGACUUGUCCAUUACAGUAAAACGUGAUACAGUAGAUGCAAACUUGAAGUCUGAGGUUACUAUUAAAGGAAAUCAGUUAUCUGGUAUGUCUACUGCAGAAGUUGCUCAAAGGAAUUUACUAAAAGGUGUUACUGCAGAUGAGAGUGUAGUUGUUCACGUAAGUCGAUUUCUCCUUUACUUCUUACGCUUACGUUCACAGACCACACACAUAAAAGACAUUCAUCAAAGCUGAAAUUACUUACGUGGGCGGAAUAAUAUAGCUCCGGAAUAAUAUAGCUCUACCUUUGUCAGGGAGUGAUUUUUCUGUCGGAUUAAGAUGUUUCACUCUUUAUCUGAUAUCUAGCAUUUGAUGAUGGCCUAAAAUACCCAUCCUCUUCAUUCUCUCUUUCUACACAUUUAUGAAUGCACAAGAAAGUCAAUUUUAGUUUCUUUCCUAAGAAUCACUACUUGUUACUAACCUUAUAUAUCUGGUUUAGCUUCAUGAAUCUUUUGUUGCCAUUCUGUUUGGUGACUCCCUAUUCUGUUGAAAUCACUUGAUAGCAGGUCUUUCUACCCAUUAUCCAUAUCCCUCUGAUUUUCUACUUGUAGUUUGCGCCAGCUUAAUGUCAUCAACCCUUUUUGGGGAAGCCUAUUAACCUUGGUUGGGCAUGCUUGUAUUAUAUCAACUAGUGAUACAAUUGCUAAAGUUUUCAGCAUGGUAGAUCUUGAAAUAAAAUUUUCUUGAAAUAUCUAGAUUUAUCUUCCUUUUCUUUUUCUCUUUCUUUUAUUUUAGUUUCAAAGAUUUUGUUAUAAAGAGAACUGAACAAUAUAGUUUUUGGCAGGAUACCUCCUCAUUGGGUACCGUCAUUGUAAGACACUGUGGAUACACCGCCGUAGUAAAGGUUGUUGGUGAUGUGACGGAGAAGUUUGGCACACAAGAUAUUGAAAUUGAAGAUCAACCUGAUGGAGGAGCUAAUUCUCUUAAUAUUAACAGGUCUGAAAUUGUAACACAAUGCUUCCUCUGUCGAUUCCUCUUAGCACACAAAGACUAGGAAAUCUACAGAUGGAGAAUGGCUGUAAGAUAUGAAAAAUUAUCUUUCAACCACUAACCGUUUUAAGCUAUUCUGCAAGAUAUCUUAGAAAUGCUAACUGGUAUGAGCUUCUUUGCUUAGUGUCUAUCACAGUUGAAUUCAUGAUGCAGAGCAUUGUUAUUCUCCUUAUUUUUACCAGAUAGAACAGGAUUGAAACGGUGGUGUUGGGGAUUCUUAAGAAAGGAUAGCACCUGCUCCUUUUUCUUUCUGUUUAGAUGGGAUCUAAUCAGUAGAUGUCUGAACUCUUAAGGGGAUUUGAUGUCAGAUUUCUAAACCAGGUUUUCUUCAAGUGUUAAGUUUAUGAAUAGGCCAAAGAAAAGAAAGCUGAUAUCUAGUUAGGGAUAUGUACUCCUCUUUCAGCAUCCUAUGGACCAGAAAAUGGCUUUUCCUCCAUUAAAAUAUGUGUGAGAUUCUUCACUGUAUGGGGAUGCUUCACCUCUGCAUAGUUGUAGACCACCUAAAAAAUAACGAGUGGUUGCAGGAAACAUUAAGUCAUGGCUUUCACAAUAAUGGUGGAGUGUUUAUAGUUAUGUGCCUUGACAUUGGUUUGUAAUUGUUAUAUUAACAAAAUAACCAACAGACAUCGUUGAUGAUGUUCAAAUAAAGGAUAAAGGAAAGUAUAAUUACAGUGGAUGCUCAGUUGCUGAAAUAGGUCAUCAGCUUUUUGGAUUGUGCUAUUUCAGAAAGUAUUUAGACCUUCUUUGGUGGAUUCUGCCUUUGUUUCAUAUACUCUUAUAUCUUUCUCCAUUUAAGUUGUUCUGACAGGGUAAACUAUUUAUUGCAGCUUAAGGCUUGUACUUCAGAAGUCUUUCAGUGCUGAAUCAGCUAGAGGAGACCAGUCACCUCUGUGCAAUUUGGAUAAUUCAGAAGCUCUUAGAAGUCUUGUACGAAGAGUUAUUAAACAGAGUUUAGCAAAGCUAGAGCUGGAGCCAACUGCGUCAGAAAGAUCUAUUAGAUGGGAACUUGGUUCUUGUUGGGUGCAACAUCUACAAAAGCAGGAAACCCCAACAGAUAUCAAGUCAACGACGUCUGGGGAUGAUAUUGAGACUGAACAUGCUGUCAAAGGUCUUGGGAAGCAAUUUAAAUUUUUGAAGAAGAGGGAGAACAGACCUAACCUUGUUGGUAGCAAUUAUGAGGCUAACGAAGAUGACAAUGGACCGUGCAGCAUGAAUGUGGGAACUAAUGGCAGACAGCAAAGCAAUGGCGAGCUCAAUUGUGAGAUGGAAUUGAAAAAACUAAUUUCUGAAGAAUCCUUCUUGCGAUUGAAAGAAACUGGCACUGGCCUUCAUUCAAAGGUUGCAAAAUCUCAAAUUUGUUUUGUAUUUCAACUGUAAAGUUUGCUACUUUUUGUGUUUUCAUUAUGGUAAAUUUGGUUUGUUUUAUUUUCAUAAGGAAUGACUGGUAAAAUCAAUUUCUUGUGCAGGCAGUGGAUGAGCUUAUGAAAAUGACAUACAAAUAUUAUGAUGACAUUGCUUUACCAAAGCUGGUACUAUUUAAUUUAUUUAGGGCCUUUGUUGCAGCCAAUUUAGACGUGUGGGGAUGGUUUAUGGACUAAUUUGCAUUCUUUAUUAGGUAACAGACUUUGGAUCACUUGAACUUUCUCCGGUUGAUGGCCGCACACUGACAGACUUUAUGCAUUUAAGGGGACUACAAAUGCGCUCUUUAGGUCGCGUGGUGAGGAAUUUCUCCCUCUCUUUCUCUCUCAGACAUGCAACCUAUUCACCCGUGGAAAUCGGAAUAAACAAAUGUUGUCUUUCUUUAUGUAAACAAAACCCCUAAGUUAUCUUUCUAUAUGUAAACAAUCUCCCCAAGUCUUCCUGGAUUGAAUUAUCAAUGUUCCUUUUUGAAAAUUGUACUACAUGAUAGAAUUUUUGACAUGGUGAACUUUUCCAAGAUAUUGAAUUAUUGUCGUCUUUAGAUAUUACUGUAUGUUGUGUGACAUACAAUAUUUUGAGAAAUUGACAUGCUAAUACUUGAAAGCCUGGUAUUCUUCUUCUGUUGGUUCUAAUCCCAUUUACAAAUUCAGGUUGAACUUGCAGAGAAGCUUCCUCACAUACAAUCACUUUGUAUUCAUGAGAUGGUUACUCGAGCGUUCAAGCAUGUACUUAAAGGAGUCAUCGCAUCCGUUGACUAUUUAUCAGACCUAUCUGCAGCUAUAGCUUCUUCCCUAAAUUUCUUAUUUGGCUGUUGUGAGAUGGAAGAUGACCAAAGCUUGAAUGAAGAUCAUAUCCUUAGAUUGCAGUGGCUACGAACAUUUCUUGGCAGAAGAUUUGGUUGGUCCCUGAAAGACGAGUUUCAGCAUUUGAGAAAGAUUUCAAUUCUACGUGGGCUUUGCCAUAAGGUAAGGUACUGUCUUUUCGGUUCCUUUGGCAGCGGAUUAUUUUCAAAGCUUGAAUUUUGCUUGUAAACUUUACCCAGGUUGGGUUGGAGUUGGUUCCAAGAGAUUAUGAUAUGGAAUGUCCAAACCCAUUCACGAGAGAUGAUAUUGUCAGCAUGGUUCCUGUGUGCAAGGUGAGACUAUUUUCUCUCUUAAUUGUGUUUUGAUUUAGUUUUUACAUUCUCAAUGAGUCACUCAUUUGUAAAUUGAAUGUAAUUGUGCUAUUUUUAUGGCAUUCUACAGCAUGUAGGUUGCACUUCAGCUGAUGGACGGACUUUAUUAGAGUCAUCCAAAAUUGCCCUUGAUAAAGGAAAACUAGAAGAUGCUGUAAAUUAUGGGACAAAGGUAAUAACCCACUCGAUCUAUACGUAAGAAUUACAUUAUUCUUUUCAUAAUAAGGCAUCUGUUGAUCUCAUAUGAUGUAUUACUUGCAUUGUAAGGCACUGGCAAGGAUGAUAGCUGUUUGUGGUCCCUACCAUCGGACUACUGCAAGUGCUUACAGUCUUCUAGCUGUAGUUCUCUACCAUACUGGAGACUUUAAUCAGGUACGACAAUCUUCAGUUGUAUUUCAGUGUUAACUUGGUGAUUCUAAGUCGAGUAUAAUUAUAACGUCCUUCUGUACGGAGAUUCUCAUUCAGUGGGACAUUUGAUUUGAAACUGUGUUAUGGCUAGUUUUUAUGGUCUUGUAUAAAGAUAUGCAUUAGAAAUUAUAAUUUUCUGGACUUAGGAAUUACAUGGACAGGCAUUAGCAUAAUUUUGAUAUCAGAUUAUAUAUUUUAACUAAAUCAAACACAUUCAUGGUUCUUAUGUUCUGGCAUUUGGUCUAAUGGCAUCUGCGUCUGAGUGUUAGAGUAGCGUUCGUAUGUACUCAAGAUAUCUUCUUCUUCAUUUUAGGCAACUAUAUAUCAGCAGAAGGCAUUGGAUAUUAAUGAGAGGGAACUUGGUCUUGACCAUCCAGAUACAAUGAAAAGCUAUGGGGAUCUUUCAGUUUUCUAUUAUCGCCUUCAACACAUUGAAUUGGCUCUUAAGUAAGUAGCACUGCUUGAUUUACCAGAGCAACUUUGUGAUUUUCAUUCUUUAACUGAUUAAGGUUUAUUUAUUCAUAAAUUAAAUUGGAAGUUUCGAAAAAUGUGACCUUUGUAUUGAAUGUGCUUCGAACGAAUGCAGUUUUUAUCUACCUACUUUAGCUUUUAUUUGUCUUUUAUUGGCUCUAGCUCCUGAUCAUACCGUACCAUUGGCAGAUAUGUAAAUCGUGCCUUAUUCCUUUUGCAUUUUACUUGUGGACUUUCACAUCCAAACACGGCUGCAACAUACAUAAAUGUGGCUAUGAUGGAAGAGGGCAUGGGAAAUGUUCAUCUUUCUCUUAGAUAUUUGCAUGAAGCCCUUAAAUGCAACCAAAGACUAUUAGGAGGUGACCAUAUACAGGUUUUUCUCUCUCUAUUUACGCAUGUAUACACACUCUUUAGAAUUAUAAAUCUUUCUGUUAACUCAGAAUUUUGUUUGAUUUCUUCACGUGACAGACAGCUGCAAGUUAUCAUGCCAUAGCCAUAGCUCUUUCUUUGAUGGAGGCAUAUUCACUAAGUGUGCAACAUGAGCAAACUACACUUAAGAUUCUCCAAGCAAAGCUUGGACUAGAAGAUCUGCGUACUCAGGUGACUACAUGUAGUCAUAUUUUAAUUGGUUCUGUUGUGCAAUUUGGCUAGUUGGCUUCUUUCUUGUCAAUCUUUUACAGGUGAUAUUAUGAUAUAAAACAAAUUGUAUUGGAGGCAUAUUUUUGGUGUCAAAUAUGGAUAUGACUCAUUCAUUAAUUGUAUCGAAAUAUCAAAAUACGGAUAUGACCCGUUUAUUAAUCGUGUUGACUUGUUUAAUAUUAAAUACAAACAAAUUAAAAAUUAAUUUUAAAAUAACAAAUGUGUCAAAAAAAUGAGUUAUAAAUAAGUUAAAAUGACAUAAGUAUGACAUGAAUAAGUUUAUAACAUAAUGUGAGUAUGACAUGAGUCAUAAAUUUAGUGUUUAGUAUAUAUUUUAGUUAUUUUUUCCAAUAAUAUUAACACAUAAUAAUUGAUAUUUGUGUUAUAAACGUAUAAUCAUAUUGAGAUGGUCCAAAACAGAUACGACAUGGUUAUUUAUCGUGUUGUGUCAACUCAUUUAUUAAUCGUGUCAAUAUUUGUCAACACGAAUAUGGGUCAUAUGUCAUAUUAUGUUGUGUAAUCGUGUCGUAAUCCAUUUUCCCACCUCUAAUCUUAACUGUCAUAAGAGAAUUUCUCAAGUUCCAUAUUAUUGAUGGGAAGAGAAUUUUGUUAUUUUGUUGUAUUUUUUUUCGUUUUACAGGAUGCUGCUGCAUGGCUGGAGUAUUUUGAAUCAAAAGCUCUAGAGCAGCAAGAAGCGGCACGGAAUGGAACUCCAAAGCCAGAUGCGUCCAUUGCGAGUAAAGGUCACCUUAGGUAUUAACAGGGUAUUCCCACAUUACUUGUUUCUAAAUUGUUGAUUAUUUCUUGUGGCACCAAGACCUAUAAUGAUCGCUUUUUGCAGUGUAUCAGAUCUCCUGGAUUACAUUAGUCCUGGUCAAGAUUCUAAAAGAAGCGAAGCACAUAGGAAACAACGACGUGCAAAGGUAGUAUAUACUUAGUGCCUGUUUAGUAUGACUUAUCUAAUAGUCAUAAAUUUUUAUUUAAUCCCAUAAGCUGUUAUCAAUUUUUUUUUGUUGUUUAAUUGUUUUUUCGUAGAGCUCUUGAAAAUUAAAUAAGUUAUUUUGCCUCUACUACCAAAAGCUCAAAUUUUGUGCUUUUAAGAGUAGAGGUUAAAAAGUUUUUUUUAAAUGUUAAAAUAUCUAAAAUAUUUUCUACUUAUUUGACAAUCUUAUUUUAUUCUUUUCAAAACAUAACUUUAAAAAAUUUGCUUAUUAAAGUAAUUUUAUAAUUUUCAAUAAAAGCUCUUAUUGACAACCAAACAACACAAAUUUUUUGGGUAAAAACUUUACUUAUAAAAUCUUUACUAACAAAAGCUCUACUCAGAUAAGAUCUAUUUGAAAAGCUAUGUCAAAUGAAGCAUUAAGCCUGCUGCUGUUCUCUGUUCCUUUUUUCUUGUGAUGUCAUCUGAAUGGAUUCUUAAACUAAUUGUAGUUAGGAUUUGGUAUUUUAGAGUACACUCUGCUGGCUGCAUAUAGUUUUGGAUUUGCUGAUGACACGAGUAAACUUGUUGGCCAUGCAAAAUGCAACUAUAUAUCUGCAGGAUAAUAGUUCUACUUUUCUGAGUGAACUCUGAAGGCACCAAUUAUAACAUCCAUUUCCAGCAUAGAAUCCCCUGCCCAACAAAAAGAAAUCUAACAUGCUUAUACAGAUCGCAGACAUGAUUGAAACUUCAGAAGUUUCUGAUCUAUUGAUGGCCAUAGAUUGGGCCAGCUGAUAGUUAGUAGGCAAUGAUGGAGGGUUGCUUGGUCAAGCUGCUAGUUCUUUGGAAAUUCAGAGAUGAUGAGCAGAACGAGUGAUAAUUUUUGUUUUCCCCCAUAAUCUUGAACAGAGUGGGAAGAAACCAUUAAUUUGAAGUGCAAUGGAUGGAUAUGACAGAUCUAUCAUUUUGGCUAGUAGAUGGAGUUCUUCCAUUCUACUGUUAUUUACUGGUUGUUUUUAUUGAUUCUAGAAAAACAUUUUUUGAUUUGGCAGUUGGAGUUUUUCCCUUUUUUUUUUCUCCCCAUUUUGUAGGCCUUAGAGAACCAAAUAAUACUACAUAUUAGAUAGACAGGAUUAUUAUGUGCUAAUUUGAAGUAUUACCUGGUUGACAAUUUAAGACACUAGUAAAGUAUUUCGCUAUGAUUAUUUUUUUUUGAGAAUUCCAUGAUUCAAAAGGCCGAAGAAUUUCAUUAGUUUAACAUAGUAUAUAUUAACAUAAUUUCUCACUGAGUGUUUUUUUCAACAUUUCAGGCAUGUACAUAUCAAAUUCCCAUUAUGUUCCACUGAAUUCUGCCUCAUGUUAUGUCCGGAUUUGUUGUAAUAAAUUUUGCUACUGUAAAAUUACAAGAUGAUUGUAACUUAAAAUGAACUAUUUCUAUUUGCUCAAUUUUUGACAUUUUAUAUGCAUACAAGUUAAAAAGGUUUUGUUUAUUUUUAUUUUUUUAUUUUUUCAGGUAAUGCAGAUUAGGGAAAAGAUUCAUGGAGCACAUCAUGAUAUGAUGGUGGAAGAUGCACUGCCCCAUGAUGGAUUGAAAAAGAGGAUGACUAUAGUGGAAAGCAAGACCGAGGAAGUAAUAGAAGACAGUGUUCAACCUGAAGAGCCAGAAGAGAAUGAUGAUAUUACUAGAUAUGGACCGGCAAUUUCAGGUGAGUUUGUGGAAGAAACAAAUUCAGAUGAGGGGUGGCAAGAAGCCAAUCCAAAAGGUAGGUCAGGAAAUGCUGCUGUUCGGAAGCUCAGCCGGAGGCGACCUGUUCUUACAAAGCUAAAUGUCAAUGGUUGUGAACAUUCAAAUCUUAGAGAAAAAGGCAAUAGACGGGAAAUUGUAUCUCCAGCACGGGAAAAAGCUUCAAGGACCACCACCACUGAGUUAACAGGCACGAAGGAUUCAAUUAAAUUGCAGGGAAAAGCUUCUGUCUCCAAAGUUUAUGCAAGUCCACCAAACCUUACUGCCAUGGCUUCCAAGUCGCUGUCUUACAAAGAAGUAGCUGUGGCACCACCAGGUACGGUUCUAAAGCCAUUACCAGAGAAACCUGACGAAGAAAUUGAAGAAAAAACUGAAACACAGAUGUGCAGUAAUGCUCCUGAGACAUCAAAGGCGGAGUUGAAUAACCAUUUCUCUCCCGUUGAAGAUGCGCCAGUUGAUGGUCAGUCUCAAGAAACUCAUGGAAGUGUAACUCAAUCUGAAACUACUGCUGCAGAUACCGAGGAAGUUCCUACUUCUUCUAAUGAGGAAAAGCCCAUGGAAACAAAUGGGAGUAAGCUUUCUGCCACAGCUGAACCAUUCAACCCAGGAGCUGUCUCCAUGACUCAUCUGCUAAACUCUGUAGCAGCCACGAGUAUUUAUGAUGCGAGAACUAGUCAAGGUAUGCUUGCAGAACCUGCUGUACCUUCGGCUGCUGCUAGAGUUCCUUGUGGGCCAAGGUCGCCUCUCUAUUAUAGAAAUAAUUAUUCUUACAUGAUGAAACAUGGAUUUCCAAAAUACCACUCUUCCAUUAUGGAAAGAAACCUGUUGGGGCCUUCAAGAAUCAUGAACCCGCAUGCACCCGAGUUUGUGCCAAUGAGAGGUUGGCAAAUAAAUCCUGGAUAUGCAGAUUCAAAUGUUUCAAAUGAGUCGAACUCUUCAAACGACACAAGUGAGGCAGACGAUGAGAAACUUGACAAAAUGUCCAGUAUUCAAGGCGAGGAUAAUACCUCAAGAAAGAGCAGUACAGAGGCGGAGAAUUCAGAGCUGGCAAGACAGAUACUACUUAGCUUCAUUGUAAAGUCAGUCCAGCAUAAUAUGGAUGCUCCAAGUCAUUCUUCAGGCUACGAAAAGAAGAUUGGGUAUUCAGAAAAUUCUUCAGAUGCAAUUGCAAAUGAUAGUGCUAUCAUAAAGAUCCUUUAUGGAAAUGAAAAGGGCAAAACAAACUUGGCAUCUCAGUCCAAUGAUCAAGAACAGCAAAAACCCAAAGAUGAAAACCAAAAAAGUGGGGAUGGUGAAGGAUUUAUAGUUGUCAGAAAACGGAGAAGAAACCGACAGCAGAUCACAAAUGGGGUCACUGAGAUGUACAAUCAUCAAUCCAUCUGUGCUUCUGUUCGUUAAAAGAGAGCAAAGCAAUAAAAUGCAAAGGUGCCGUCCUGUUUCUCCCAAUUUUAUUCGAAAAAUUUGUUAGUGAAUGUUGCUGUUGUAGAGAUGGUUAAAGUUUGGAGCAAGUUUUAAUCAAUACUUGAUUGUAUCAUUUUAGAUAUCCUCUCUGGAUGUUCUAAUAAAAUAUUUGUACAAAUCGGUUUCUUGUUUUGUUAAGAGAUUUUGUUUUGAUCAAUAAAUGAUGAUAAAUUAAUUGGGCGAUUUUCCUCAUCAAGAGAUCUGUGAUGUUGUUCUAUAAUGGAUUUUAAUGUUUUAGACUGAGAUUUGUAGUUAUGCCUCAAAUUAUUUGGUAUUUGGUUGGUGCGUGUGAACAAUACGUUCGGAAUGGAGUUGAAUUGACCCACUGAUAGAUAGCUUACAUUUGCAGCUGAAGUUGCUGCAUUGAUGAUAUUACAACUAACAUAGUAGUUGGCAAAAUUCCUUAUUCAAUUUAAAUUUGCAAUCAACAGAAACUGAAGAAGAAGCCGUAAGUUUAAUCCUAAUGGAUGCAUAGCUGUUUGGAGAAAAGCCAACGGAGACAUAACACAGCACGAUAAGUUAUACACGGCAGAACCGUAUGUGCUAGUAAGCACAGUCACCGAUGGAAAACAUAUUUGAAAAGCCAAUAGUAGCAUGUGUCAAUACAUCUAUCAAUGAAAUAGAACCACAGUCUGCGCCAGUACGAGUUUAUCCAAAGUGCUGCAAAUAAACCCAAAAUUACUGACACAUAGGAUGCUCCAAAACUCCAUCUUAAUGCCACCAUAUCAAUCACAGAAUCGCCUUCAUCUUCUCCUCCUCCUGUAGGUGUCGCUGGUGGUGCCAACGCACUGCUGCAUUUCCUCUUUAUCAUUGAGCCACAAAGAGCCGAAUUACCUUUAUAACUGCUGUCAUCAAAGGUGGCAAACUGCUCUUUGUCUGGGAUUGGGCCGGACAAAUUGUUGUAUGACACGUUGAAGUUUGAUAAAAAGUUGAGAUCAGUUAGUUGAGGAGGAAUUCGGCCACUUAAUUUGUUGCGGGAAAGGUCCAGGCUCUCUAUCAUUUUCAGAUUGGAGAAGCUCUCUGGUAUAGCACCUGAUAGUAAAUUAUUCGACAGAUUAAGUGCACGAAUAUGUUGAAGAUGCCCAAUUUCCCAUGGAAUUUCUCCACUGAACUCAUUGCUCGACAAAUCCAGUCCAGCCAUGUCGACGAGACUGCGACCGAUGAAAAAUUCAUAUCUAUACUUUGUCACAAAUUCUACACCUACUUGUCUAGCAUGUCGUUCACCUUGCGGCGGCUGAUCAAGAGUGGAAUUGUAGAAAGUAAAACUGAGAUCACGAGUUGACACAGCAAAUCCGGGUAUAAUAUUUGGAUAUAUCACUUCAUAUCUGUUUACAUGUGGAUAAUCAUCAAUCGCUUCUCUCCAGAAUGACACGUUACCCAAGCAUGAAGGUAUCGGCCCAUUAAGUCUGUUAUGUGAAAGAUCCAUGAUACCUAAUUUUCUUAAUAGGCACAACUGAUUAGGAAUACGUCCUUGUAGAGAAUUCCCUCUCAAAAGAAGAAAAUGCAAAUUCGAAAGCUCGUUGAUCUGAUGAGGAAUCCUACCAAAAAGCUUAUUGUCCCUCAAAUCUAGAGUCAAUAAUGUAGAGCUUCUAAGCAAUGCAAUUGGAAUUAACCCAUUAAUUGCAUUGUUAUGCAGAUAAAUGUGCUCCACUGAUGAAAGAUUGGAGAGAGAUACCGUGGACCCAGACAAACUAUUUUCGGAGAUGUCUAUAAACUCAAGACCUUCAAGAUUGCCGAGCUGGACCGGAAUAGUACCUUGCAAAUAAUUUUUUGACAUUAAAAGAACCCGAAGGCCUGAGAAGUUGCCAAUCCAGUGGGGAAUAUCGCUGGAUAACUUGUUGUUGGAUACAUCUAAUACCCCCAGCAAAGGGGAGUUCAACAAACCAUCUGUCAUCUUCCCACUGAAAUGAUUGUUGUCCAAAAGUAAGGAACGCAAAUGAGUCAAGUUCAUAAAAUUGGGAAAAAGUUGGCCAUAGAAAUUGUUAUUUGAUAGGUCCAACAUUUCUAAGGAGAGGCAACUAGAGAAUAUAGAUCGAGGUAAUUCUCCUGAAAAAUUAUUUCUAGAAAAAUCCAAAGUAAUUAGCUCUUUCAUCUCACUGAUUGAAUAAGGAAUAUUACCUUCAAAACUAUUUUUUGACAUAUCCAAAUAUAUCAAUUUCUGAAAGAUAAUACCCAAAUUCUCUGGUAGCUUACCAGAAAAAUUGUUACUGGAAAUAUCUAGAUAACGAAGCUUAUCGUAUUUGGCGUUGGGAAGUCGCGGAAGAAUUCCUGAGAAUGAGUUAUUCCACAAAAUCAAAACUUCUAAUCCUGUGUUGUUUUGCAACAACCAAGUUGGGAAAUUGCCAACCAACUGAUUGUGAGAGAGAUCAAGGAAUUUUAAGUUGUAUUGGUGUAAAAGAAAACUGGGAUUGACAUUUAAGUGGCAGUGAGAUAAUUGGAGAACCUUGAGAGGAUAUGUGGGGAGCCAGUUUUCGGUUUUCACUUGCAACAUAUCGUUUCCUGACGAGAGUCGCAAGACCUCAAGCUUUGAAUGAUUAGCCAAUGAAUUUAUUGAGAAUGUUCCUUGGAAAUCGAUGAAAGAGAGAUCCAAAUAUUCAAGUGAUGUGAGGUUGGUCAAGGCAGAAGGAAAGUUUCCACUUAACUGAUUGUAAGAAAUAUCAAGAACUUUGAGAUGGGUCAAGUUGUUGAGGCACUGAGGAAGGUGAACCACAAAAUUAUUUGACUUUAAAUCCAACUCAAGAAGAUUCUUCAAAUUACAUAUUCCUGAAAGUGAAAAUAAAAAGCUCAGAUUUCAUAAAACGAAAACUAAUUAUAGCGCAUUCAAUCAUAAACCCAAUAUAAGACUUAUAAAACGGACAUGAAAUCAAAUUGUCUAAGUAUUUUGGUCAACAUAAAUAAUAAUAGAAUGAUAUGAAUUUAUUUCUCAUAUAAUAUGAUGUUGAUUGCAAAAGCGUUUCAAUUAAUCUAACAAAAUAAUAAUAAUAAUAAUAUAAAAGCAGUCAGCAAUUCUUGCUCAUCAUAAUCCAUUCAAAAAGCGUUUCAGCAAUUCUCGUUGUUUAAAAUAAUGAUUUUCCGAGGAAGAGUUUGUUGACUUCGUCUUUUUCGUUGGAUAUUCGUUCUCUAAUCUCUAAAUUUGUUGGAUAAUGUAAAGAGAAACUCAUAAUAUAUUAGUUGCUUUCUUAAACUUUAUUUAUUCCUCUCAUAGCAUUAAACAAAACUAUUUGCCCUAGCAGAAAAAAAAAAAAAAAACUGGUCUUUAUAUUUAAUUUGGUGAAAGUACUUUGACCAACAAGUCACUGGGAAGUAGGAAUUGUGCAUCAGUAAUGCAAAUAUUGGGUGCGUUGGCAUUGUUUUUAUAUGCUGUUUUUUAUUUUUUGAUUUUAGAAAAUAUUAGAUACGUGUUCGGUAGAUUGUUUCUGAAAAUAUUUUUAAAAAUAUAAAAUUCAUUCUACACAUUUUAACAAAAGAAAUGAGAAACAAUUUUUUCUUAUUUUCCUUAUUUCCCAAUACAAAAUUAAGUUCCAAAAUGAAGAAUUCUCUGUACCUCCUCCUGAAAUAAUAAUAAUAUCAACAUUAUUAUUAUUAUUAUCAUUAGGUCUAAUUAUCUCUGGGUGACAGAUGUUUUAAUAAAUUUCAAAAAGAUGACACAUGUUUUGAAAACACUCGAGUGGGUGACAUUCCAUUAACUUUUGUUGUUAAUUUUAACCAGUCGAGGGUAGAAUUGAAAAAAUAAUUUUUUUUUUCAUAAAGCCAAAGAGAUGAAAAUAUUGAAUUUAUACAAUACUUUAUAAUUCAUAAGAUUUUUGCUUCUUUAUAUUCACAAAUCAGUUUGAUCAACAAGAAUUUUUUUAAAAUUUAUUUGAUUUAACAAAAAAAACUUGUUAAUUAGACUUAUGUUUAAUUUUUUUUUAUAUUUUCUAUUUAAAAAAUUAAAAAUGAGUGAGUAUGGGCAGAAACAUCAUUUUGUGGGGUAGAAACGUCAUUUAAUUUACUAUUCCCAUUAAAAUUAAUGACAAAAGUUAAUAGAAUGUCACUCGCUCGAAUAUUUUUAAAAAAUGUCAUCUUCUUAAAAUUUGUUAAAACAUAUGUCACCUAUUUGUUAAACAUAUGUCACCUAGAGAUUAUUAUUCUUAUUGUUGUUGUUGUUGUUGUUGUUGUACCCAAAGACUCAAUUUCCUUCACAAAAAUCUUUUCUUUUUAUAUACAUUAUAAUAUUUAUGUUUUUAUAUAUUAACUAAAUCAAAUAUGUAGGGUUUCUCAUUUUUCUUUGAACAAAAAAAUAGAAGGAUCACCUAAUUUAUUCUUAAAAUUAAAAUAAUCAAUAUACAUUGCUUAAUCUUAAGUUUAUGGAAAUUAUUCCAAUAAUAAUUCUUUGAGAUAUUCUUACCAAACAUAUUUAUGUUUUUCUCAUUUUUCAGAUUAUUUUUGAAAAUGAUACUGAACACAUUUUUAAAUUUUAAAAAUAAAUUUCAAAAUAGCAUUUUCAUUUUUAUUUUGUAAAAACAACAAUUAGAAAACAAUAUUGGGCUAUUAUUUAUCAUGUUUCAACAUAAAAACACAGUGUAAAUUGUUUAAUAUGGGUUUCUAGAGAAUUUUUUAUGUUACUAUUACUCAAAUUCAAUGCUUCCAAGCUUUUGAAUUUAGCUAAUCUUGCAUCAAGAAUUAAUGAACAUAAGAAAAAAAAAUUUCAUUCAGAACUAUAAAUAUUGAAAUAAAGAUAGAUAUCAUUGUUGAUCUUUUUAUAAAAAUGAUUUAGAAUUAAGAGAGAGUGAAAGAAAUGAGCGGGUUAUGUCGGAAAUUGGUGAUAGAGUAUAUCAAGUACUACACUUUGUAUAGAAAGCAGUGCUUCUAAUUUAAAUUUGAUCUAGUUUAAAGCAAUUAAAAAAUGGAAAUAUAUUAUCAUCUUGAUUAACAUCUAAAACAAUUUUAUCAUUGGAGGAAGUGAAUUGUUAUAUACCUUGAAUUGUAGUUAUCCCACAAUAACCAAGACCCAAUGUUUUCAAGUUUGGCAAAUCUGCGAAUCCUACAUGCGUCGAUAAAAAAUGAAAAUAUUACAUUUAAAGGCAUUGUAUGUGAUCCGCGUGUUUGAUGAACGUUAACUCUACAUUUAAUUUGCUUCUUAUCUCAAAUUCAGUGGCCUACCUAGCGUUGUCAGAUUUUGAUUAUCGCUUAAAUACAACACUUGCAGGUUUGUCAAAUUUGCUAAUCCUGCUAAAAAAAACAUAAAUUUUGUCAAUAACAGAUAUGUCACUCUCGUCUAAAUUGUUUAGUUAAAAUAAUAUGGUAAAUAUUGAAUGAAAAUUAACUGUGCACAUUGUUAUUUUUUUGUUUCUAUGGAUAUUUUAAUAUAUACCGUCACUUUUAGCAUUACCAAGAUUUGGAGUGUUUGAAUCAUAAUUUGUAAAUUAGUUUGCACUUUGAGUAAACUUGAAAAUGUGAAAAAAGCAAUUAAAAAAAAUGCAAAUAUAUUAUCAUCUUGAUUAACAUCUAAAACAAUUUUUGUCAUUGGAGGAAGUGAAUUGUUAUAUACCUUGAAUUGUAGUUAUCCCACAAGAACCAAGAUCCAAUGUUUUCAAGUUUGGCAAAUCUGCUAAUCCUACAUGCACCGAUAAAAAAUGAAAAUAUUACAUUUAAAGGCAUUAUAUGUGAUCCAUGCGUUUGAUGAACAUUAAUUCUACAUUUAAUUUGCUUCUUAUCUCAGAUUCAGUGGCCUACCUAGCGUUGUCAGAUUUUGAUUACCGCUUAAAUACAACACUUGCAGGUUUGUCAAAUUUGCUAAUCCUGUUAAAAAAAGGUAAAUUUUGUCAAUAACAGUUAUGUCACUCUCGUCCAAAUUGUUUAAUUAAAACAAUAUGGUAAAUAUUGAAUGAAAAUUAACUGUGCACAUUGUUAUUGUUUUUGUUUCUAUUGAUAUUUUAAUAUAUACAGUCACUUUUAGCAUUACCAAGAUUUGGAGUGUUUGAAUCAUAAUUUGUAAAUUAGUUUGCACUUGGAGUAAACUUGAAAAUGUGAAAAAAGCAAUUAAAAAAAUGCAAAUAUAUUAUCAUCUUGAUUAACAUCUAAAACAAUUUUUGUCAUUGGAGGAAGUGAAUUGUUAUAUACCUUGAAUUGUAGUUAUCCCAUAAGAACCAAGAUCCAAUGUUUUCAAGUUUGGCAAAUCUGCGAAUCCUACAUGCGCCGAUAAAAAAUGAAAAUAUUACAUUUAAAGGCAUUGUAUGUGAUCCGCGCGUUUGAUGAACAUUAAUUCUACAUUUAAUUUGCUUCUUAUCUCAGGUUCAGUGGCCUACCUAGUGUUGUCAGAUUUUGAUUACCGCUUAAAUACAACACUUGCAAGUUUGUCAAAUUUGCUAAUCCUGUUAAAAAAAGGUAAAUUUUGUCAAUAACAGUUAUGUCACUCUCGUCUAAAUUGUUUAAUUAAAAUAAUAUGGUAAAUAUUGAAUGAAAAUUAACCGUGCACAUUGUUAUUUUUUUGUUUCUAUGGAUAUUUUAAUAUAUACCGUCACUUUUAGCAUUACCAAGAUUUGGAGUGUUUGAAUCAUAAUUUGUAAAUUAGUUUGCACUUUGUGUAAACUUGAAAAUGUGAAAAAAGCAACUAAAAAAAAUGCAAAUAUAUUAUCAUCUUGAUUAACAUCUAAAACAAUUUUUGUCAUUGGAGGAAGUGAAUUGUUAUAUACCUUGAAUUGUAGUUAUCCCACAAGAACCAAGAUCCAAUGUUUUCAAGUUUGGCAAAUCUGCGAAUCCUACAUGCGUCGAUAAAAAAUGAAAAUAUUACAUUUAAAGGCAUUGUAUGUGAUCCGCGCAUUUGAUGAACAUUAAUUCUACAUUUAAUUUGCUUCUUAUCUCAGAUUCAGUGGCCUACCUAGCGUUGUCAGAUUUUGAUUAUCGCUUAAAUACAACACUUGCAGGUUUGUCAAAUUUGCUAAUCCUGUUAAAAAAAACAUAAAUUUUGUCAAUAACAGAUAUGUCACUCUUGUCUAAAUUGUUUAAUUAAAAUAAUAUGGUAAAUAUUGAAUGAAAAUUAAUUGUGCACAUUGUUUAAUUAAAAAAAUUAUUGUCUAAAGAACCGUGUAUAUAAUAAUUAGAACUCAAAUCCAACGCUUCCAAGUUUUUUAAUUUAGCUAAUCUUGCGCCAAGAAAGAAGAAAAAUCUUAGUAAUCGUCUUUGGGAAAAAAAUAAAGAAUUAAGAAAUUAGAUUAAAUAAUUGUAGUAAUAAAGCAUAUGACUCAGAUCUAAUUAAAUUGAUCAUAUACUCAAAAAUGAUUUUUUUUUAAAUUUUACUAAGAAAUUAGAAAGUAAUUUUUUGCCGUAUACCAAUUGUAGUCAAGUUUGUCAAGUUUUCCAGUCAAAAAUUGGUUUUAAUUUGACAUUAUACAUGUGUAAAAAUUAAGGGCAUAAUAAUAUCACAAGGAAUUUGGGUAGUGACUUGUUGCCGUGUGCUGACUUGGUAAUUAUCUCAGUAGCCUACCUAGCCUUGUUAAAGAGCCACUAGUUAUAUUGAAGUUCAAGCUUAGAUCCAACACUUGCAAGUAUCUCAAAUUUGCUAAUCCUGCUCAGAAAACAUUAAUUUUGAUCAAGACAAUAUAAAUAUACAUUUUAAUUAAGAAAUUAAUUAAGUUGCCUGAUAUGUAUAUCUGCUGGCCUGAAACGUAUAUGUAUACCUUGCUUGGUUCUGGAACCUUCAAUGGAAUUGGAAUUAAGAAUCAAAGUGGUAAGUGAAGUUAGUGUAUUCAAAUAUGGUAAUAUGCUGUCGUUGAAGAAAUUAAGACCAAGAUUUAACAUCUUCAGCUGCUUCAAACUCCCAAAGCUAUCGUAAGCUGCAAAUGCAUAUGAAGUGUUAUUAUUAAUUAGUCACUGACAAAAUAUUUAUGGACAAGAAAUAAAUGUAUACAUAUAUACGGACCUCUAUUCUCAUAGAUGCCUGCAAACCCAUUCCCAGAUAAGUCAAGACUUUGCAGUUCUUCAAAAGGAUGAAACAAUGACAUAUUCAGAACCAAAACUCCCUCCCAAUAAACAGAGUUAUUGAUCAGAAGCGAAGCCGAAGUACUAUCAAAAUAAUUCAAUCUGUGUGUAUGAUUGAGUGAGAGUUGCAUCACGCGUCGUGUGGUGGCGCUGCACUUAACUCCCUCCCAAUCAUCACAACAAUCAGACGGCAUUCCAUCAUCCUCACCAACCCAUGAAGGAAGAAUUUUGUCAUCAUAUCCAAUAUCACUGACUGAUGAUAUGAAGAAGCUCUUGAUUUCCAACAGAGCAGUCCUCUCUGUUUCCAAGCAUCCUUUGUAUCCAUGCAUUUCAUUCAUCAAUACAAUAAUCCAAAUUAGUGACAUUAAUGAGAACUUAAUACAGGAAGUACUUUCCAUUGCAGAGCAACUUUUCAUUUGGUUAAAAUUAAAUGUGCAAUGAGCAACUUUCCAUUGCAGAGCAAUUUAUACUAAAAGUUUAUCGCAGGUCUUGCAAUUUGAUUGGCUGAAGACUUUUUUAAGACUUUGAAGACUUGUAAGCAUUCCAUGUUUGGCAGCAUUCGACCAACGGGAAAAAGCACUUCAUUAAUACCCCGGGGAAAAUAUAGAUAAAGUGAUUAUAAACUAUAAAUUUUUCCAAUAGUUUGAUGGAGAUAAUCAUAACUAAUAAAAUAAAAGUUGACUGAGAGAAUUUAAAUAAUUUAACCGCAUGUUUGGAUUUCCAUUGCAUUAUCAGUCAAUCUAUUAAAUAAUGUGUUUUGAGAAGAAUUUGAUUGGAUGUUUGAUGAGUUUAAAUUAAUUUAUUAGAAAAUCAAUAAUUAAUCAACGUAAAUCUUCGUGUAUGUUUAGUUAGUGUGGCGUAGUCUGAAAUGACAAAACACAUAAAUGUUAUUUGAAGCUCUUGUGACCCUUUGUGUUCCUGCAUUCGGAUAAGGAAAGUUUCCAUUGCUCCAGUCUACACUCUUCACUACUAUUACAAUCACUUGAAAUGACAAAAACAGAAACUUCGUAUGAACAUGGGACCGAUGUACGGGUCCAAUUUAAAUGACCCUAGCUAAUUUUGCAUAUAUUAUUGCAACUACGUGGAAAAUUAAAGUUGACUGACUUUCAAAUUAAGCCAACAAACAAGUGGCCAUCAACUCUUUUCCCUCUAUGAUUGGUUUUUUUUUUUUUUUUAAAUUGAAUUGUAAGAUUGGGUUUGCAUUGAAUUAUCCAACAAUCUAUUCAAGCAUUGAUAUUUGAUAUUAUCAAAUAUUUAAUGGGUUUUGAAAAUUAUUUACUAGAUUUUUGAUAAAUUGAUUUUUAUUAUUUCAUGAUCAAUAAUUAAUCAAGUAAUUUUAUAUAUAUAUAUAUUUGGUAUUUGGUAAUUUACUCAUAAAAAGUGUGGAUCACAUUGAAAUGUUAUUUUAUAUGAUGCAUGACAUACGGAGAGGUGCAGUUUAAAUGCGCAAAUAAUUUAUUUAUUAUAACAUGCAAUCAUUGAGUUAAAGCGCAAGCGUGAGUUUGGAUUUGAAAUAUUCAAAUAAUUUAUUUCAUUAUUGAUUCUUAAAUAACAUGCUUUGGAAUUAAUAGUUCGAUAGGAUGUUUGAUAUAUUGAAAUUUGUGAUAAUCAAUAAUCAACUAAUUUUCAUUCAUAUUUAAAGAUUUUAAUAAAUUACUCAUAAAAUUGUGGCGUAUAUUGAAAUGACAAUCAAUCUUGAUAUUGACUGACAAUCAAUUUUUAUAGUGAUUGGCACUUAAGACAAUCAGUUUUGGUCUCCGUAAUGACUAAUGAAGAAUUGUAAGCCUGAAAUUCCACAUGUUGCAAUGUUGGACCAAUGAGGGAAAUGCUUCAUUAACAUUACAUGGAAAAUAAAUGUUGACUGACUUUCAAAUUAGGCCAACAUACAAGUAGUCGUCAAUUCUAUUUUUUCCAACAGUUGAUAAAGAUGGCAAGUUAAGAAAAAAAAAAGUUGAUUGAGAUAAUUUAAAGAAUUUAAGCGUAAGUUUGGGUUUGAAAUUAUCAAAUAAUUUAUUCCAGCAUUGAUUCUUAAAUAAUGUACUUUGGAAUUAAUAACUCAAUAGGAUGUUUGACAUAUUGAAAUUUGUGAAAAUCAAUAAUCAAUUAUUUUUCAUACAUGUUUAGACAUUUUAAUAAAUUACUCAUAAAUUUGUGGUGUACACCGAAAUAAUAAGUUAAUAAAUUGAAAUGAUAUCUAAAACUCUUGAGUCCCUUUGUAUCCUUGCAUUAAUUUGAAUUGAAGCUCGAAUUAAAAUCGAAGACCCAUAUUGAGAAUUUAUAUAAGUAACUUAAGAGUAUGAUUGGGUUUACAUUGACUUAUAUAUAUCAAACAAUAUAUUCAAGCGCUGAUAUUCUCAAAAAAAGAAAAAAAAAGACAAUCAAUCUUUGCGUCAACUGAUAUUAUUGAUUGGUAAUAAAUCUUAGUAGUGAUUGACAAAGCUUGGGAAAAUCACUCUCGGUGAUUAAUAGUCUUCGUCCUCAUCUUUGUUUUGAUCGUUGUGAUAGAGGAUGAGUGGUGCGUAAGAGAGGGUUCAUCGCUUGCGGAAUUUUCGCGGCCAUUCAAGAAUCAGGAUGGUUGUUGUAGAAUUCCACGAGAAUUGGCCUUGCAAUUAGGGAAAGUUCAAUAUUAAUUUAUACUAAAAGUUUAUCUUAGGCCAAUCACAAUGACCACCAAAACCUAUGAAUAAUUAGUCCAUCGAAACCCAAUGUAUGCUCAAUUAAUAUUUCCUAUCAAGAUCAAAUUUUUCGCUCUUCACCAAUCAUGAGCAUAAAAGCUCGAUUUAUACAAAAAUUAAGAAUUUAUGAAAAAAAGUCACAAUUAUUAUAAUUGGAAGUUUGAUUGAUUUUUAAAGAUUGAUUCAAUCAAUCUUAAUGUUACUGGACAAUCGAUCUUAAUAUUAAUUCAAAAUCAAUCUUUAUAGCAAUUGGCACAAAUAAAGAUAAUUAGUUUUGGUCUCUAUAAUGACUGACGAAGACUUGUAGGACCUGGACCAAUGAGGAAAAACGCUUCAUUAAUACUCCAUGGAAAAUAAAUGUUGACUGACUUUCAAAUUAAGCCAACAUACAAAUGGUCGUCAAUUCUAUUUUUUACAAAAAUUGAUGGAGAUAGUCAACUAAUAAAAUAAAAUUGAUUGAGAUAAUUUAAAGAAUUUAGGCAUAAGUUUGGGUUUUAAAUUAUCAAAUAAUUUAUUCCACUAUUGAUACUUAAAAAAAUGCUUUGGAAUUCAUAAUUCAAUAGGAUGUUUGAUAAAUUGGAAUUUGUGAAAAUCAAUAAUCAACUAUUUUCACAAUAAACUGAGAUUUUUUUUUUUUGAAAGCCAAUAGAAACAUGAAUUAUAGUACAUCCAUCGAUUGACGUAUAAUUAUAAUCAUAUAAUCAAACACGCACACUACAAGGCGACCUUCGAUUGACGUAUUCUGUCGACUAACCCAGGGACAUGGAGGAUGUUUUAACGUUAUAUAAAAAAAAAAUGAUGAAUAAUAUAGUUCCCGGCAGUGCUAAAAAAUGAUCAAUAAUCGGAUGAGGAAAUUUACGAAAGAUUUAUUAAAUGAUCAGAGACUUUCUGCAAUUUCAUUGACUUAUUCUACGAUAAUUAUAAUCAAACACGCACACUGCAAGGCGACCUUCGAUUGACGUACUCUGUCAACUAACCAAGGGACAGGGAGGAUGUGUGUUGACGUUAACCAAUAGCCAAGUUUAUAAACACAAUCAAGCAAUCAUAUGAUCAAUCAGAGCCACAUUCGACGCACGACUAGUAAAUAUCAUAAUUGAGUUUGAGGACCACAGCCUUACGGUGAAAGAAUUUGAAUGGAGAUCACUGCCAAAUCGUUUUUUGUCUGGGAUCAGACCAGACAAGUUCUUGUAUGACUCGUUAAAGUUGGAUAAAUAGUUGAUGAGUGAUCUGAAGAUCACUGAUAAGAAAUUUUGUCAUUUUUGUUUGGUAAAUUAUUCGUAAAAUUAUGGUCUACUCUGAAAUUACAAAAAUAAGCAUAAUUAAUUUGGAUAAAGGAAAAGCAAAGGAAAUUGAGAAGGAAACCAGAGGAAGGCUAAAGAAAAAUAAGCCGAUUCAUCAGUAACUCAAGAUCACAACUUUGGAUUUUUUUAGCAUCUGAAAUUUCAACAACUAUUCAAGUGAUGCGAGGUUGGUCAAGGUGGAAGGAAAGUUUCCACUUAAUUGAUUAUUAGAAAUAUCAAGAACUUUGAGAUUGGUCAAGUUGUUGAGACACUGAGGAAGGUGACCCUCAAAGUUAUUUGAGCUUAGAUCCAACUCAAAAAGAUUCUUAAAAUUACAUAGUCCUGAACUUGAAAAUAAAAGAUCAAAAUUUUAUAGAAUGAAAACUAAUUAUAGCAAAUUCGAUCAAAAUCCAGUACAAGACUUAAAAAACAGACAAAAAUCGAAUUGCCUAAUUAUUUUGGUCAGCACAAAUAAUAAUAGAGUAAUGUGAACUUAUUUCUCAUAUAAUAUGAUGUUGAUUGCAAAAGCGUUUCAAUAAUCUGGAAAAAGGGGAAAAAAAAAUAAGCCCUCAGCACUUUUUGUUUAUCAUAGCCCGGAGUCCUUCUUGUUUAACAUUAUGAUUUUCUGAGGAAGAAUUUGUUCACUUGAUGUUGUUCAUUGGACAAUGGUUCUGUAACCUCUAAACCUAUUGGAUAAUGUAAAGAGAAAUUCAUAAUAUUUUAGUUGUCUUCUUAAAUAAUAAAUUGUCUUAAAAUACAAUUAAUUUGUCUUAAAUUUAAUCUAUUUCUCAGUAUUUAAAGAAAAACAAAAAGAAAAAAAGAAAAAGAAAAACGAACUGGUCUUCAUAUAUAAUUUUGUCCAAGUACUUUGAUCAACAAAUCAUUAGGAAGGUGGUGUAUCAGUGAUGCAAAUAUUUAAUUAUCAUGUUUCAACAUAACAAUUCUGUGUAAAUUGUUCACUUUAUGUUUCUAGAGAACUGUUUAUAUUAUUAUUACUACUCAAAUUCAAUGCUUCCAAGUAUUUGAAUUUAAUUAGCUAAUCCUGUAUCAAGAAUUAAUUAAUGAACAUAAGAUAAAUGUCAUAUUAGUUAGAUUUAGAUUUUUUUUUCCAGUUUUGAUGUAUAGAUAAUGUUUUCAACUGGUUUUGGGGUAAGAAAAGCCAAACCAAUCUAGAACAAUAAAUUUGUUAUUUUGAGGGGAGAUGGGGUACCUCACUGGUUUAUUGUGUGUUGGGCGGUGUAUCUAAGAUUUUGGGGAGGUGAGAAAGGGAGAGAGAGUGGUAACAAUGGUGGAAGAUCAGAAACAAGAGAGGUAUCCUUCAAAAUGAGCUUCACGCCUGCAAAACAAUGAAAUAGAGGUUAGAGGUGAAGCCGGGGGUACCCCGGCGUUCACACUCCGACGCUCAAGUUAGCAAACUCAAGCUUUUAUUGCAAAGAGAGCUAGCUAGCCCUCUGUAAAUUAGGGUUUAAGGUUGAAGAAAACCUCUUUUUUGGAGUGUGAGUGUUUUUGGGCGAAUGAGAGCAUGAUGGAGAAUGAAACCUAGGCGCCUUUAUAUAUGGAGUACCUUAGCUGCCACGUGGCAUACCCUUUUUGGCUAACGUCCUUUUACCGCUUUUAUGAUUCUUGGGGCCGUUAUGUGCAUGUUCGCGGCGUAUCUCAUCUUUUGGAAACGUGGCGCGCGCUGGAGAGUGGUCCAGGGUACCUCUGCAGUAGCUGUCGGGUAGGCGGCUAGGGACCACUGUCCUUGGGACAGUGUCCUUCACUUUUGGCAGAGGUAGCAGACGGCUGUCCCUCCUUUUAGCACGUCGCUUUUGAUUCCUAAUUCUGACAAAAUCAAAUGAUAUCUUUUAGGAGGCGGAGACGUUUCUCAUGGCGGAUAUUUUCGGUGGAUUCUCUUGCAUCCGCUUUGCCGGGUACCUCGAAUUACAUGGGGUACCCCCUAUUACGCAGGGUACCCCUAUCUGUAUGGGAUACCUCUAUUUGUAUGGGGUACCUCUAUUUGUAUGGGGGUACCUCUAUUUGUGUGGGAUACCUCUAAUUGUGCAGGGUACCUCUAUUUAUACGGGGUACCUCAAGUCAUGUCGGGCACCUCGGAUUAUGUAGGGUACCUCCGAUUGUGCUGAUAUCAUUCCAUUGGCUGACACGUGGCGCUCUAUUACCUUUCCCAUCUUUCCCUCAAACAACAUCCCCCUAGUUUCUUUUUGGCGAGAAGUAUUGGAGGCAAAAGAAACUUAUUGUAUGAGUGACACGUGGCGAUGCGGCUGGAUCGGAGGGUACCUUGCUUAGCUUCUUCCCUUGACUAAACUUUGUGUACUUCAAACUAAAAAUCUUCUCUUUGUCUUUUCCUUUUCCCGCUUUUUUUUUUUUUUUUUUUACACGAUGAGAACGAACAGUUGUCUUCAUAUGUCUCUCUCCUUUUUCUUGGGAAGUGGCAGCCGUCUGACACGCAGUUUGAAUUUUGAAAAUACAAAUCUCACUCAAACAUCCUUGAACUCCUUUCUUGAGCAACGUGUUCUGUCAGGUUGAAUUUAAAACUCCUGACGUGUGUCAAAGUUUUGAAAAUCCCCAAACGAACUCCCAAAAAUUGAUUAUUUCCAGUAGCCUUUUUCUUCCAUAAUUUCGUCUCUUCUUCUAACUGGAUCAACAUUUCCAGUAGCCUUUUUUUUUUUUUUUUUUUUUUUUUUUUUUUUUUUUUUUAGCCUUGUUCAUCUUCCCUAGGCUUUACUCUCCCUUUACUCUUUUUCUUUUAUUUCUUUCCCAUUUUCUUUCUCCCUUUUCUUUCUCACGUUUCUCUUUCCUUUUUCUCUCUUUUCCUUCUUCCUUUUCUUUCUUUCUUCUUUCUCUUUCUCUCUCGGCCGGCGUUGAUCUGGUACGUUUUCCGGCGUGGAUCUCGGCUGCUGCAGUGGCGGUUUUGGGCUCCAGAUCUGGUCGGUUCAAGGCGAUUUCCGGCGGCUCACGGCGAGAUCUCAGUCCGGCGAUACACACGGUAACCCCUCCUUCAUCGUUUCUUUAUUUUUCCCUUGGUGCUUUCUCUCUUCCUUCCCUUUUCUUCUCUUUUUCGUUUCGGCUUGGUGUUUUUCUCUGUGAUUUCCGGCGUCGGUUUGGUGUGGUUGCAGCCGGCGUCGGUUCGGUGCUUGCAGCCACGACAGCCGGCGUCGGUUUGGUGGCUGCUGUCCCUUCUUCCGUGUUGUCUUCUCUGUUCUUCGUUUUCUUUUUUUUUUUUUUUUUUUUGGCUGGCGUCCUCCUUUGGCGGUUUCCGGCAUCCUUCUCGUGAUCUCCGGCGUCGGUUCUCGGUGGUUGCAGCCAUGACAUCUGACGCCGGUUGCUGCAGCUUCUUCGUUCUUCAUUUUAUUUAUUCAUUUAUUUAUAAAUAACUAUAUAUAUUUAAGCUUAUUUUUGUUUUUAUACUUGCAUAUUUUUACCCACUAUUUUUGGUUGCCUGCAGCUUCAUUUCGCCGCGAUUAUCAAUCCCGAUCUGUUGAAUUGGUGAAUCACAGGUAUCCCUCCUCGCUUCUCCUCCUUUGGCGCAUUCACAGUGGCGCUAUUUUGCAUACUCUGAGAAAAUUUUGUUUUUGGUUUUUGUUGUUUUUUUUUUUUUUGUUUUGUUGGUUGGUGUUUGCAUUUGGUGGUUGAUGUGUGGUGGAUGGUGCUUGGUAUGGAUAUAUUGCUGUUUGGAAAACAUGUGGCUUGUUGGAUGUGUUGUUGGGGGCUUGUGGAUAUGUUGUUGGGUGUAUCGUUGGGUGUAUUGUUGGGGAACUUGUGGAUGUGCUGUUAGGGGCUUGUGGAUGUGCUGUUGGGGAACUUGUGGGUGUGUUGUUGGGGAAAAGUAGAUGGGCAAAAAGCACACGGGACCCCCGAUGAAGCGACGUAAAGUUGGGGCUAGUAGGGUUGACAACCCUCCUGCGGGUUCCCCUUCCCACAUCUCCAUCAGCGAGGGGGAUCGGUCCCCUCCUAAUUCCUCUAUGAGUUGCAAUUCUCGUUCUGAGCCCCCUCCUCCUAGGAGUACCCCUCGUGUCAGCCCACGCUUUCCUAGUAGACGGCCUACCCCUCAUCCUCGAAAGAAGGGUAAGCCAACCAAGCCUAAGGUUCCAGCUCGUUCCUCGGACCAGCCGCCUAAAUCUCCCCCUGCCACACCUUCAAAAUCUAGCAACCCUUUUUCCCUAGGCAUUAGGAGGGCUACUUUGGGGGAGUUGGAGCAAAUUAGAGCCAAAUACAAUAUUCCUCCGUCUGUCCAGCUUAGGGUACCCCAUGUGAAUGAGCGACCCGAGUGUCCAAAGUCUGAUGGGAUUGCUCUCCAUAUCGAUCUCUUCGAUCUAGGACUCCGCCUGCCCCUCCAACCAUUCUUUAUGAAAAUGUUUAGUUACUUGGGGGUAGCUCCUGGGCAGCUGUCCCUUCCAGGGUGGAGGACACUGACGGGCUUACAUGUGUUAUGGUUGGAGGUCGUGAAGCGCGACAUUUCUGUUCGGGAGUUGAGGGGCCUUUACCAAUUCAAGAAGCCUAAGGGUCCCGGCAUUGCUUACUUCUCUCCCUGGGGUGAUCAUGGCCACAUCGUUGAGGGGAACCCCGCCUUGAAGAAGGGUUACCGAAAGGGAUGAUUUGUCGCUGAGGGUACCUCCCACAGCGGGUCAAAGGGUACCCCUCGCUCGAAGAAGAGAAAAUUCGGGCUGGUUUCUACUUUUCCCGAUGAGUUACGUGAGGGUGACUUAGACCCGGCUUCUAACAAGGAGGUUUCGCACUUGGCUCGCCACUUUUACUACUCUGCUGAAAAUGUUACCUCCGAGGUUGCUGAAGAGGUUGACAAGAUGAGCUUGAGCCAGCGUUAUGGUCAAGCACUUAGGGCUACCCAAGAGGUAGGCUUUCUUGGGGUACCCCGGGUGUACUCUUCAUCAUUUUCUUUUUACUUAUUUGAUCUUUUCGCCAUACACAUAUAUUUAACAUGUCUUGCAUGACCCGCAGGCAUCCUUUCUCCUUAGCCACUGCCUUCCGGAUCUCGACUCCCUUGUUGCCGCACAGUCAGAGGUCGACAAGUUAAGGAGUGAGCUUCAAAGCCGUCAAUCUCGUGAGGAUCAGCUCGCUCGAGAAGUUAAAACUCUGCAAGAACGCAUUGCUGGCCUAUCGGGAGAGAAAGCUAGGGUGGAGAAGGAUUGUGAGGAGUUGAGGGCCACCAACGGGGAUCUGCUAUCUCGGCAAAAGACGAUGGCGGAGGAUGCAUUCUCACUCAUCAUGACAGAGGUGUGGAGUGUGGAUCCGGCGUUGGAGGUACCCCGCGUGCAGAAAUUUGUCAACAAGGCUGCCAUUCUGAAGACAAUUGCAGAGCGGAAGAAGUCUUCCCAGGCACGGUCGGGUACCCCUUCUGGGUCGCCUGGGGUACCCCAUCAGCCUCAGUCGUUGCCCGCCUCGGAUGCCCCUAUUUCGGCGGCUCAUAUUCCGGGUACCUCGGAGUCUUCUGCCGAUCGCCCUCUAGAGACGGAUGUUGGGGAUCGCGUUCCCCCCUCGGUGUAGCCUUCUCACUGUGCUCUUGUUUAUCGGAUCUAUCCACAUUUUGCUAUUUGGACCUUGUUUAUUUCUUUUUGGUUUCUCGGGAUAUUUUGUUUUAUUGAGACUUCUCUUUUGUUAUGAUACCAUACCAUCUAGUCCUCUUGUACUUUGCAUUAUUCUGCAAAUGAAUGCUUGGCUAAACUGUUAUCUUACAAAUUCCUAGGGUACCUCUCAUUUCAUCAUUUUUUUUAAAAUGGGGUACCCCUGGUACCUUAACAAGUAUUCAACAUCAGGCGCCUGCUGGUUUACACUGAGCGGCGAAUUUGGUGCAUGCCCUCCUCGGCAACCAUGGCGGAUUUUCCACAAAUAGGUAAUCAAAACAUCGUCGCGACAUCUCGAUCAAAAAUUGAAAGUGCGCAAUUGGUCCAACCAAUCAAUUUCUUAUUCUUUCGAAGUGCUCUCCGAAUUUUUGAAUAGCUUACCCCAUACUUUGCAAAAGUACGAGGAUGGAGGUGUGGGUGUUCUCAUACCUAAGCCGAACUUCGUGCCGCUAGGGUAUGCCGGUUUUUCUUCACCCUCGGGUCCUCUUUGACCCUCCCUCUCUUUGUCUAGGUAGCUUUGUCAUGCUUCCGCAGAAAGGCUACCCCUGGGCUGUUCACUCCAUUGCCUAUCUUGGCUUUACACAGAUCGUCACGAUCUAGGCAUAUCAAGUACCUUGGCUGGUCCUGUGAUAGGUUAGUCAUAACUGACAAGCGUAUGGCGAGAAUUGCAUAUAACCAGAUGCGAGGGUAUAUUAAUGGCGAUAAAUGAAUGUAAUCUGCAUUCUAAGAUCGAAGUGGCGAAAAAUAAAGAAAGAACUCACAUCAUAUUUGUUGAGAAAGAAAAUGCAUUUAUAGAUAACGAAAGCGUUGAUCAAUACAUGACUUAGCUUUGUUACCCUGAGGAGAAUGGGAGACCGCAAGACCUCCUAUUCUUUUCAUUUGAAAAUUAAAGAAACUCUAAAGUUGUAACUGACCAACAUAGGGCAUUUGGGGUACCCUAUUUGGCAUACCACACAAAAACAUUAAAGAAAGCAAAUAACAGCAAAAGACUAAAGGUUGAGACACUGUCCUUUAGUAAUAUUUCCGUAGCAUUGCAGCGUUCCAGGGGUGCCUCACAAUUGUGCCAUCCAUGUGGAGUAGCCUGUAUGCACCUGUCCCAACGGGUUUGUCGAUGCGGUAAGGUCCUUCCCAAUUUGCCCCGAAAGCACCUUCGUAGGGUACCCUAGUGUUCUGAGUUACCAUUCUCAAGACUAAGUCUCCUUUCUUGAAGGAUCGAGGGCGUACCCUUUUUUCAUAUAGACCCGAAAUGCGAUGCUGAUAUAUGGAUGUCCUCAGUUCUGCUCUAGCCCUUUUUUCAGCUACCAAAUCAAGGUUUGAAGCAACCAAGGAGGUGUUCUCGGCCUCAUCGAAGUAUUCAACCCUGUGAGAGGGUACCCCGAUUUCUGCUGGAAUCACUGCGUCAACACCGAAUGCGAGGGAAAACGGGGUCUCCCUGGUGGAGGUGUUUUGAGUAGUCCGGUAUGCCCACAGUACGCCAGGUAGCUCGUCUACCCAUGCUCCAUUUCUUUCCUCUAGCUUCUUCUUCAGGAUACCUUUGAUAAUCUUGUUAACGGCUUCGACUUGCCCAUUAGAUUGGGGGUGGGCAGGUGUAGCAAAUCGGUUGGCUAUCCCCAACUCCGAACAAAAUCUUCAGAAUUUUUCAUUAUCGAAUUGCUUGCCGUUAUCACUGACAAUUGCAUAGGGGAUUCCAAAUCUGCAAAUGAGGUUCUUCCAAAUGAAUUCGGUGGUUUUCCUUUCUGUGAUGCUUGUUAGUGGCUCCACUUCCGCCCAUUUUGUAAAAUAAUCUACCGCCACGAUUGCAUGUUUUGCUUGCCCCUUUCCGGUAGGCAAUGGGCCAAUGAGGUCCACUCCCCACAUAGCGAAGGGCCAAGGGGAAGAUAUAACUGUUAGCUUCUCUGGGGGUAGAUGGGGUACCCUAGCGAACCUCUGGCAUUUGUCACAGCUUCGUACCAUAUUCUUGGCAUCCUCCCGCAUGGUUGGCCAAUAGUACCCCUGACGGAGAGCUUUUUGCGCCAGUGAUUGUGCUCCAUAGUGAUUGCCACAAAUCCCCUCAUGUAUCUCCCUCAUGACAUACUUGGCCUCGUCGCUUCCCAAGCAUCUAAGGUAAGGAAGAGUGAACCCUCUUCUAUAUAGGGUAUCCUGGAUCAAGCAAUACCGGGCAGCUUUAUACUUUAGUCUUCUCGCUUCACUUUUAUCUGAGGGGAGGUCUCCGUCCUUGAGGUGCCUUAUGAUAGGCUCCAUCCAAAGUACCUCGUUGGACAGUGAUCCUACUUCCAACGGCUCUAGGAGAUCAAUGCUGGGGGUGGGUAUGUGUUCUGUUGUGAUGGGGCCAGCUGACUGAGCUACACCAAGGGACGCCAUUUUUGCUAGGGUAUCGGCUUCGCUGUUCUCCAGUCGGGGUACCCUUUCCACUUUAACCUCGCAAAAUUGGGACAUUAAUUCUCUGGUUUUUUCGAGGUACCCCUUCAUGUUUUCCUCUUUCGCCUGAUAUUGUGCGGUAAUCUGGCUUACCACCAACUGUGAGUCACUCUUGACGUGUACCCUUUUUGCUCCCAAAGCCUUUGACAUCCUCAACCCCGCUAUGAUUGCCUCAUACUCGGCUUCGUUGUUUGAAGCCUUGAAUCCGAAUUGCAGGGCGUAGUAUAUUUUCACCUUGUUCGGGUUGAUGAUAAUAACUCCUGCGCCACUUCCGUGUGAGUUAGAGGAACCAUCCACAUAUAUUUCCCAGACCUGCUCCUCUUCAUUGGUGGGUAGGGUAUCUAACAGGUAUCUCAGAUCACAUUCACCACUUGAGUCAUUGGCGAAUUCCGCAAUGAAAUCAGCAAUGGCCUGAGCUUUAAUCGCCGAACGAAGCUUGAAGAUGAUGUCGAACUCGCUUAAUUCGAGGGACCAUCGGAGAAGCCUUCCGGACAUGUCUAACUUCUGAAGGAUUUGCCGGAGGGGAAGGUUGGUGACGACUGCAAUGGUGUGAGCCUGAAAAUAUGGUCUGAGCUUCCGUGCGGAGAUAACCAAUGCCAAAAUGAUCUUCUCAGAGGUGGGGUACCUUUUUUCGGCAUCAACCAUAGCCUUACUAGUGUAGUAAAUAGGUCGUUGUACCCCAUUAUCAUCCUCUCGGAGUAACACAGAGCUGGUGGCAUGCUCGGAUACGGCGAGAUAUAGCAGCAGCACCUCUCCCGGCUCAGGUUUGGCAAGUAGUGGAGCAUUCACGAGGUACCCCUUCAGUUCUUGGAAAGCCUCUUCGCAAUCGGGUGUCCAUUGGAGCUUUUUACCGGUCUUCAAAGCUUUGAAAAAGGGCUUACACCGAUCGGUAGCCUUGGAGAUAAAACGGCUCAGAGCAGCUACCCGACCUGUUGUACCAUGAACCCGAGAAACUUUCCCGAGGUUACCCCAAAUGCACAUUUUUCAGGGUUUAGCCGCAUCUGAUGUUUUCUCAAAACGGUAAAGGUAUCUCUGAGGUGCCCCAGGUGUUACCCCAAAUGCACAUUUUUCAGGGUUUAGCCGCAUCUGAUGUUUUCUCAAAACGGUAAAGGUAUCUCUGAGGUGCCCCAGGUGUUACCCCAAAUGCACAUUUUUCAGGGUUUAGCCGCAUCUGAUGUUUUCUCAAAACGGUAAAGGUAUCUCUGAGGUGCCCCAGGUGUUCCCCCGCAUGCACCGAUUUGGUGAUCAUGUCGUCUAUGUACACCUCCAUGGUGCGCCCGAUUUGUUCUUUGAAAAUUUUGUUCACUAGCCGCUGGUAGGUAGCCCCGGCAUUCUUCAAACCAAACGGCAGGCGUCCAUAAAACUAAGCAUUUCAUGCCUCGCUGUUGCAUCAACCAGCUGGUCCACCCGAGGAAGCGGGAAGCUAUCCUUGGGGCAGGACUUAUUCAAGUCGGUGAAGUCCACGCACAUGCGCCACUUUCCGUUUGAUUUCUUGACAAGAACAACGUUGGACACCCAAUCGGGGUACACUGCUUCCCGAAUAAACCGUGCUGCUGAUAGGCGGUCUACCUCUUGUUCAAUUGCAUCGUACCUCUCUUGAUUGAAGGCGCGAUGCUUCUGUUUGACCGGUUUAUUAUGCGGGCUGACAUUGAGUUUGUGACAUGAGAGAGAAUGUGGGAUACCCGGCAUAUCCGAGUAGGUCCAAGCAAAUACAUCGAGGUGCUCACAUAGGAAGGUGAUGAGUUUCUCCCUUUGUUCCUCCGAGAGGUUGGAGCCUACUUUCACUGUCUUUGUUGGGUCGGUGGCGCAAAUCGAGACUGAAAUAAGAUCUUCAACUGGGGUACCCCGCAUUUCAUCUUUCAAUAUCCGGGGAUCCAAAGGUGCCUCAACUUCACAUCUGGGCUCCUCCUGGUCCCCGUGGGGUACCCUCGAGCUAUCCCCCGUAACUGCUUCCAUCUCCCUUGGUGAAAACUCCAACUUUUCUCGUGGGUGGGCUACUUGAGGAGAUUUUUUCAGUACUGUUCUCCGCUGUCUAGCAAGUGCUCGCUUUGAGGGGGAAGGUGUGGGCUGGCUGCCACUAGGGUACCCCUUCAUUGGCGGAUCUGAAGCUAUUUGGUAAGUGACUUUGGAGGCCACGGAAUAACAUCCACGAGCCGAUUGCUGGUCCCCUUUAAUGGUGAUAACUUCUUGGGCGGCCGGGACUUUCAUGGCGAGAUAGUGCAUGGAUACCACCGCUUUAGUUGCUACUAAGAACGGCCUACCCAAUAUAAUAUUGUAGGCACCCGGGUGAUCUACAAUAAGAAAAUCAAUCAUAUGAACAACACGGUGAGGUACCUUACCAAGUGUAACGGGCAGCGUAAUGAUGCCUUUUGGUAUAACCAUAUCUCCGGCGAACCCAAUAAGAGGCGUAGCAUAUGGGGUGAUCUUUGGCGACUCAAUCAAUAGCUGAUCCAAGGCGCUUUUGAAAAUGAUGUCAACGGAGCUACCGGUAUCUACGAGAGUUUUUGCUACCUUACCAGUGGCAACCUUCAACGUAAUUACGAAGGCAUCAUCGUGGGGGUACGAGAUGCCCUCCGCAUCUUUUUCUGUAAAAAGGAUAGGCGGGGGAUGGUGGGGUACCUUCGGUGUACCCCAUUCAUUAAGGUUGACUUCUCUGCCCAUAUUGGUGGUUAUCGACAACGAUCUACCAUAGCCUUUGAUAGCCCUCCUAGAUUGGCCUGCUAAAGUCGGUCCGCCCAUGAUCAUUCGGACAUACACGCCUUUCUUGUGUCCAGGGGGUACCUCUCGUUCCGGACUGCCAUCAGCUACCCGCUUGCCUUUAUCCUGUUCCGCAGAUUUCCGAGCUUCUCUCAUGCCAGCAACAAAUUCUUUGAGGUACCCGCUAAGAAUCAAAGAUUCAAUUUCUUCUCGCAAGGUGAAGCACUCGGCUGUGCUGUGACCAAAGUCCUCAUGGAACUCGCAAUACUUCAGGCUACGCUUCAUGUUGGGGUACUUCUUCAUUGGCUUAGGAGGACGGAGGAGGCCGCUAUCCCGAAUAUGGUAGAAGAUCUGCUCUGGGGAUCGAUUCAGUGGGUGGUAAGAUUCAUACCGAGGCCUCGGCGGUGGCUCUCGUUGAUCCGGUGGUGGCGAUCUUGGAGGUUGGGGUACCCUUGAGGCACCCUGAGGGUUAUACCCUUGUCCCCGCAAGGCAGCCCGUGGAGGGCUCCGUGCUCGGGGUACCCGCGGUAUUGGGGCCUCCACCCUCUUGGGCUUCUCCUUGUUCUUUGUAACAUCGGCCUUAUCUUCUUGGCGCUUCAAUUGGCAUUUUUCGUCCAUCUCCAAUUGUUGCAACGCCCGAGAACGGGCUUCCCCAUAUGAAAGUGGACGCUUCUUUUGAAAAGAACGCCAUAACUUGCCCAACCGCAAAUUUUUCUCAAAAUGGGUCAAUGUGUAUUGGUUUCCAAAUGCUCCGGUUCGCAGCACCUCUUGGUGGAAACGACUUACAUACUCCGCCAAAGGCUCGGCUUCCCCUUGCUUGAUAAAGGCAAGUUUGGAGGCUACCCUAUCUUGAGUGGAAGCAUAGGAAAACUCUUUAGUAAAUUCAGAUAACAAUUGGUGUAAGGAAGAUAUGCUACCCGCUUUCAAAGAUCGAAACCAUGACUUCGCGGGGCCCGUGAGUGUGUGUGUAAACAUCCUACACAUGGCGCUCUCAUCUACACCCUUAAUGAGCAUUUGGUCACGGUAUAGCUCAGCAUGCUCCGAGGGAUCAGUGGUACCCGAGUAUUGGGGUAUCUGAGGCAUGGCGAACGCCUCGGGGAGAGCUGCUGUCCUAAUCUCCCUAGUGAAUGGUGAUUGGUAGGUCAUUGGCGUUGGUGCAGCUGUGAUGUUUUGCUUCUCGGAGAGGAGCUUCACUUGGGCUUCCAGGUUCUCCAUCUUUUCCACAAGUUCGAGGGGUACCCUCGGUGUACCUGAUGAUGUCGCCGCCAUUUGAGAAGCCCUUUUGGCGUUUAACUUCUCACGGAGAUCAUCGUGGGUACGCUUUGCACGCCUCGUACCCUGGCUACUGCGGGAAUUGCAAGAGGCAGUGGAACGCUCGUCGCGGGAGCCCAUGGUUUGAAACUUAGAACGGGUACCCGAUGGCCUAGGCUUUGGCUUGCUGGCCUCGGGUACCCCUCUUCUGACCAUAGCUUGGUCGUCCGUUUGAGGUGGUGGAGCUUCUAGCGUCACUGGUGGAAGUGAACUUUCGGGUGCCCGAGAUCCAACCGCCCUAAGUAUUGCGUGAGCAAGAUCCUCAAAACGCUUGUGCGAAAUAGGUUCUUCUUCUUGGCGAACACCCGUCGACUGCUUGACACCCUUGCCCUUACUGAUGCGGGCUACCCUUCUCGCGGGAUCACUGCCUUCACUGCUGCUGUCCUCUCUCAUCCUUGUAGGAUCCCCCAUUAAACCUUUAGGAGGUACGUCGGGUGCCAUGUAUUGGAGUACACACAACAACUAGUUUGGUAACCGUGGAGGAGGCUUUUUGUGCGUCUCCCCACAGACGGUGCCAAUUGUUUUCAACUGGUUUUGGGGUAAGAAAAGCCAAACCAAUCUAGAACAAUAAAUUUGUUAUUUUGAGGGGAGAUGGGGUACCUCACUGGUUUAUUGUGUGUUGGGCGGUGUAUCUAAGAUUUUGGGGAGGUGAGAAAGGGAGAGAGAGUGGUAACAAUGGUGGAAGAUCAGAAACAAGAGAGGUAUCCUUCAAAAUGAGCUUCACGCCUGCAAAACAAUGAAAUAGAGGUUAGAGGUGAAGCCGGGGGUACCCCGGCGUUCACACUCCGACGCUCAAGUUAGCAAACUCAAGCUUUUAUUGCAAAGAGAGCUAGCUAGCCCUCUGUAAAUUAGGGUUUAAGGUUGAAGAAAACCUCUUUUUUGGAGUGUGAGUGUUUUUGGGCGAAUGAGAGCAUGAUGGAGAAUGAAACCUAGGCGCCUUUAUAUAUGGAGUACCUUAGCUGCCACGUGGCAUACCCUUUUUGGCUAACGUCCUUUUACCGCUUUUAUGAUUCUUGGGGCCGUUAUGUGCAUGUUCGCGGCGUAUCUCAUCUUUUGGAAACGUGGCGCGCGCUGGAGAGUGGUCCAGGGUACCUCUGCAGUAGCUGUCGGGUAGGCGGCUAGGGACCACUGUCCUUGGGACAGUGUCCUUCACUUUUGGCAGAGGUAGCAGACGGCUGUCCCUCCUUUUAGCACGUCGCUUUUGAUUCCUAAUUCUGACAAAAUCAAAUGAUAUCUUUUAGGAGGCGGAGACGUUUCUCAUGGCGGAUAUUUUCGGUGGAUUCUCUUGCAUCCGCUUUGCCGGGUACCUCGAAUUACAUGGGGUACCCCCUAUUACGCAGGGUACCCCUAUCUGUAUGGGAUACCUCUAUUUGUAUGGGGUACCUCUAUUUGUAUGGGGGUACCUCUAUUUGUGUGGGAUACCUCUAAUUGUGCAGGGUACCUCUAUUUAUACGGGGUACCUCAAGUCAUGUCGGGCACCUCGGAUUAUGUAGGGUACCUCCGAUUGUGCUGAUAUCAUUCCAUUGGCUGACACAUGGCGCUCUAUUACCUUUCCCAUCUUUCCCUCAAACAGAUAAAAAUAAUACUUCAAAAGCAUUGAAAUGUAAGUGCUAUUAAAAAAACGUUUUUCAUUCAAAGCUAUAAGUAAUGAAAUGAAGAUAGAUAUCAUUGUUGAUUAAAAAAAAUUCAGAAAAAAAGAAAGAGUGAAAGAAAAGAGCUUGUUAUGUUAGAAAAUAGUGAUAGAGUAUGUUAAGGACUAAAAUUUAUUAAAGAAAGCAGUGGUUCUAUUUGAAAUUUGAUCAAGUUAGAAUUAGUCAAUUAUGCAUCGAGAAUGAAAAGAAUGAAGAAAGGGAAUUCAAAUUAGACUUACAAAAUUAUAAUAAAGUGAUUAGUUAAGAUCCAAUUAAGCUGAUUUACUAAAAAAAAAUAUUGAAAAAUAAAGGGCCAUAACAUUGCCAAAAGGACUAGGAAACUAAGUAGGAAGGGGUGAUUGUUGCGGAAUACCUUGAAGUGUAGUUAUUCCACAACCACGAAGACCAAUUGCUUUCGAGUUUUGUCAAAUAUAUAUGCCAAUCCUACAACAAUAUAAAGCAAAAUGUUACUAUCAAAUUAUUGUAGAAGACUGUGAUCGUUGUGAUAGAUCGGUAAUUUUAGUAGCUUACCUAGCCUUCUUAAAGAGCCACUUGUUAGAUUGAGGUUCCAGGUUAGAUCCAACACUUUCAAGUUUCUCAGUAAACAUUAAUUUUGAUCAAAACAAUAGACAUAAAUAGACAUAAAUGAAGUUAGUGUAUUAAAAAAUGUUGUCGUUGAAAUUACCACCAAGAUUCAAGAUCUUCAGCUGUUUCAAACUCCCAAAGCUGUCGUAAGCUGCAAGUGCAUAUAAAUUAUUAUCAUUAAUUAGUCACUGGCAAAAUAAUUAUGAAUGAGUAAUAUGAGUCAAGGCACUGCAAUUCUUCAAAAGGGUGAAACAAUGACAUACUCAGAAGGGAAACUCCAUAAGAAUAAGAGUUAUAAUCAGAGUAGUGGAUUUUUGUUUUCUGAUUGAGUGACAGUUGCGUCACCCGUCGGGUGGUGGCGUUGCACUUAACUCCCUCGCAAUUGUUACAACAAUCAGACGACAUUCCAUCAUCAUCAAACCAUGAAGAAAGAAUGUUGUCAUCAUAUCCAACAUCACUGGCUGAUAUGAAGAAGCUCUUGAUUUCCAACAGAGCAAUCCUCUCUGUUUCCAAUCAUGCUUUGUAUCCAUGUAACUGAAUCAGAGCUAUGCCAAUCCACAAUGACAACUUCAUCAAAAGCAUUUUCAUUAUUAAUAUUAACUGCAAGAGAAACACUCACAAGAUUGACCUGUCAAUUGUUGCUCUCUUGAAGUUUUUCUGGUUGUCUGGCAAAUAUAUGAUUUGUAUAUACACACAUGGAAAUGUUAGAAAACUAAGUCUUUGAUACAUGAUAUCUUCUUGUGACCCUAGUACCGUCCAAAGACAUUGAAACAAAGAGAAAUUAACAGCUGACUUACCUGCAUCAUGUGCAAAUCACGUGACAUCAAAAGUUACCAUGUAAUUUGUCUUUAUAAGUGUUUUCUGCUUCUGAAAAUGAAAAAUAACAAAAUGGAAAUGCUUUUAGCUUUUGGCUAGACAUUUUCAGGUCACUCUCUUAUCGUGGCCUGCGGCUUGCAGUCAUCAACAAUCCUCAUCUGGCCUCUUUAUAAUCCACUUUUAACAAAAUAUAGAUAGAAACAGAUAUAUUACUGAUAUUCAAAUUACACUUAAUAUUAAUAAAUCUUUGGACUGAGCUUUAAAUCUAUAAACUAAAACUUCCAGCAUACCACAAAUUAUUUUUAGAGCCCGCAUGUUGGAAUAUCUCCUUCAAGUUUCGCUUUGCUUUCUAGCACAUCAUUCAAAUGAGUUGCUAUACUAUAUCUAGCUAGUUUUGAACAAAGUAAGUGAGAAUAUUACAUCUGCUUUAGCAAGAUACGAGUGAAUUAAAACCUUUGACCAGAUUCAAGAGAGAAAAGAAUGUUGAAAUAUUGACUUGAAUAUUAUGGCAAAAUGAGUUUGACUUUAGUACCGACCAAAGAAAUAAUUGAAGAUGCAAAUUGGUUAGUUUGAGGUGCAUGGCUAUUGGCACAACAACAUUUGCUGCAUAACGAAAUUGCGGCGUCUCAGCCGGAUUGUGAGAGUUGUUUUCAAAUCCCAUUUCUCUUCUUUGUAUUUAUUCAUUGCCACAACAUUUGAUGCAUAUUUUGAUGACUACUCAAACGCGUUUCCACAAUAACUAACGAAAGGAAAAGUGAACGAAUAAGCAAAAGACACUGAUGACUAUAAUCAUGUAAAUGAAGUACAAGGCUUCACAAUAGAUUAGACCACCAAUUUGUGCCUUUUGAAUGCAUGUGCUUGAACAAGAUACGAGUGAAUUGAGGCAUAUCUUUCUUUCACAAUGUAAACUUCCCAAAAUACAUGUAAUCUGCUGGUGAAAUAAUUUUUAUAAAACAAAGGCUUAAAGUUAAAGCUGACUAAAAAUAUUGGCGUACGUCAAGAACGCUACGGGGAAAAUUCAACCGUGAGCUGCAGUCUGCAGUCCCCAACAAUCCGGGAAAAGGCUGAAGAGGUGCGCGCCUGCGCAUACUAAUUUGGCAGGUCUGAUAGGAUUUAUAAAUUAAAAUAAUGUAAUUUUAUAUAUUUUUUAAAUGAAAAAUUUGUUGAUGCCGCUGUGAGAUCCAUUGGAUCCUCGCGUGCCUGCCCCACAAAACAAUCUCCAUCAAAUCUCUUUACAAUCCAUUUUUGAUAAAAUAUGAAUAAGGAUACAUAUAUUUAUUCAAAUAUUAGUAAAAAUAGAUAUAUUGCUGAUUUUUUUUUGGUGUAAGCCAUUCGGUAUUUGGCGAACGCAAUUGGAUCCCGACUAAUCCGAAUUUGGGGUGUAGUCACAGUUAAAGCUCUUUACUCCUCCCACGUAAUUGGAUCCCGACUAAUCCGAAGCGAACGCAAUUAGAUCCCGACUAAUCCGAAUUUAGGGUGUAGUCACAGCUAAAGCUCUUUACCCCUCCCAAAUAACUUAUUUAGUGGGGAUUGAACCCAAGAGCUCUUCCCACAAACUCAGCCUGCGUUGCUAACUGAGCCACAACCAUUUGGUUAUAAUGCUCAUUUUUAAAUUAUACUUAAUGAACAUUUAGACCGAGCUGUAAGUCUAUGAAUUCAAACUUCCACAACACCACCAAUUAUUUUUAGCCUGCAUGUUGGAUUGUCUCCUUUAAGGCUGUGUUUACUAAACUGGAAUGAGAAUUGAAAUGGAGAAAUCCGAAUGAAUGACUUGUUUAGUCAUUAAAUUGAUGAUAGGAAUGGGAAUAAGGUGAGUAGGCUCCAAGUUCUUGAAGAGGAAAGAUCACUAUGGCACCAAUCUCCGGAAGAGGCAAGUCCAAUAAAGCCAAGGCUGACAAGAAGAAGAAAGAAGAGAAAGGCUUCAAUUGUUAAUCUUUUUUAUUCACUGCUUUCAUUGGAAAGUGCUUUUUGUAAAGUGCUUCCGCUUUCUAGCUUCCUUAUGUUCAUUGAUUUUUUUGUUGUGCAGUAGUGCCCAGUGUUCUUGAUAUCACAAUCAUCACCCCAUAUGAAUCACAAGUUGUUCUCAAGGUAUAAAUUUAUACUUAUCAUCAAUACUUUCUUGUUUUGCCCUCACCAGCUAUGAUUAGGAUAUUAUUUUGUAAAACUUUAUAAAUAUAAAUGAAUUAUUAAUUAAUCAUCUUUUUUUUUUUUUUUGGUUUGAUUGAAAUUUGCUCAAAGGGCAUCUCCACUGACAAGAUAUUUGAUGUGAAGAAAUUGUUGGCUUCCAAUGUAGAAACUUGCCACCUCACAAAUUAUUCUCUCUCUCACGAGGUGUCUAUAUUUUAUUAUCUCUUUUUUUUUUUCAUUAUAUAUGAUUAUGAAUUUUUUUCUGAUAAUAUUAAACACUAGAUACUAUUUUUUCCCACCUUAUUUUUAUGUGUUUAUUUCUUUAUUAUUAUUAUUAUUAUUAUUAUUAUUAUUAUCUGGUCAAGGGGCAGAGAUUGAAUGAUAGAGUAGAGGUUACUCUGAAACCAUGUUUGCUCAGAAUGGUUGAAGGCAGGUGAACCUCUCGCAUGUCCAAUUUUCUGAAUUAAAAAAUCUCAUUCAUGUGGAUGUGGGUCUCAUUUUAUUUGUUAUUUUUAAUUAUCAACAUUUAGAUCUUUUUAGUUGUUCAUCGCCAUACUAUUUUAGUAAACUAUAUUGAUUUGAUGGGGGAACCUUAGGUGCAACUGUGGCACCGUGCCACAAUUGCAUCUUAACCGUUGGAUGCCUGUGGACCUCAACACUCUAACUGCAUCCAACGGCUAGAUGCAACUGUGGCACGGUGCCACAGUUGCACCGUAGCCUGAUCCUGAUUUGAUUGUAUGUUUUUUAAGAAUUUUUUAAUAUUAUUGAAAAAAACAGAUUAAAGUGAAAAAAUUAUUGACUAUAUUAAUUGACUAAAUAAAUAAAUAAAUGACAAUAUUUUAUUUUUUAACAUUAAAAAAAACCAAUUUGAUGCAGUCCGCUUAGUCCUGCACACUUGGAACGUUACCAUGCUUUUUUGUGCUGUACAUUUUGGACUUAACUUUCCUUGUCAUUUCAAGUCAAAGUUUUUUUUUUUUUUUAAACUGAUUAAGUGUCAGGUUACUGUAUUACACAGAGAUAUUUACAAAUAAUAACAUAUCACUGAUAUUUACAAUCCGAUAUAUACUUAGGACUUACAUUAUUAUAUUUUUAUUCUAUAAAGUACGUGCCCAGCCAAAUAUCACUCAUAGGAGAGGGAUGUCUCUACUCCACUAGCAUUUCGCAAUGGAAAAAGACGUUAUAAAUAAUCUCUAAACAAUUAUAAUUAAUUGAGGGAGUUUGAGUCAGUAAAAAUUCGAACUAUUAAUAGUCAUUCUUAAUUUUAAGGGCAAUGAUUCACCUCUGGGCUACAAGCCCAAAUGGCAUUUCAAGUCAAAGUUGAAGCUGUUUCAAAAGUACAAUAAUAAGGUGCAUUUAAGUAACUGGCCUAAACUUUAGAAAUUUCAGAAGUUACAGAAUACGCAGUUCAUAUCUAGGAGCAUUAUUAGUUUAAUCAUUAAAUGACAAAAUUUUGCCAAUCUUUUUACGAGCCUUAACAAACUUUUUCUAGUUGAUAUUCAAAGUUUUAUUGAUUUUUUUUUAUAGUCAACUGUACUAAUUGAACAGUCAAUUUAAUAUAAAAACGACUUUAUCGCUUUGUGAUCCUAAUUUUCAACCAGGCGUUAAAAUCUAUUACCCUUAAAAGAAUAUUAGUUGGCAGAAAUGUAAACAGAAGUAAGAAGGUUUGUAGAAGUGUAUUAUUUCAGAAUUACUAAUUUUAUUGUGAAUAAUUAAUAUGAUUAGAAUUUAACAAAAUUUUAUUUAAAGACUUGUUUAAAGAGCAAAAAAUUUAUUUUUUAUUAUUUUUAAUACUUAUAAUUGUAAUUUAAUUUAGAAAUAUUUUAAUUAUAAAAAAUUAUUUUCAAAAAUAAAUUCGACGAAUAGUUUAGGGCUUUCAAAUAACUCUACUUAUAUUUAAAUUAAUAUUUAAAAGAAAGAAAUAAAAUAAUAAAAGUAAAAAACUUUGCCCGGCAAUUCCUUGUUAUUUACAUUUUUGGCACUGUCCUUGGCAGUGGACUACACAGAGGAAUCUCAGGCCGUGGCACACGUGCGGCGGCUUCUCGACAUCGUCGCGUGCACCACACGUUUCUCCAAGUCCAGAAACUCCCGAUCGCCGCCAUCAUCAGAGUCAUGUGCCAAAAAGAACGGCAGUAGGCCCCACCGACCUUCACUAAACCCUGCCACUCUGUCUGAUGGGGCAGCAACAGCAGCAGCAGAUAACCGAAGCGGGCCCCGCGCCACGUCAUCGCCAGUUUCGUCGGCGGUUUCUCCGAGUCUGGACAUGGCGGCCAUUCACCCGACGCCGAAACUCUCCGAGUUUUAUGACUUCUUCUCUUUCUCUCACCUCACUUCCCCCAUCUUAAGUAAGCCUAAUGUUCACUUAUUUAUUUGUCUUCGUUUUUUACAUGGUUGAUCCAAAAAAGGUUGACGUCUCUAUUUUUUAAGCUGUUGGAGCAAUACGCCGUCUCAUUGAUUCAAAUUUACACACUCAAGAUACAAUCAAUGUCCAAAAGGGGGCAAUCUUGCAUGAAGAUCGGGUGGGAGACUUGUCCAUUACAGUAAAAUGUGAUACAGUAGAUGCAAGCUUGAAAUAUGAGGUUACUGUUAAAGGAAAUCAGUCAUCUAGUGUGUCUGCUGCAGAAGUUGCUCAAAGGAAUUUACUAAACGGUGUUACUGCAGAUGAGAGUGUAGUUGUUCACGUAAGUCGAUUUUUCCUUUACUUUUUAUGCUUACUUUCACAGAACACACACAUAAAAGACAUUCAUCAAAGCUGAAAUUACUUACGUGGGCGGAAUAAUAUAGCUCUACCUUUGUCAGGGAGUGGUUUUUCAGUCGGAUUAAGAUGUUUCACUCUUUAUCUGAUAUCUGGCAUUUGAUGAUGGCCUAAAAUACCCAUCCUCUUCACUCUCUCUUUCUACACAUUUAUGAAUGCACAAGAAAGUCAAUUUUAGGUUCUUUCCUAAGAAUCACUACUCGUUACUAACCUUAUAUAUCUGGUUUAGCUUCAUGAAUCUUAUGUUGCCAUUCUGUUUGGUGACUCCCUAUUCUGUUGAAAUCACUGGAUAGCUGGUCUUUCUACUGAUUUUAUCCAUAUCCCUCUGAUUUUCUGCUUGUGGUUUGUUCCAACUUAAUGUCAUCAACCCUUUUUGGGGAAGCCUAUUAACCUUGGUUGGGCAUGCUUGUAUUAUAUCAACUAGUGAUACAAUUGCUAAAGUUUUCAGCAUGGUAGAUCUUGAAAUAAAAUUUUCUUGAAAUAUCUAGAUUUAUUUUUCUCAAAAUAUCUAGAUUUAUCUUCCUAUUCUUUUUCCCUUUCUUUUAUUUUAGUUUCAAAGAUUUGUGAUAAAGAGAACUGAAACAAUAUAGUUUUUGGCAGGAUACCUCCUCAUUGGGUACCGUCAUUGUAUGACAUUGUGGAUACACCGCUGUAGUAAAAGUUGUUGGUGAUGUGAAGGAGAAGUUUGGCACACAAGAUAUUGAAAUUGAAGAUCAACCUGGUGGAGGAGCUAAUUCUCUUAAUAUUAACAGGUCUGAAAUUGUAACACAAUGCUUCCUCUGUCGAUUCCUCUUAGCACACAAAGACUAGGAAAUCUACAGAUGGAGAAUGGCUGUAAGAUAUGAAAAAUUAUCUUUCAACCAAUAACAGUUUUAAGCUAUUCUGCAAGAUAUCUUAGAAAUGCUAACUGUUAUGAGCUUCUUUGCUUAGUGUCUAUCACAGUUGAAUUCAUGAUGCAGAGCAUUGUUAUUCUCUUUAGUUUUACCAGAUAGAACAGGAUUGAAAUGCUGGUGUUGGGGAUUCUUAAGAAAGGAUAGCACCUGUUCCUUUUUCUUCCUGUUUAGAUGGGAUCUAAUCAGUAGAUGUCUGAACUCUUAAGGGGAGUUGAUGUCAGAUUUCUAAACCAGGUUUUCUUCAAGUGUUAAGUUUAUGAAUAGGCCAAAGAAAAGAGAGCUGAUAUCUAGUUAUGGCUUUCACAAUAAUGGUUGAGUGUUUAUAGUUAUGUGCUCUGACAUUGGUUUGUAAUUGUUAUAUUAACAAAAUAACCAACAGACAUCGUUGACGAUGUUCAAAUAAAGGAUAAAGGAAAGUAUAAUUACAGUGGAUGCUCAGUUGCUGCAAUAGGUCAUCGGCUUUUUAGAUUGUGCUAUUUCAGAAAGUAUUUAGGCCUUCUUUGGUGGAUUCUGCCUUUGUUUCAUAUACUCUUAUGUCUUUCUCCAUUUAAGUUGUUCUGACAGGGUAAACUAUUUAUUGCAGCUUAAGGCUUGUACUUCAGAAGUCUUUCAGUGCUGAAUCAGCUAGAGGAGACCAAUUACCUCUGUGCAAUUUGGAUAAUUCGGAAGCUUUUAGAAAUCUUGUAAGAAGAGUUAUUAAACAGAGUUUAGCAAAGUUAGAGCUGGAGCCAACUGCUUCAGAAAGAUCUAUUAGAUGGGAACUUGGUUCUUGUUGGGUGCAGCAUCUACAAAAGCAGGAAACUCCAACAGAUACCAAGUCAACGAGGUCUGGGGAUGAUAUUAAGACUGAAAAUGACAAUGGACCGUGCAGCAUGAAUGUGGGAGGUAAUGGUAGACAGCAAAGCAAUGGCGAGCUCAAUUGUGAGAUGGAAUUGAAAAAACUAAUUUCGGAAGAAUCCUUCUUGCGAUUGAAAGAAACUGGCACUGGCCUUCAUUCAAAAGUUUCAGAAUCUCAAAUUUGUUUUGCAUUUCAACUGUAAAGUUUGCUACUUUUUGUGUUUUCAUUAUGCUAAAUUUGGUUUGUUUUAUUUUCAUAUGGAAUGGCUGGUAAAAUUAAUUUCUUGUGCAGGCAGUGGAUGAGCUUAUGAAAAUGGCAUACAAGUAUUAUGAUGACAUUGCUUUACCAAAGCUGGUACUAUUUAAUUUAUUUAGGGCCUUUGUUGCAGCCAAUUAAGACGUGUGGGGAUGGUUUAUGGACUAAUUUCCAUUCUUUAUUAGGUAACAGACUUUGGAUCACUUGAACUUUCUCCAGUUGAUGGCCGCACACUGACAGACUUUAUGCAUUUAAGGGGACUACAAAUGCGCUCUUUAGGUUGUGUGGUGAGGAAUUUCUCCCUCUCUUUCUCUCUCAGACAUGCAACCUAUUCACCCAUGGAAAUCGGAAUAAACAAAUGUUGUCUUUCUUUAUGUAAACAAAGCCCCCAACUUAUCUUUCUAUAUGUAAACAAUCCCCCAAGUCUUCCUGGAUUGAAUUAUCAAUGUUCCUUUUUGAAAAUUGUACUACAUGAUAGAAUUUUUGACAAUGUUGACCUUUUCCAAGACAUUGAAUUAUUGUCGUCUUUAGAUAUUACUGUAUGUUGUAUGACAUACAAUAUUUUGAGAAAUUGACAUGCUAAUACUUGGAAGCCUGGUAUUCUUCUUCUGUUGGUUCUAAUCCCAUUUACAAAUUCAGGUUGAACUUGCAGAGAAGCUUCCUCACAUACAAUCACUUUGUAUUCAUGAGAUGGUUACUCAAGCGUUCAAGCAUGUACUCAACGGAGUCAUCGCAUCUGUUGACUAUUUAUCAGACCUAUCUGCAGCUAUAGCUUCUUCCCUAAAUUUCUUAUUUGGCUGUUGUGAGAUGGAAGAUGAGCAAAGCUGGAAUGAAGAUCAUAUCCUCAGAUUGCAGUGGCUACGAACAUUUCUUGGCAGAAGAUUUGGUUGGUCCCUGAAAGAUGAAUUUCAGCAUUUGAGAAAGAUUUCAAUUCUACGAGGGCUUUGCCAUAAGGUAAGGUAUUGUCUUUUCGGUUCCUUUGGCAGCCGAUUAUUUUCAAAGCUUGAAUUUUGCUUGUAAACUUCACCCAGGUUGGGUUGGAGUUGGUUCCAAGAGAUUAUGAUAUGGAUUGCCCAAACCCAUUCACGAGAGAUGAUAUUGUCAGCAUGGUUCCUGUGUGCAAGGUGAGACUAUUUUCUCUCUUAAUUGUGUUUUGAUUUAGUUUUUACAUUCUCAGCGAGUCACUCAUUUGUAAAUUGAAUGUAAUUGUGCUAUUUUUAUGGCAUUCUACAGCAUGUAGGUUGCACUUCAGCCGAUGGACGGACCUUAUUAGAGUCAUCCAAAAUUGCCCUUGAUAAAGGAAAACUAGAAGAUGCUGUAAAUUAUGGGACAAAGGUAAUAACCCACUCGAUCUAUAUGUAAGAAUUACAUUAUUCUUUUCAAAAUAAGGCAUCUCUUGAUCUCAUAUGAUGUAUUACUUGCAUUGUAAGGCACUGGCAAGGAUGAUAGCUGUUUGUGGUCCCUACCAUCGGACUACUGCAAGUACUUACAGUCUUCUAGCUGUAGUUCUCUACCACACUGGAGACUUUAAUCAGGUACGACAAUCUUCAGUUGUAUUUCAGUGUCAACUUGGUGAUUCUAAGUCGAGUAUAAUUAUAACGUCCUUCUGUACGGAGGUUCUCAUUCAGCGGGACAUUUGAUUUGAAACUUUGUGUUAUGGUUACUUUUUAUGGUCUUGUAUAAAGAUAUGCAUUAGGAAUUAUAAUUUUCUGGAUUUGGGAAUUACAUGUACAGGCAUUAGCAUAAUUUUGAUAUCAGAUUAUAUAUUUUAACUAAAUCAAACACGUUCAUGGUUCUUAUGUUCAGGCAUUUCGUCUAAUGGCAUCUGCGUCUGAGUGUUAGAGUAGCGUUCGUAUGUGCUCAAGAUAUCUUCUUCUUCAUUUUAGGCAACUAUAUAUCAGCAGAAGGCAUUGGAUAUUAAUGAGAGGGAACUUGGUCUUGACCAUCCAGAUACAAUGAAAAGCUUUGGGGUGUCAAAGGAAUUAGCAGAUUCUAUGGCAAAUUCUAUGCCUGUACAGCUGUAACAAUUAUCUUUAUGAUUGUAAAUCUUUUAUGUUUUCCUUAUUUAGGAUAUACUAGCUGUAAGCUAAUUUAGAUAGUUUUGUAUAUGAUAGUUUAGCGAUGUUUAGGGCUAAACAUAAGCUUGUAUUCAUAGUAUAUAAUGGGAAUUCUCCUCCAAGAGAAAAACAACUUUUGCUCAAAAUUCUCUUAGUUUAUCAUGGUAUCAGAGUCUCAGUUCUGAAUUCUCUUCUUCCUAGUUCAUUCUCUUAUUCUUAGUUAUUUUUUAUCAAGUUAUCUCAGCCUCAUGUCUUCAGACAAGUAUGAUGCCUUUUUGAUCCGUUUUAAUGGCACAAACUACUCAGCCAGGGCAUUUCAUUUCGAGAUAUUUGUCAAAGGCAAAGAUCUAUAGGGACAUGUUGAUGGCAAGAAACCUGCCCCUGACAAAGACAUAGACCAGGAUGGGCACGCCAAGUGGGAAGUCAAGGAUGCUCAAAUCAUGGCAUGGAUUCUAGGAUAUGUGGAAUCCAACUUCAUCUUGAAUCUUCGACCCUUCAAGACCGUAGCAGGAAUGUGGAAUCAUCUGAAGAAACUCUAUAGUCAAACCAACACUGCUCGUCGAUUUCAACUUGAACAUGAGCUAGCCAAUCUCCAACAGGGCAGUCUCGCUAUUUCUGAUUUUUAUUCUAGCUUCAUGAAUCUUUGGGCUGAAUAUACUGAUAUAAUCUAUGCUACCUUACCUCCCAAAGGUCUUAGUUCUGUUCAAUCUGUACAUGAAACUACUAAGAGGGAUCAGUUUCUGAUGAAAUUGAGAUCUGAAUUUGAAAGCACUAGGUCUAAUCUUAUGAACCGAGAAUCUGUCCCUUCCUUGGAUACAUGCCUCAAUGACUUAUUUCGUGAGGAGCAACGACUUCUUACUCAAAACACCAUGGAACAACAAAAAUCCACUUCUGUUCUUAUAGCUUAUGCAGCUCAAGGCAAGCCAAAAGGUAGGGACAUAAGUACAGUUCAAUGUUUUUGUUGCAAAGGAUUUGGACAUUACGCUUCAAAUUGUUCAAAAAAAUUCUGCAACUAUUGUAAAAAGGAUGACCAUAUCAUCAAGGAAUGCCCUACUCGACCCCCCAAGAAAUCUGAAACAGCAUAUGCUACCGCAGUUGGUUCUUUUAGUGCUGGUAGUUCUGUCGAUACAGCACAUUUGACACAAAAUGCUCCUGCUCCUGUUCAGUCUGUGACCCCAGAAAUGAUUCAACAAAUGAUUAUUACUGCAUUCUCCUCAUUAGGACUCUCAGGUAAAUCACCCACUACAUCUCCUUGGUACUUUGAUUCUGGGGCUUCCCAUCACAUGACAAACAAUGAUAAAUUCCUCACCAAUGUAAGUAAAUACCCUGGAAAUCUAAAAAUUCAUACAGCUGAUGGCAACUCUUUACCUAUCACAGCCACUAGUGAUGUUUCUUCUUCUAUAACCAAUGUCUUUGUCUCUCCUGGUCUUACCACUAAUCUUGUUUCAGUCGGUCAGUUAGUUGACAAUAAUUGUAAAGUAGAAUUCUCUAAAUCUGGUUGUGUUGUGCAGGAUCAGCAGUCAGGGAAGAUGAUUGCCAGGGGGCCUAAAAUAGGACGUCUUUUCCCUCUCCAAUUUGCUGAGUCUCCAUGUUUCUCUUUGCCCAUCAUCACUUGUAAUUUUACUAAUGUUAAUUAUCGAGCAUGGCAUAAGCGUCUAGGACACCCAAACUCUAAUGUACUUCAUGCUUUGCUAAAUUCUGGUUUACUUGGGAAUAAAAGAUCACACACCAAAUGUUGUCCAGCCUUUUGAUUUGAUACAUAGUGAUGUGUGGGGUAUGACGCCCGUUACAUCUCAUGCUAAUUACAAGUACUUUGUCACUUUUAUUGAUGACUAUAGUUGCUUCACAUGGAUUUAUUUUCUACAUUCUAAAGAUGAAGGGUUCUCUGUUUUCAAGCUUUUUCAUGCGCAUAUUCAGACCCAAUUUUCAACUAAUAUCAAAAUUCUUCGCUCUGAUAAUGGGGGUGAGUAUAUGUCUCAUUUAUUUCAAGAAUUUUUGCACACCAAUGGUAUAAUUUCUCAAAGAUCUUGUCCUUCAACCCCCCAACAAAAUGGGGUGGCUGAAAGAAAGAACCGUCACCUUCUCGAUGUUGUUCGCACUCUUCUAUUAGAGUCAUUUGUACCCUCUCGUUUUUGGUGUGAAGCUCUCUCCAUUGCUGUCUAUCUCAUCAACAGAUUGCCCUCUCCUUCCUUGAACCAUGUCUCCGCUUUCUUUCGAUUAUUUGGCUAUACACCAAAUUACUCCCAUCUCCGUACCUUCGGUUGUGUGUGCUAUGUUCAUCUUCCUCCACAUGAACGCACAAAACUCACAACCCAAGCUGUGAAAUGUGCUUUUCUAGGAUAUUCUAUGCACCAAAAAGGUUUUCUUUGCUAUGAUCCAAAUUUGCGUCGUAUAAGGGUUUCUCGAAAUGUGAUUUUUUUUUUAAAUCAGUAUUUCUUUUUCGCACAUCAGGACGAUUUUUCCCCUUCAUUUUCUGUUUUGCCAAAGUUUACUAACCCUUCUGCAGAUUCUGUACCUUCUAAACCUCUCAUAGUCUAUCAGCGACGCAAGAAUUCAGUACCUCUCAGGCCCCCUCCAGCAACUUCCCUAAAUGCUGAUCCAGUUCCAGCAACUGCACCUGAACCUCUCAGACACAAUACUCGGGUUCAUAGACCACCGGAUAGGUAUGGUUUCACCUAUCCAUUAUCUUUGACAGCCACUUUGUCUUCUAUUCAUAUUCCUUCAUCAUAUAAACAGGCAAUGGAGCAUGAAUGUUGGCGAAAAGCUGUUGAAUCAGAACUUCUUGCACUUGAGGAAAACUAGACUUGGGAUAUUGUUUCAUGUCCUCCAUUUGUGAAACCCCUUAGUAGUAAAUUAGUGUUUUCUAUCAAGCUGCGUUCUAAUGGAUCCAUAGAUCGUUACAAGGCUCGGUUGGUGGUUCUUGGCAACAAGCAAGAAUAUGGCCUAGACUACGAUGAGACCUUCGCACCGGUAGCCAAAAUGACCACUGUUCGAACAAUAUUAGCUCUUGCUGCAUCACAAUCAUGGUCUUUACAUCAAAUGGAUGUAAAGAACGCUUUCCUACAUGGUGAUCUCAAGGAGGAAAUUUACAUGAAACUUCCCUACGUUAUGACUACUUCCUCACCUAAUGAUGUUUGCAAACUAAAAUGUUCUUUGUAUGGGUUGAAGCAGGCACCGCGAGUAUGGUUUGAGAAGUUUCGAUCAACUCUUUUCGGUUUUUCAUUCACUCAAAGUUAGUAUGACUCCUCCUUUUUUUUUCCAACAGACAUCUAAGGGCAUCGUUGUUCUCCUUGUUUAUGUGGACGACAUCGUUAUCACUGGUUCUGAUAUGGAGGCAAUUUCUAAACUUCAGAAUUUGUUGCACUCAACUUUUCACAUGAAAGACCUCGGUCAACUCACCUAUUUUUUGGGGUUAGAGGUGCAUCAUCGGACUCAAGGUAUCUUCUUGAAUCAGCACAAGUAUAUUCAGGGUUUAAUUCAAUUAGCUGGACUUAUGGACACAAAUUCUGUUGACACCCCAACGGAACUUAAUGUGAAAUAUCGACGAGACGAAGGGGAACUACUUCAAGAUCCUACUUUAUAUCGGAAGCUGGUUGGUAGUCUUAUCUAUCUAACUAUCACCGCCCAGACAUCUCUUAUGCUGUCCACACCGUCAGCAAGUUCAUGCAAGCCCCUCGACAUCUCCACCUAUCCGCAGUCCGCCGCAUCAUUAGAUAUAUUCUUGGCACUCCUAGCAGCGGUUUAUUCUUCCCUACUGGUUCUUCACCCCAACUACAAGCCUACAGUGAAGCAGAUUGGGCUGGCUGCCCGGACACGAGAAAAUCUACUAUGGGAUGGUGCAUGUUUCUUGGUGAUGCCCUUAUCUCUUGGAAAUGCAAAAAGCAAGACUCAAUCUCCAAAUCAUCCACUGAGGCAGAAUAUCGGGCCAUGUCUGCAGCCUGCUCCGAGAUCAUUUGGUUGCGUGGUCUCUUAACAGAGCUUGGUUUCUCAUAACAUCAACCUACUCCCCUACAUGCUGACAACACUAGCGCCAUCCAAAUUGCAGCCAACCCUGUCUACCACGAGCGCACGAAACACAUAGAGGUUGACUGCCACUCUAUUCGAGAGGCCUAUGACCGCCAAGUUAUCACCCUCCCGCAUAUCUCCACUACUCUACAUAUUGCGGAUAUCUUCACCAAAUCCAUGACACGUCAGCGACAUAACUUUCUUGUUAGCAAAUUGAUGCUUGUAGAUUUACCAGCAUCAAUUUGAGGGGGGAUGUCAAAGGAAUUAGCAGAUUCUAUGCCUGUACAGCUGUAACAAUUAUCUUUAUGAUUGUAAAUCUUUUAUGUUUUCCUUAUUUAGGAUAUACUAGCUGUAGGCUAAUUUAGAUAGUUCUGUAUAUGGUAGUUUAGCUAUGUUUAGGGCUAAACAUAAGCUUGUAUUCAUAGUAUAUAAUGGGAAUUCUCCUCCAAGAGAAAAACAACUUUUGCUCAAAAUUCUCUUAGUUUAUCAUGGGGAUCUUUCAGUUUUCUAUUAUCGCCUUCAACACAUUGAAUUGGCUCUUAAGUAAGUAGAUCUACUUGAUUUACCGGAGCAACUUUGUGAUUUUCAUUCUCUAACUGAUUAAGGUUUAUUUAUUCAUAUGUGACCUUUGUAUACCUUUGUAUUGAGUCUGCUUCGAACUAAUGCAGUUUUUAUCUACCUACUUUAGCUUUUAUUUGUCUUUUAUUGGCUCUAGCUCCUGAUCAUACCACACUAUUGGCAGAUAUGUAAAUCAUGCCUUAUUCCUUUUGCAUUUUACUUGUGGACUUUCACAUCCAAAAACAGCUGCAACAUACAUAAAUGUGGCUAUAAUGGAAGAGGGCAUGGGAAAUGUUCAUCUUUCUCUUAGAUAUUUGUAUGAGGCCCUUAAAUGCAACCAAAGACUAUUAGGAGAUGACCAUAUACAGGUUUUUCUCUCUCUAUUUACGCAUGUAUACACACUCUUUAGACUUAUAAAUCUUUCUGUAAACUCAGCAUUUUUUUGAUUUCUUCACGUGACAGACAGCUGCAAGUUAUCAUGCCAUAGCCAUAGCUCUUUCUUUGAUGGAGGCAUAUUCACUAAGUGUGCAACAUGAGCAAACUACACUGAAGAUUCUCCAAGCAAAGCUUGGACUAGAAGAUCUGCGUACUCAGGUGACUACAUGUAGUCAUAUUUUAAUUGGUUCUGUUGUGCAAUUUGGCUAGUUGGCUUUUCUCUUGUCAAUCUUUUACAGGUGAUAUUAUGAUAUAAAACAAAUUGUAUCGGCGGCCUAUUUUGGUGUCAAAUAUGGAUAUGACCCAUUCAUUAAUCGUAUCGAAAUAUCAAAAUACAGAUAUGACCUGUUUAUUAAUAGUGUUGACUUGUUUAGUAUUGAAUACAAACAAAUUAAAAAUUAAUUUAAAAAUAACAAAUGUGUCAAAAAAAUAAGUUAUAAAUAAGUUAAAAUGACAUAAGUAUGACAUGAAUAAGUUUAUAACAUAAUAUGAGUAUGACAUGAGUCGUUAAUUUAGUGUUUAGUAUAUAUUUUAGUUUUUUUUUCCAAUAAUAUUAACACAUAAUAAUUGAUAUUUGUGUUAUAAAUGUAUAAUCAUGUUGAGAUGGACCAAAACAUAUAUGACAUGGUUAUUUAUCAUGUCGUGUCAAUUCAUUUAUUGAUCGUGUCAAUAUUUGUCAACAAAAAUAGGGGUCAUAUGUCAUAUUAUGUUGUGUAAUCGUGUCAUAAUCCCUUUUGCCACCUCUAAUCUUAACUGUCAUGAGAGAAUUUCUCAAGUUCCAUAUUAUUGAUGGGAAGAGAUUUUUUUUAUUUUGUUGUUUUUUUUUUCGUUUUACAGGAUGCUGCUGCAUGGCUGGAGUAUUUUGAAUCAAAAGCUCUAGAGCAGCAAGAAGCGGCACGGAAUGGAACUCCAAAGCCAGAUGCGUCCAUUGUGAGUAAAGGUCACCUUAGGUAUUAAUAGGGUAUUCCCACAUUACUUGUUUCUAAAUUGUUGAUUAUUUCUUGUGGCACCAAGAUCUAUAAUGAUCGCUUUUUGCAGUGUAUCAGAUCUCCUGGAUUACAUAAGUCCUGGUCAAGAUUCUAAAAGAAGCGAAGCACAUAGGAAACAACGACGUGCAAAGAUAGUACAUAUUUAGUGCAUGUUUGGUAUGAUUUAUCUAAUGAUCAUAAAUUUUUAUUUAAUCCUAUAAGCUCUUAUCAAAAAUUUUUUUGUUGUUUAAUUUUUUUUUAGUAGAGCUCUUGAAAAUGAAAUAAGCUAUUUUGCCUCUACUACCAAAACCUCAAAUUUUGUGCUUUUGAGAGUAGAGGUUAAAAAGUUUUUUUUUAAUAUUAAAAUAUCUAAAAUAUUCUCUACUUAUUUGACAAUCUUAUUUUAUUCUUUUCAAAACAUAACUUUAAAAAUUUGCUUAUUAAAGUAAUUUUAUAAUUUUUAAUAAAAGCCCUUAUUGACAACCAAACAACACAAAUUUUUUGAGUAAAAACUUUACUUAUAAAAUCUUUACUAGCAAAACUCUACUCAAAUAAGAUCUAUUUGAAAAGCUAUGUGAAAUGAAGCAUUAAGCAUGCUGCUGUUCUCUGUUCCUUUUUCCUUGUGAUGUCAUCUGAAUGGAUUCUUAAACUAAUUGUAGUUAGGAUUUGGUAUUUUAGGGUACACUCUGCUGGCUGCAUAUAGUUUUGGAUUUGCUGAUUACACGAGUAAACUUGUUGUCCAUGCAAAUGCAACUAACUAUUGCAGGAUAAUAGUUCUACUUUUCUGAGUGAACUCUGAAGGCACCAAUUAUAAACAUCCAUUUCUGGCAUAGAAUCACACUUAUCUAACAUGCUUAUACAGAUCGCAGACAUGAUUGAAACUUUAGAAGGUUCUGAUCUAUUGAUGGCCAUAGAUUGGGCCAGCUGAUAGUUAGUAGCCAAUGAUGAAGGGUUGCUUGGUCAAGCAGCUAGUUCUUUGGAAAUUCAGAGAUGAUGAGCAGAACGAGUGAUGUUUUUGUUUUCCCCCGUAAUCUUGAACAGAGUGGGAAGAAACCGUUAAUUUGAAGUGCAAUGGAUGGAUAUGACAGAUCUAUCAUUUUGGCUAGUAGAUGGAGUUCUUCCAUUCUACUCUUAUUUAAUGGUUGUUAUUAUUGAUUCUAGAAAAACAUUUUUCGAUUUGGCAGUUGGAGUUUUUCCCUUUUUUUUCCCCCAUCUUGUAGGCCUUAGAGAACCAAAUAAUACUCCACAUUAGAUAGACAGGAUUAUUGUGUGCUAAUUUGAAGUAUUACAUGGUUGACAAUUUAAGACACUAAUAAAGUAUUUCGCUUUGAUUAUUUUUUUUGAGAAUUCCAUGAUUCAAAAGGCCGAAGAAUUUCGUUAGUUUAACAUAAUAUAUAUUAGCAUAAUUUCUCACUGAGUGUUUUUUUCAACAUUUCAGGCAUGUGCAUAUCAAAUUCCCAUUUAUGUUCCACUGAAUUCUGCCUCAUGUUAUGAUUGUAACUUAAAAUGAAAUAUUUCUAUGUGCUCAAUUUUUGACAUUUUAUAUGCAUACAAGUUAAAAAGCUUUUGUUUAUUUUUGUUUAUUUAUUUAUUUUAGGUAAUGCAGAUUAGGGAAAAGAUUCAUGGAGCACAUCAUGAUAUGAUGGUGGAAGAUGCACUGCCCCAUGAUGGAUUGAAAAAAAGUAUGACUAUAGUGGAAAGCAAGACCGAGGAAGUAAUGGAAGACAGUGUUCAACCUGAAGAGCCAGAAGAGAAUGAUAAUAUUACUAGAUAUGGACCGGCAAUUUCAGGUGAGUUUGUCUAUGAAACAAAUUCAGAUGAGGGGUGGCAAGAAGCCAAUCCAAAAGGUAGGUCAGGAAAUGCUGCUGUUCGGAAGCUCAGCCGGAGGCGACCUUUUCUUACAAAGCUAAAUGUCAAUGGUUGUGAACAUUCAAAUCUUAGAGAAAAGGGCAAUAGACGGGAAAUUUUAUCUCCAGCACGGGAAAAAGCUUCAAGGACCACCACCACUGAGUUAACAGGCAUGAAGGAUUCAAUUAAACUGCAGGCAAAAGCUUCCGUCUCCAAAGUUUAUGCAAGUCUACCAAACCUUACUGCCAUGACUUCCAAGUCGCUGUCUUACAAAGAAGUAGCUGUGGCACCACCAGGUACGGUUCUAAGGCCAUUACCAGAGAAACCUGAUGAAGAAAUUGAAUAAAAAACUGAAACACAGAUGUGCGGUAAUGCUCCUGAGACAUCAAAGGCGGAGUUGAAUAACCAUUUCUCUCCAGUUGAAGAUGUGCCAGUUGAUGGUCGUUCUCAAGAAACUCAUGGAAGUGCAACUCAAUCUGAAACUACUGCUGCAGAUACCGAGGAAGUUCCUUCUUCUUCUAAUGAGGAAAAGCCCAUGGAAACAAAUGGGAGUAAGCUUUCUGCUGCAGCUGAACCAUUCAACUCCAUGACUCAUCUGCUGAACUCUGUAGCAGCCACGAGUAUUUAUGAUGCGCGAACUAGUCAAGGUAUGCUUGCUGAACCUGCUGUACCUUCGGCUGCUGCUAGAGUUCCUUGUAGGCCAAGGUCGCCUCUCUAUUAUAGAAAUAAUUAUUCUUACAUGAUGAAAUAUGGAUUUCCAAAAUACCACUCUUCCAUUAUGGAAAGAAACCUGUUGGGGCCUUCAAGAAUCAUGAACCCGCAUGCACCUGAGUUUGUGCCAGUGAGAGGUUGGCAAAUAAAUCCUGGAUAUGCAGAUUCAAAUGUUUCAAAUGAGUCGAACUCUUCAAUGACACAAGUGAGGCAGAAGAUGAUAAACUUGACAAAAUGUCCAGUAUCCAAGGCGAAGAUAAUACCUCAAGAAAGAGCAGUACAGAGGCCGAGAAGUCAGAGCUGGCAAGACAGAUACUACUUAGCUUCAUUGUAAAGUCAAAUUGAGAAUUUGAACAAACACAAACAUGGAUACAUAGCUGUUUGGAGAAAAGCCAACGGAUACAUAAUACAGCACGAUAAGUUAUACACGGCCGAACCGUAUGUGCUAGUAAGCACAAACAUAUUUGAAAAGCCAAUAAUAGCAUGUGUCAAUACAUCUAUCAACGAAAUAGAACCACAGUUUGCGCCAGUACGAGUUUAUCCAAAGUGCUGCAAAUAAACCCAAACUCACCGAUGCAUAGGAUGCUCCAAAACUCCAUCUUAAUGCCACCAUGUCAAUCACAGAAUCGCUUUCAUCUUCUCCUCCUCCUGUAGGUGUCGCUGGUGGUGUCAAAGCACUGCUGCAUUUCCUCUUUAUCAUUGAGCCACAAAGAGCCGAAUUACCUUUAUAACUGCAGUCAUCAAAGGUGGCAAACUGCUCUUUGUCUGGGAUUGGGCCGGACAAAUUGUUGUAUGACACAUUGAAGUUUGAUAAAAAGUUGAGCUCAGUUAGUUGAGGAGGAAUUUGGCUACUUAAUUUGUUGCGGGAAAGGUCAAGGCUCUCUAUCAUUUUUAGAUUGGAGAAGCUCUCUGGUAUAGCACCUGAUAGUAAAUUAUUGGACAGAUUAAGUGCACGAAUAUUUUGAAGUUGCCCAAUUUUCCAUGGAAUUUCUCCACUGAACUCAUUGCCUGACAAAUCUAGUCCAGCCAUGUAGUUGAGGUUGCUACCGAUGAAAAAUUCAUAUCUAUUCUUUGUCACAAAUUUUGCACCUACUUGUUGAUCUUGUCUAAAAUGUAGUUCAACUGGCAGUUGCAGCUCAAGAGAGGAAUUGUAGUAGGCAACAGGGGAAUCAACAUUAUUUGCAUAAAAAAAUUCUGACGAAUCAUCAUCAGUCGCUUCUCUCCAGAAUGGCACGUUACCCAAACAUGAAGGUAUCGGCCCAUUAAGUCUGUUACGUGAAAGAUCCAUGAUACUUAAUUUCCUUAAUUGGCACAAUUGAUUAGGAAUACGUCCUUGUAGAUAGUUCCCUCUCAAAAGAAGAACAUGCAAAUUCGAACGCUCAUUGAUCUGAUGAGGAAUCCUACCAAAAAGUUUAUUGUCCCUCAAAUCGAGGGUCAAUAAUGUAGAGCUUCUAAGCAAUGCAAUUGGAAUUAACCCCUUAAUUGCAUUGUUUUGCAGAUAAAUGUGCUUCACGAAUGAAAGAUUGGAGAGAGAUAUCAAACUAUUUUCGGAGAGGUCUAUAAACUCAAGACUUUUAAGAUUGUUGAGCUGGACCGGAAUAUUACCUUGCAAAUAGUUUUCUGACAUUAAAAGAACCGAAAGGACUGAGAAGUUCCCAAUCCAGUGGGGAAUAUCGCCGGAUAACAUGUUGUUGGAUACAUUUAAUACUCUUAGCAAAGUGGAGCUCAACAAACCAUCUGUCAUCUUCCCACUGAAAUGAUUGUUGUCCAAAUAUAACGAACCCAAAUCAGUCAAGUUCAUAUAAUUGGGAAAAAGUUGGCCAUAGAAAUUGUUAUUUGAUAGGUCCAACCAAUCUAAGGAGAGGCAACUAGAGACUAUAGGUCGAGGUAAUUUUCCCGUAAAAUUAUUUCUAGACAAAUCCAAAAUAGUUAGCUCUUUCAUCUCACCAACUGAAUAAGGAAUAUUACCUUCAAAAUUAUUUUUUGACAUAUCCAAAUAUAUCAAUUUCUGAAAGAUAAUACCCAAAUUCUCUGGUAGCUUACCAGAGAAAUUGUUACUGGAAAUAUCUAGAUGACGAAGCUUAUCGUAUUUGGCAUUGGGAAGUCGUGGAAGAAUUCCUGAGAAUGAGUUAUUCCACAGAAACAGAACUUCUAAUCCUGUGUUGUUUUGCAACAACCAAGUUGGAAAAUUGCCAACCAAUUGAUUGUGAGAGAGAUCAAGGAAUUUUAAGUUGGAUUGGUGUAAAAGAAAACUGGGAUUGACAUUUAAGCGGCAGUGAGGUAAUUGGAGAACCUUGAGAGGAUAUGUGGGGAGCCAGUUUUCGGUUUUCACUUGCAACAUAUCGUUUUGUGGCGAGAGUAGCAAGACCUCAAGCUUUGAAUGAUUAGCCAAUGAAUUUAUUGAGAAUGUUCCUUGGAAAUCGAUGAAAGAGAGAUCCAAAUAUUCAAGUGAUGUGAGGUUGGCUACUAUAGAAGGUAAGUUUCCACUUAACCGAUUGGAAGAAAUAUCAAGAACUUUGAGAUGAGUCAAGUUGAUAAGACAUUGAGGGAGCUGACCCUCAAAGUUAUUUGAGCUUAGAUCCAACUCAAAAAGAUUCUUCAAAUUACAUAUUCCUAAACCUGAAAAUAAAAAGCUCAAAUUUCAUAAAACGAAAACCAAUUAUAGCGCAUUCAAUCAUAAAACCAAUAUAAGACUUAUAAAACCGACAUGAAAUUAAAUUGUCUAAGUAUUUUGGUCAACAUAAAUAAUAAUAGAAUGAUAUGAAUUUAUUUCUCAUAUAAUAUGAUGUUGAUUGCAAAAGCGUUUCAAUUAAUCUAACAAAAAUAAUAAUAAAAAUAAAAAAGCGCUCAAUAAUUCUUGCUCAUCAUAAUCAAUUCAAAAAGCGUUCCAGCAAUUCUUGUUGUUUAAAAUUAUGAUUUUCUGCGGAAGAGUUUGUUGACCUCAUCUUUUUGUUGGAUAUUGAUUCUCUAAUCUCUAAAUUUGUUGGAUAAUGUAGAGAGAAACUCGUAAUAUUUUAGUUGCCUGGCAUUCAACAAGAAUUUUUUUUUAAAAAAAAAAUUGUUUAAUUUAACCAAAAAAACCUUGUUAAUUAGACUUAGAUUUAAUUUUUUUUUAUAUAUUUUUCUAUUUAAAAAAUUAAAAAUGAGUGAGUAGGGGUAGAAACAUCAUUUUGUAACUAGUUGUGGGGGCAAAAAUGUUAUUUUGUAACUAAUUGUAGGAGUAAGAAUGGCGUUUUUUAUAGUUAAUUGUAGGGUAGAAACGUCAUUUUGUAACUAAUUUAUUAUUCUUAUUAAAAUUAACAACAAAAGUUAACAGAAUAUUGCACGCUCAAAUAUUUUUAAAAAAUAUGUCAUCUUCUUAAAAUUUGUUAAAAUACGUGUCAUCCAAAGGUAAUUGACCAUUUAUAUUAUUAUUAUUAUUAUUAUUAUUCCCAAAAAAUCAAUUUCCCUCACAAUAAUCUUUUCUUUUCGUAUACAUUAUACUAUUUAUGUUUUUAUAUAUUUACUAAAUCAAAUAUGUAGAAUUUAUCAUUUUCUUUGAACAAAAAAAUAGCAAGGUCACCUAAUUUAUUCUUAAAAUUAAAAUAAUCAAUAUCCAUUGCUUAAUCUUAAGUUUUAUGGAAAUUAUUCCAAUAAUAAUUCUUUAAAAUAUUCUUACCAAACACAUUUUUCUUUUUCUCAUUUUUGAGAUUAUUUUUGAAAAUGAUACCGAACACAUUUAUAAAUUUUAAAAAUAAAUUUAAAAAUAGCAUUUUUAUUUUCAUUUUUUGGGGUGAAAACAACGAUUAGAAAACAAUAAUGGGUUCUUGUUUAUCAUCCUUCAACAUAAAAACACAGUGUAAAUUGUUUAAUUUGGGUUUCUAGAGAAUUUUUUAUAUUACUAUUACUCAAAUUUUAUGCUUCCAAGCUUUUGAAUUUAUCUAAUCCUGCAGGCUGCAUCAAGAAUUAAUGAACAUAUGAUAAAAAAAUAUUUUUUUAUUCAGAACUAUAAAUAUUGAAAUAAAAAUAAAUAUCAUGUGAANNNNNNNNNNNNNNNNNNNNNNNNNNNNNNNNNNNNNNNNNNNNNNNNNNNNNNNNNNNNNNNNNNNNNNNNNNNNNNNNNNNNNNNNNNNNNNNNNNNNNNNNNNNNNNNNNNNNNNNNNNNNNNNNNNNNNNNNNNNNNNNNNNNNNNNNNNNNNNNNNNNNNNNNNNNNNNNNNNNNNNNNNNNNNNNNNNNNNNNNNNNNNNNNNNNNNNNNNNNNNNNNNNNNNNNNNNNNNNNNNNNNNNNNNNNNNNNNNNNNNNNNNNNNNNNNNNNNNNNNNNNNNNNNNNNNNNNNNNNNNNNNNNNNNNNNNNNNNNNNNNNNNNNNNNNNNNNNNNNNNNNNNNNNNNNNNNNNNNNNNNNNNNNNNNNNNNNNNNNNNNNNNNNNNNNNNNNNNNNNNNNNNNNNNNNNNNNNNNNNNNNNNNNNNNNNNNNNNNNNNNNNNNNNNNNNNNNNNNNNNNNNNNNNNNNNNNNNNNNNNNNNNNNNNNNNNNNNNNNNNNNNNNNNNNNNNNNNNNNNNNNNNNNNNNNNNNNNNNNNNNNNNNNNNNNNNNNNNNNNNNNNNNNNNNNNNNNNNNNNNNNNNNNNNNNNNNNNNNNNNNNNNNNNNNNNNNNNNNNNNNNNNNNNNNNNNNNNNNNNNNNNNNNNNNNNNNNNNNNNNNNNNNNNNNNNNNNNNNNNNNNNNNNNNNNNNNNNNNNNNNNNNNNNNNNNNNNNNNNNNNNNNNNNNNNNNNNNNNNNNNNNNNNNNNNNNNNNNNNNNNNNNNNNNNNNNNNNNNNNNNNNNNNNNNNNNNNNNNNNNNNNNNNNNNNNNNNNNNNNNNNNNNNNNNNNNNNNNNNNNNNNNNNNNNNNNNNNNNNNNNNNNNNNNNNNNNNNNNNNNNNNNNNNNNNNNNNNNNNNNNNNNNNNNNNNNNNNNNNNNNNNNNNNNNNNNNNNNNNNNNNNNNNNNNNNNNNNNNNNNNNNUAAUAAAUAUACUUCAAAAUUAUUAUAGAAAGGCCCGGAUCCAGUGGGGUUGUUUUGUAAAUUAUCCCAAUAAGAUUGCCUAGCCUUGUUAAAAAGCCACUUGUUAGAUUGAGGUUCCCGCCUAGAAACAACGCUUCCAUGUGUCUCAAAUUUGCUAAUCCUGCUCAGAAAACAUUAAAUUUUGAUCAAGACAAUUUACGUAUAUAUUUUAAGAGAUUAACGAGCCUAACAUGCAUUUCUGCUGGCAUGAAAUGUAUAUACCUUGCUUGAUUCUGGAACCUUCAAUGCAAUUGUAAUAAAGAUUCAAAGUGGUAAGUGAAGUUAGCGUAUUCAAAUAUGGUAAUAUGCUGUCGUCGAAGAAAUUGUCACAAAGAUUUAAGAUCUUCAGCUGCUUCAAGCUCCCAUUGCUAUCGUAAGCUGCAAAUGCAUAUGAAGUAUUAAUAUUAUAAUAUGCACGAGAAAUAUAUACAUAUACAUGUACCUUUGUUCUCAUAGAGGCCUUUAAGCCAAUUAUCAGAUAAGUCGAGGCUCUGCAAUUCUUUGAAAGAAUGAAACAGUGACAUAUUCAGAAGGGAAACUCCAUAAGAAUAAGAGUUAUAAUCAGAGAAGUUGAACAUUCUUGUCCCAUUGAGUGAGAGUUGCAUCACCCGGCGUGUGGUGGCGUUGCACUUAACUCCCUCCCAAUCAUCACAACAAUCAGACGACAUUCCAUCAUCAACCCAUGAAGUAAGAAUAGAGCCUUCAUAUUCCCUAUCACUGAUUGAUAUAAAGAAGCUCUUGAGUUCCAACAGAGUAGUCCUCUCUGUUUGCAAGCAUGCUUUGUAUCCAUGCAUUUCAUUCAUCAAAACAAUAAUCCAAAUUAGUGAAAUUAACGAGAACUUAACGAAGGAAGUACUUUCCAUUGCAAAGCAACUUUUCAAUUGGUCAAUAUAAAAUUUGCAAGGAGGAAACUUCAAUAUUUAUACUAAACAUUUAUCAUCGUGGACCUUGCAAUUUGAUUGGGUGAAGAUUACCAACCACCACCUAACGAAAAUGAAACAUCUCAGAGAUAUCAAGUAAUAAAAAUACUUGAUUAUCUUAUUUUUGUUUUAGAGGGUUAUUAAAGACAAAACGUUGUCAAUACAUUAUAACAUCGCUAUCUUGAAGUCUUUGUCUUUAGUGAAGACUUGUAAGCUUGAAAUUACAUAUAUAUUGCAGCAUCGACCCAGGAGAAAAAGAACUUCACUAAUACUCCGUGAAAAAUAAAAUUAAAGUUCACUGACUCUUGAAUUAAGCCAACAAACAAGCGAGUGCAAACUAUAUUUUCUCCAACAGUUUGAUGGAGAUAGUCGUAACUAAUAAAAUAAAAGUUGUGUGAAAGAGUGUAAAUAAUUUAUCCGUAUAUUUGGGUUUACAUUGGAUUAUCAGUUAAUCUAUUAAAUAAUAUGUUUUGUAAAGAAUUUGAUUGGAUGUUUGAUAAGUUUAAUUUAGUAGUUUAAUUACUCAUAAAAGUGUGAUGUACUCUAAAAUGACAAAUACAUAAAUGUUAUUUGAAGCUUUUGUGACCCUUCAUGUUCAUGCAUUUGAAUCAAAGCCAUUAAAAUCAAAUAUAUUGAUAAACCUUAAUAAGGAAAUUAAGUUUUGAUUGCUCUCAAUCUGCAACUCGACUACUAUUACAAUCACUUGAAAUGACAAAAACAGAAAUUUCAUAUGAACUUGGGACAGAUGUACACGGGUUCAAUUUAGCUAAUUUCCCAUAUAUUUACAACUACGGGGAAAAUUAAAGCUGAUUGACUUUCAAAUUAAGCAACAAACAAGCGGCUGUCCUACUAUUUUUCCUCUACCAAUUGACGGAGACCGCCGAUGCUAUAAAACAAAAAUUGAUUAAGAAUUCAGAUAAGGAAAAUUAUCAACUGUCCGUCCUAAGUUUAUCAUUUAUUCAUUUUUCGCCUUAAGUUUACAAUUCGUAUUAGUCAUCUACUAAAAAGAUAGAAUUACACUUAUGAAAUGACAAUACAUAAACAAAUAUAAAUGGCAAUAGUGGUAAUUUUGUAUGAAUUUUUCUGUUCUUUUGGUGGUUGGUUGAUACAAAUUAAAAACAUAAGAAGAAAAAUAAAUAAAUUCAAACUUUUAGUAUUUCUGAUAGCAGGUUAAACCAAAGGAGGAGGGCUUUACAAUUUCCCUUUAAAUAAUUUAAGGGUGUGAUUGCGUUUCUAUUGAACUGUAUGCUUGGAUUUGCAUUGAAUUAUCAAAAAAUCUAUGCAAGCAUCGAAUUGUAAUGACUGACGAAGACUUAUAAGGCUUGGACCAAUGAAGAAAAAUGCUUCAUUAAUGCUCCGUGGAAAACAAGCCAGUUUGGAAGCAGUUGAUCGGAUAGUCAACAGUUGAUUGAGAUAGUCAACUAAUAAAAUAAGCGUCGUUUGGGUUUGAAAUAAUCAAAUAAUUUAUUGAGAAGAGUUGAAUUCCGUUAUUUUAUUGAGAAGAGAUCCAUCACUCCCUCGCAAUUAUCACAGCAAUCAGACGACAUUCCUUCAUCAUCGUCAAACCAUGAACUAAGAGCUUCGUCAUCGUAUCCAAUAUCACUGGCUGAUAUGAAGAAGCUUUUGAUUUCUAACAGAGCAGUCCUCUCAGUUUCCAAGCAAGCUUUGCAUCCAUGCAUUUCAUCCAAAACGACAACCCAAAGUAGUGAGGUUAAUGAGAACUUAAUGAAGGAAGUACUUCCAUUGCAAAACAGCUUUUUAUUUGGCUAAAGUUAAAUGUGAAUUAAAUAUCUUUGACUGGUGAUAUACAUAUAUUCAGAGAUUUGAAGUGCUCAAACCAAAAAAAAAAUAAAAAAAUAAAAAAAUUAUUAUAAAAAAAUUGAUGAAUAAUAUAGUUCCAGGAAGUGCUAAUGUUUGAGGGAAGUACAUCGAGGAGACCAGACGUGAUGAGCAGGUGGUUGGUGGCAGGGUUCUGCGAGCAGGUGUAUCCUGCAAGAGCCAAAUAGCAGGGGAAUAGGAGCAGGAGUAUUCUGCUUGUCCACGAAUAUGCCAUUCGGGAGGCCGAACUCCUGUCAGAGGCAUAAGGUCACUCCUGCUAGGCAUGGAGGCGAGGAGACGCAAUCAACGACAGUUGGCAGGACGUGCAUUCGUAUCCGAGAGUUAAGGCACGAGGGUCAUCUCCAUUCGCCGACAAUGGCGGUAAUGGGGCGUCCACACCCGAGAGUGGGGAGAAUGACGGGCGUGGACUGCGGAAGAUCUGGAUUCAGAGGAAGCCUAUAAAAAGGUAACCAACGAAGGUAAAAGGGUUAGAAUUUUGGCUAUUUGAACUAAGAAAAGAGAACUCUAAGAACGGAGAUUACAGAAAAGCCAUAAGAUCUGUGGCAAGCGUUCCCAGAACCUUCACAUCUGACUUGAGCGUCGGAGGGUUUACGCCGGGAAAACAACCGGCGUGCUCUGACUCGUUUCUGUGAACGCAGGGAUACUUGGAGAAGAAAGCAUACGAGGAGAGAUCCUGAUCGAGGUGAGGUUGAUCGAGCAGAUAUCCUGGUCGUAGGACGAGCAUAACCAGAAUCUCGCAUCAACAUUUUGGCGCCGUCUGUGGGGAGCUGAGCAAAAAACUUCUGUUGAUAGCAAGAAGAGGAGUGAAGCAAGUGAAAAGUAAUGGAGACAGGAGGAAGUAGUGCACAAGGGGGUGAUAUGAGGCUGAACGAUUCCGUGACGCUGAGGGAGAUAGCCAGCGAAGCCAGGGAAAAAGCCAUGUUCGACCGGAUGGGACGGAUGGAAAAACAGAUGGAGACCCUGACAACCAUCCUGCAUGAGUUGCGGAGUGAACGAAGGGUAACCCAGAAGGAAAUGGUGAGAGGUGGUGGAGUGGCACCAGGUCCCGAUGGUACAAGGAGAAGUCAAACCGCCGAGAGACUUGGUGGUGAGAGAGGUAACAUACCUUUGCGGGGAGAAUUCCAUAGAGACGAAGAGCAAUCCCCGGCAAGACAGAUUUUUUACGAGGACGAUGGGGUGGCGAAUGCAGAAGAAACAGAGUUGAGGCAACACUUGCAUGAUGUAGAGCAAGAGAGGGAUCAAGUUGCAGCACGUGACCCUGGUCGUGCAGUGCAGCUGGAGGAGGAAGUGCGCAGACUAGCGCAGAUAAUUGACGAUAUGCAAGGAAGGAGCAGAGCUCCUGGUUGGAGGAUAAUGCUGGACGGAGAAUCACCGCUCGCAGCAGAUAUCAUGAGGGCAGUUAUUCCGAGAGAUUUUCCUCUCCCGGACCUUAGAUAUUCGGGACGAACUGAUCCGCUGGUGCACAUAGAUCGCUUCAAUGACAUAACGGGGGUACAAGGAUUAUCUCAGCCCCAAAGGUGCAGGGUGUUCCCACUAUCCCUGGAGGGACGUGCACGCGAGUGGUACAAGAAACUUCCUCGGGGCAGCAUUAAAACCUUCGAGCAGAUGUGCCAGGAAUUCGCAGAGCAGUUUAGUGGGGCAAUGGCACCAGAAGAUGACAUGAUGGAGCUGAAAAGCAUGAAACAGGGGGAGCAAGAAACCUUUCGGGAAUUCAUCAAGAGGUUUCAUCGUGCUGUCCUCGACUUGGGAGCCUUCAACCACCCUCAGGCAUUAAGGGGAUUGAAAGAAGGAGUGAAGAUAGGAAGGCUGUGGUACAACUUGAGAAGCCCAGCUAUCCAGACGUAUGCGGCCGCAUACGAGCAGGCUAAGAGAGAUAUUGAGAUUGAAGAGGAGAAGGCAGCACGAAUUAAGAUAGACCAGUUAGAAGGGUUGGGGAGGAAAGAGAAGAAAGCAUUACCGGGGAAUGGGCCGAUCAGGAGGAGGAACCACCAGGCCUCGGAUAGUGGAGCAGGAGGCCGGGUAAUUGCUUACCAGCCUCAUCAGAGGCCACCACAGUAUCAGCGCAGCAGGGCGCAGCCUCCUCGCUCCCCAGCUAGGGAGCCUUGGAGAGGGCAUGGUUCAUCAUAUGGUGGUCAUCAACACUCCCACGGUGGCAGAGGGAGCAGACCAGAGGUACUGCCACCGCACCCAACUCAGAACGGAGCAAACAGAGAAAGAGCAGUGAACCUGAUUGACCAGAACCGGGACUAUGGGCGGUACACUUCAUUGAAGAUGUCCCUGGCCGAGGUGUACGAGGCCAUAAAGGAUCGAGGGUUGCUAUACCUCCCGGCUCCAAUAACUAAGCUACCCAGCAGGAGGGACAGGGGACGCUAUUGUAAGUUCCAUGGCACUCAUGGCCACACCACAGCAGAUUGUAGAGAUCUUAAGACCCAGGUUGAAGAUUUGGUGAGAAAUCGGUAUCUGGACGAGUUUAUAGAUGGGACCAUCCCAAUGGUAGCCUCAACAAGUGAAGGGGAGCAGAGUGACAGGAACUUGAGACGCGAGCAGCCCGCAGUGAGGGUUAUAGCGGGGGGUCCGACAUUGGCCGGAGACUCCAAUAGGUCAAGGAAGAAUUAUGCUAGAUACGCCAUGACCAGCAAAGAGGUAUUCUUCAACACCCCAGCAGCCAAACAUGCAAGAGUCAGGCAAGUGCCAAUCAUGUGGACAGAUGAGGAUGAAGAAGGGAUCCUAUACCCCCACGAGGAUGCUUUGGUCAUCAAGGCCACUGUCGCUAGCAAGAAGUUUGACAGGAUACUGGCUGACACAGGGAGUUCAGUUGAUGUGUUGUUUAAGUCAACCCUGGAGGAGAUGGGAAUAGCAGACCUGAAGUUGGAUUACACCAAUACCUCCUUGAAGGGGUUUGGAGGAGGAAGGCUGGUCCCUCUGGGCGUGGUCGAGCUGCCUAUCACGAUUGGGAGCUCCCCGACAGAAAGGACAAUGAUACUGGACUUUGUGGUAGUGGAUGAGGAAGGUCCUUACCAGGUAAUCCUAGGUCGGCCAUUUCUGAGGAUGAGCAAAGCGGUGCUGUCCAACCAUUAUCUGGCUCUGAAGUACCGGGUGAAUGGGGUAGUUGGAGUGGUACGAGGAGACCAGAGGAUCGCAAGAAGCUGCUACUCCUCGGCGGCAAGGGAAACAAUGCAGAUAACAUCCCUCGAUACCCGAGUGGAAAACAAGAAUGGCAGACAAGAACCUGUAGAGGAUCUGGAAAUAGUAAGCCUGGGACCAGAGAAUCCAGGAAAGACGAUCAGAAUCAGGUCGAGACUUAAGGGAGAGCAAAAGCGGGAGUUGGUGAAAUGCUUACAGACUCAUGCAGAUGUGUUUGCUUGGACACAUGAAGACAUGCCAGGGAUUGACCCGGAGGUGGCAUGUCAUAAGCUGGCAGUAAAGAAAGGUGCUCAGGUAGUAAGGCAAAAGAGGAGGUGCUUCAACCAGGAGAGGUAUGAGGUUAUAAAUGGCGAGGUGGAGAAGCUCUUGAGAGCAGGGUUCAUUCGGGAAGUCAAUUACCCUGAAUGGAUAUCGAAUGUGGUGUUGGUAAGGAAGGCAAAUGGCAAAUGGAGGAUGUGUGUGGAUUUCACGGACCUUAAUAAGGCGUGCCCAAAAGACAGUUUCCCUUUACCGAAGAUCGAUCAGCUAGUAGAUUCAACGGCUGGACAUGGUCUGCUUAGCUUCAUGGACGCGUUCUCGGGAUACAACCAGAUUCCCAUGUACGAGCAGGAUGAGGAGAGUACGGCUUUCAUCACUAACCAGGGUUUGUUCUGUUACAGGGUAAUGCCAUUUGGUCUAAAAAAUGCUGGGGCCACCUAUCAGAGGCUGGUGAACAAAGUCUUUAAGCCGUUGAUUGGGAAAACUAUGGAGGUGUAAGUGGAUGACAUGAUCACCAAGUCCAAAAUCCCGAAGGAACACGUCAGACACCUCGAGGAGACAUUCGAGCUUUUGAGGUAGUAUAAGAUGAAGCUCAACCCGGAGAAGUGUGCCUUUGGGGUCGAGUCAGGGAAAUUCCUUGGAUUCAUGGUGAGCCAUAGGGGGAUUGAAGCAAAUCCCGAGAAAAUCCAGGCAAUUGUGCAGAUGAGGUCUCCCCGUAACCUGAAGGAGAUGCAGAGCCUCACGGGUAGGUUGGCGGCGUUGAGCAGAUUCAUAUGCAGGGCUACAGAUAAGUGUCAGCCAUUUUUUCAAGUGAUAAGGAGGGGAAAGAAAACAGAAUGGACACCAGAAUGCGAGGAAGCCUUUCAGAACUUGAAGCAAUACUUGCAGCAAGCUCCACUGCUGUCCACACCGAGGGAUGGGGACAAGUUAUAUCUGUAUUUGGCGGUAUCGGAUCGGACCGCCAGUUCCGUUCUAGUGAGGGAGGAAGAAGGAGUUCAGUAUCCGAUAUAUUACACCAGCAAGGCCCUGCUCGAUGCUGAGACCAGAUACCCACCGUUGGAGAAAUGGGCACUUGCCCUUGUGGUUGCUGCUCGGAAGUUGAGGCCAUAUUUUCAAGCAUUCCUAGUCUCGGUAAUAACAAACCAGCCGUUGCGUCAAACUCUGCACAAGCCAGAUGCUUCAGGUCGGCUCGUCAAGUGGGCUAUAGAGCUGAGCGAGUUCGACAUAGACUACAAACCCCGAGCAGCGAUAAAGGCUCAGGCAAUGGCCGAUUUCGUAGCAGAAUUUACAGAGCCUGAAGUAUGUUUAGACCAACGAGAUGUAGUUGCAGACAGUGGCGAAGCUCAAGUAUGGCAAAUGUCUGUAGAUGGGUCAUCAGGGGAGCAGGGAUCAGGAGCAGGGAUUGUAUUGGAAGGCCCGGAGGGGGAGGAGAUCUCUUAUGCUGUAAAGUUAGAGUUCGCAGCAACGAAUAACCAGGCAGAGUAUGAAGCCUUGAUAGCAGGGUUGGAACUGGCUAAGGCCGUGAGAGCAGAUAGAGUGAAAAUCAGAACUGAUUCCCAGCUGGUUGCGAAUCAUGUCAGUGAAAGAUUCCAACCGAGAGAGGAAAAGAUGGAGCAGUACCUGAAGAUAGUCAGGCAGAUGAUGGGAAAAUUCGAAGCGGUGGAGGUGGUACAAAUCCCUAGGGAGCAGAAUAGUCGAGCAGAUAUUUUGGCCAGGAUGGCAGCGGUAGCAGAUCCAAAGAUGCCAAAGUCGGUCCCUCUGGAGGUGAAGUCCAUCCCAAGCAUCGAGCAGAAUUUGGAGGUGCUGCGAAUAGAACAAAAAUGCUCGUGGAUGGAGCCGAUAGUUUCAUACCUUAGAGAUGGGGUACUACCACCAGAUAAGCUGCGAGCUCGGAAGAUUAGAGCCCAGGCCUCGAGAUACACGAUGAUUGAUGGGAUACUGUAUCGGCGAGGAUAUACACUGCCGUUCCUUCGAUGUUUGGACGAGGACGACGCGGAUUAUGUACUGAGAGAAGUACAUGAAGGAAUUUGCGGGAACCAUUCUGGUGGGAGAUCCCUGGCCCAUAAGGUUUGAAGGUAGGGAUAUUUCUGGCCGACAAUGCACCAGGAUGCACAGGAGAAGACCAGGAGCUGUGUAAGCUGCCAGAGUUUUGCAAAUUUCCCCAGCCAACCACCAGAGAAGCUCACUUCUAUGGUCUCCCCUUGGCCAUUUGCUCAAUGGGGAAUUGAUCUGAUUGGUCCACUGCCAAAGGGACGAGGAGCAGCAACGCAUGCCAUAAUUGCUAUAGAUUACUUCACAAAGUGGAUAGAGGUCGAAGCCCUUAGCAGAAUCAUAGAGAAGAAAACGACAGACUUUGUGUGGAGAAACCUGGUCUGUCGAUACGGGAUCCCAUAUGCCCUAAUAACGGAUAAUGGCAGGCAGUUCGAUAAUCACAGCUUCAGGGAUUUCUGCCAAAACCUCGGGAUAGAGCUGAAGUAUUGCUCGCCUGCUCACCCGCAAUCGAAUGGACAAGUAGAAGCAGCCAACAAGACCAUCAAGAGGCUUUUGAAAACCAGGCUUGGAGCAAAAAAGGGUGCAUGGGUUGAUGAGCUGUCAGGUGUGCUAUGGGCAUACAGAACAACCCACAAAACAGCAACUGGGGAGACACCGUUCGCCUUGGCUUUUGGACAUGAAGCGGUCGUGCCAGCUGAGAUAGGAACGACCACACAUCGGACAGACCAUUUUAAUGAGCAGGAGAACGACGAGCAGAUAUGUUUGAAUCUUGACCUGCUAACGGAAAAGAGGGAGCAAGCAGCCGAGCGAUCAGUCAUAUACCAGCAGAGGGUUGCCCGGUAUUAUAACCAGAAGGUGAACAUACGACAGUUCAAGGUCGGAGAUUGGGUGUUAAGGAGAGUGAAUCAUAACACCAAAGACUCGACUCAAGGAGUGCUCGGUCCGAAUUGGGAAGGGCCAUAUAGAGUCAAGCAGCUAGUUGGUCCGGGAGCUUACAAGCUGGUUCGCAUGGAUGGCCACGAGGUGAAGCGCCAAUGGAACGCAGCACAUCUCAGGAAAUAUUUCUAGUAAGAGUCAUUAAUAUUUUCAAGUUCUUUCUGUUCGUAUUUGCCGUUAUUUAUUUUAUGACCAAGCAAUUUCAUGUAAGUUGAAUAUUCCAAUUAAUGGAACGUCGAGGAAUUUCAGUCACUUGCAACCGACAAAAUUUCUAAGGCAUGCAAAGGCUCUUCAAGUCUCAAAGCCUGUUUAUGGCGAGACAGAAGCCAAGCGUGCCAGGGUCUGCUCGACCACGCGAAGGCGAGCAGAAUCCCCAAGCAUCGAAAAAAUUUCUAAGGCAUGUAAAGGCUCGUCAAGUCUCAAAGCCUGUUUAUGGCGAGACAGAAGCCAAGCGUGCCAGGGUCUGCUCGACCACGCAAAGGCGAGCAGAAUCCCCAAGCAUCGAAAAAAAAAAAUUUUUUUUAAGGCACGCAAAGGCUCGUAAAGUCUCAAAGUCUGUUUACGGCGAGACAGAAGCCAAGUGUACCAGGGUCUGCUCGACCGCGCGAAGGCGAGCAGAAUCUCAAGCAUCGAAGAAUUUUCCAAGGUAUGUGGCAAAACCACAUGCCAAGACGAGCAGAUUCUCAAACGGAAAAUAAGUCAUGAUUACAACACAAGAAAGUAAUCAAAAACAUCUUUGUUAAUUGUUAGUAAUUAAUAGAAGAGAUAAUCGUCACAAAAAUUGUUCAUUACAGUACAAGAUAUAUAUUAAGAAGAUGGUGGAUCAGUAAGCCGAGCAUCAUCGGUUGGCUGGACCUCCUCAGGUGCAGGGGGGGUAUCACCAGUAGCAUCCAGGGGGGUGCUCGCCUCGCCAACGGCAGCAGGGACUGCACGAGGAGGAGAGUUCUCCUCCUCAAUCACGAUCGGCUCUACCCCUUCAGCAUCUUCCUUGGCCGCUUCCUCAUCCAUAUGUUGAGCAACACCAGCUGCAAGGUCAUCCAUCUUCAGAUCAGGGUGUUGCUUCCCGAGGACGGCCAUGAUGCAACGAUAAGAAUGCCGAAGUCCCUGGUCGUACUGAUUGUCGGCCUCCUUCUCCAAGUUCUCGACCUGAGCUCGGUGGGAGUCGCGGAGAGAUUCGAGCUGGGCCUCAUACGUAGCCUUCUGCCUUUCCAGAUCCUCCUUGACCUUCGUAAGCUCCUCCUCGAGGGUAAUGGCCUUUGCUUGAGCAAGUGAUUCUUGCUCUAUCAGCUUCAGAUUCUCGAGAUUCAACUCCCUUGCUUUCUUCUCGGCCACGUCAGCUCUGGUCGUCGCCGAUUGAAUAUCUUCCUUCAUCUUCCGGUCGUAGCGGCUAACCUUAGCCUUGAAAUAGGUAGUCAUGCAACUGAGGUGGAAAGCGCUAUACUGCAUGGCCCCCACCAGCUCACCCAAGGUGCAGCCGUCAAAGUCCUCCAGGUCCUUUUUGCUCACGAGUUUAGAUAACUCAUUGAGGUAGGGGACCAAGUGUUCUGCUCGGCUGUCAGGUAAACGAGAUCGAGGCCCGACAGGAGGAGAAGAGGAAGCAGGAUCCGUGGCUGCUCCACUAGUCUCCCCAAUUUGGGCAGGAGCAGGAGGUAAAGUCUUCAAGGGAGAGACUUGCUGCACGAUGUUGGCCCGCUUUGCAGAAGGGGCGUCCUUGUUCUGGUCCUUCUUCGUGGUUUGAGGUCGAGAACGUUUCCUGUUCAGAGCCCCAAUCACAGCGUCCUCCAUCUUAUGGCCAGGUAGUAUCAAGCGAGACUCGAGCAAGUUGUAAGUAGUUAACAGCUCUCGGCUCGGGCAGGAAUUGACUAGCACAGCCUCAACCUGUUUGAGCUGACCAGGUUGGAGCGGGAAAUGAACACCCCAGGAAACUACAACACAAACGAGCAGAUUGGAAAUGGACACUUGGUUAGAGACAAGCCAAUAAAGCAAGAACAAUUAUGGAUACAAGACAUCUAAAGCGAGCAGGCAACCUGGGACCGUGAAACGGGGGGGGACCCGAUAAUCCUUCCCGUCCAUUUGUGCAACCUGACCCCAAGGACCCCCAGCAAAAAAGAACUUUCUCUUCCAAUUCCCUCCACCACCAGUAGGGAGGUCGGUUAUAGGUUUCCUAGUCUUGGUACUAGAUUAGAAAUAGUACCAGCCGGCAUCUUUGGGGCUGCUCUUUAGCUGGUACAGAUGCUUCACCUCAUCAAUUGUGGGCUCGCUUUGGCAACAUCUGUCCCACAAUAUGAACAGACCAGAGAGUACUCUCCAUCCGUUUGGGUUCAACUGACCAGGAGAUAGAUUCAGCCCGUUAAGUAUUCGGGCAAAGUAAGGUUGCAAGGGACACCUCAGCCCAUACUUAAAGCUAUCCAGAUACAGGGUAACGUAUCCCCUAGGAGGCCGGCUAGGAGCAUCCUUCUUUCCUGGGAUCUUAAGAGGUAUUUCACUAGGAAUACUAUACCUAAGCCGGAGGUCAUCGAGCUCAUCAAACGUGGUCGUGCACGUCAUAUAAUCAAUAGCGUAAUCCCGCGAUAGGGCUCUACCUCCUAUUGUACUCCUCUCUUCUGGUCGCGACGCUCCUGAUGGGGACACCUCACCAGAAUCAUCUCCUCGACCCUCACUCAAGGUGUUCUCCGACCUAGAAGAUCCCUCUUCAUCGCUAUUUCCGCUCGAGGAGGUUGUUUGGGGAGACAUCCUCCUAGCGCUAGGACCAACACUGGAUCUAAUGGGCUCUAAGGGGAUCCCGGGGUCAAAAGCAGGGUCGGUGAGCAAACUAGGCAGGAAGUCCAACUCAUCGUCGUCAACCUCAAUGACCUUCUCUUUACCUUUCGACAUUCCCUAAGCGCUAACCACAACACCACCACCAACUACUACCCGAACAAAAGAGAAGAGAAAUUAUCUACAACUAUCCGAAACCAAGGAGAUAGAAGAAGUACCUGAAGUAAUGUUUCAGUCGGUGAAAGACAGAGAUGGAGGCCUUUAUGCCGGAACUUCUUUGCCGGAGAGACAGAGACGGAGACGGAGUGGAUGAUGAGUUUUCUGUACGAAAGGAUUUGGGUUUCAUAAAAGGGAUGGACUUUUAGGUUGCCAGCAUUUAACAGUACCAAAUCCCAAGGGCCUCGUAACCGUUGGUUUAAAAUUCAAAUAAAGGGGCAGAUUUCUGCCACAUCACCUCGUCCGCAAUUAAAUGUGACAUGACUCCUGGCAGCCUUUUCCAGCCCCACGCGAACGAGAACCGUUGAGUUUCUACUGUUGGUCCAUUACAUUACCCAACACCUGAAACUGGGGGACCUGUGUUUGAGGGAAGUACAUCGAGGAGACCAGACGUGAUGAGCAGGUGGUUGGUGGCAGGGUUCUGCGAGCAGGUGUAUCCUGCAAGAGCCAAGUAGCAGGGGAAUAGGAGCAGGAGUAUUCUGCUUGUCCACGAAUAUGCCAUUCGGGAGGCCGAACUCCUGUCAGAGGCAUAAGGUCACUCCUGCUAGGCAUGGAGGCGAGGAGACGCAAUCAACGACAGUUGGCAGGACGUGCAUUCGUAUCCGAGAGUUAAGGCACGAGGGUCAUCUCCAUUCGCCGACAAUGGCGGUAAUGGGGCGUCCACACCCGAGAGUGGGGAGAAUGACGGGCGUGGACUGCGGAAGAUCUGGAUUCAGAGGAAGCCUAUAAAAAGGUAACCAACGAAGGUAAAAGGGUUAGAAUUUUGGCUAUUUGAACUAAGAAAAGAGAACUCUAAGAACGGAGAUUACAGAAAAGCCAUAAGAUCUGUGGCAAGCGUUCCCAGAACCUUCACAUCUGACUUGAGGGUCGGAGGGUUUACGCCGGGAAAACAACCGGCGUGCUCUGACUCGUUUCUGUGAACGCAGGGAUACUUGGAGAAGAAAGCAUACGAGGAGAGAUCCUGAUCGAGGUGAGGUUGAUCGAGCAGAUAUCCUGGUCGUAGGACGAGCAUAACCAGAAUCUCGCAUCAACAGCUAAUAUGGCUCUUUGAACUCUCUUUACAGUAUUGGUAGAAAUUUAUCCGAUGUGUACAAGGGCUUGUAUAUUUUGCAAUAAAAUAUACAAGCCAAUAUGAAUUUCUUUCUUUCUUUCUCUCUCUUUUUUUUUUUAAGAAACAUGAAUUGGUUCGUCCAUCAAUUAAUAAUAAAACCAUAAUGUACACCGGUAUGAGUUUAUCUAAAAUCACCGGCUACACCAAUAUCAUUGUGACAUAGGAAGCGAUGAGGAAAUUUACGAGAUAUUUAUUAAACCAUAGUCUACGCCAGUAAGAUGGAAUUAGCAUUCAAUGAUCAUAGACUUUCUGCAAUUUCAUUGACUUGUGAUCAGGGAGUCCUUAUUCUACGAUGAUUAUAAUCAAACACGCACACUGCAAGGCAACCUUCAAUUGACGUAUUCUGUCAACUAACUGGGGACAAGGGUCAUAAAAGGGUACGGGAGAGAAAGCAUGAGUCUAUGCACAGUUCCGGUUUUGCUAGUUGAUGGAACAUGGAGGAUGUGUGUUAAUGUUAACCAAUAGUCAAGUUUAUUGAAAAAAGUAAGUGAGAGAAUAUUACAUGUUGAUACAUGUUAUCUGAUUGUGACUUUAGUACCGUCCAAAGAAAUUGAAAUGUGAAAUAAUUGAAGAUGCAAAAUGGUUGAUUUCACGGGCCUGGCCUUUGGCAAAGUGAAAUGUUAGCCACACACUUUACCAGUCAAGUGUCAACAUUUGUAGCAUAAGGAAAUUGCGGCAUCUUAGCUGGAUUUUGAGGGUCGCUAUAGUGGGCUCACAAAUAUUUAACAUAAUUUUGAUAAUUACUUAAACCUCGUUUCCUUGAUAAUUAAAGAAAAAGAGAAGUGAAUGAAGUAAAAGAUAUUGAUGACCGUAAUUAUGCAAAUAAAUACAAGACUUUACAGUAGAUUAGACCACCAAUUGUGCUUUUUCGUCUAAUAAUAAUGCAUCUGCUUUAACAAGAUACGAGUGAACUCAGGCUUAUCUUUCUUUCGCAAUGUAAAUUCUUGCCAAAAAAUACAUGUUAUCUACUGGUGAAUUAGUUUGAUAAAAUAAAGGCUUAAAGUUUAGUUGAGUAAAAUGUUGACGUAAAGAAAUUAGCUACUGGAAAAUCACCAAAUGCUUGUUAAGGUAAUAUACAAUUGCAAUUGAACAUCAAGUGAUGGAAACAUCAAAAACCCCAUAAAAAAUUAAACAAAACCAGUUGCAAUGCGAAUAAACAAGUUUUCAGUUGAGAUGGCAGAACUAAUUCCUUCACAAUCAAGUGUGAUUUCUCAAUUUGUUCUAUUUGCCCAAAAAGACAUGGUCAAGUAUUUGAAAGCAUUUUUAUUUAGUUGACUAUUCGAGUUUGAAUUUAGAAUAAGAGGUUAAAAAAUAAGUUUUGUCUUUACUCACCCCCUUUAGAAAAAAAAUUUUAAUUUUUUAUCAAGCUGCCUUAAAUGCAUCAUGUGCAAAUCACGUGACAUCCUGAGUUACCAUAUAAUUUGGCUUUAUAAGUGUUUUCUGUUUCUGAAAACGAAAAAUAAUAAAAUGGAAAUGCCUUUAGCUUUUGGCUAGACAUUUUCAGAUACGUUUUUCGUGAUUAUUUCAAACUUCCAACAUACCACAAAUUAUUUUUAGAGCCCGCAUGUUGGAUUGUCUCAUUUAAGUUUCGCUUGGAUUUUUAGCACAUCAUUCAAAUAAGUUGCUAUCGUAUAUCUAGCUAGUUUUGAACAAAGUCAGUGAGAAUAUUACAUCUGCUUUAGCAAGAAAUGAGUGAAUUAAAACAUUUGACCAGAUUCAAGAGAGAAAAGAAUGUUGAAAUAUUGACUUGAAUAUUAUGGUAAAAUGAGUUUGACUUUAGUACCGACCAAAGAAAUAACUGAAGAUGCAAAUUAAUUGGUUAGUUUGAGGUGCAUGGCUAUUGGCAAAGUGAAAUGUUAGCUUCACACUUCACUUGUGAACGUACAACAACAUUUGCUGCAUAACGAAAUUGCAGCGUCUCAGCCGGAUUAUGAGAGUUGUUUUCAAAUCCCAUUUCUUUUCUUUGUAACCUUUUUUUUUUUUCCGCAGCUCACGUGAUCACCAUAAUUUUGAUAACUACUCAAACGCGUUUCCGCAAUAACUAACGAAAGGAAAAGCGAAUGAAUAAGCAAGAGAUACUGAUGACAGUAAUCAUGUAAAUGAAUACAAGGCUUUACAAUAGAUUAGACCGCCAAUUUGUGCCUUUUGAAUGCAUCUGCUUCAACAAGAUACCAGUGAAUUGAGGCAUAUCUUUCUUUCACAUGUAAUCUGCUGGUGAAAUAAUUUUUAUAAAACAUAGGCUUAAAGUUAAAGCUGAUUAAAAUAUUGGCGUACGUCAAGAACGCUACAGGGAACAUUCAACCGUGAGCUGCAGUCUGCAGUCCCCAACAAUCCGGGAAAAGGUUGAGGAGGCGCGCGCCUGCACAUUAAUUUGGGAGGUCUGAUGGGAUUUAUAAAUUAAAAUAAUGUAAUUUUAUAUAUUUUUUAAAUGAAAAAUUUGUUGAUGCCGCUGUGCGAUCCAUUGGAUCCUCGCGUGCUGGCCCCACAGAAGUUUCUCCCUAACAAUCUCCAUAAAAGCUCUUUAUAAUCCAUUUUUGAUAAAAGUAUACAUAUAUUUAUUCAAAUAUUAGUAAAAAUAUCUAUAAUGCUGAUUUUUAAAUUAUACUUAAUAGACAUUUAGACCGAGCUGUAAAUCUAUGAAUUCAAACUUCGACAAAUAAACCACAAAUUAUUUUGAUCCCGUAUGUUGGAUUGUCUCCUUUAAGGCUAUGUUUACUAAAGCGGAAUGAGAAUCGAAAUAGAGAAAUCAGAAUGAAUAACUUGUUUACUUAUUAAAUUGAUGAUAGGAAUGGGAAUAAGGUGAGUAGGCUCCAAGGUCUUGAAGAGGAAAGACCUUCCUUAUGUUCAAAAUUAACCCAAUUUGCUUUCUAACUUCCUUAUGUUCAUUGAUUCUUUUGUUGUGCAGUAGUGCCCAGUGUUCUUGAUAUCACAAUCAUCACCCCAUAUGAAUGACAAGUUGUUCUCAAGGUAUACAUUUAUACUUAUUAUUAAUACUUUCCUGUUUUGCCCUCACCAGCUAUGAUUAGCAUAUUGUUUUUUAAAACAUUAUAAAUAUAAAUGAAUUAUUAAUUAAUUAUCCUUUUUUUAUGUUUGAUUGAAAUUUGCUCAAAGGGCAUCUCCACUGACAAGAUACUUGAGUAAUCAAAGUCCUUGUUUAAUAAUAAUUAGCAUAGAAUUACUACUAACAGUGGGCACGAGUUGCAUUGGUUCAGAAUCAAAUUGAACCGAUAAUUUUUACAUAAAAUGUAAAAUUCAACGACUAAGUUUUAUUUUUUUCAAUUUUAAACCGUAAAUUCCUUUCUAUUUUGUGGGUUUUUUUUUUUUAGUUUUUGAUUGUUUUUAUACAAGCCAUUUGAUUAUUUUAAUUUUUUAAAACUGAAUCUAACCGCCGAUCCGAUUCAAAAUUUUCAAGAGUAACGGUUUUGCUCCAUCCAAAUUACCACGUACUUACUUACCAUCUGCCUCAGCGACGUGCUUGAGCGCCUGUGUCCGACACUUUUGAUAAUUCAUCUGUACCUUCAUCACAAUCUUCUGCUGCAAUAUUAUAUAUAAUUAUUAAAUCAGUUAAUAAUUAGUGCAUACAUGCAUUGACAUUACAUUAACUACAGCGAUCAAACAAUUAAAGAAAUUAAGAAGACGUACCUUCAUUUUCUUAAUUAAUUUCCGAUCGAUCAAGUAAGGAGCAAUUUUAUAAUCUGGAAUGAUGUUUACAAUUUGGAAAUUUGAAAAAAAAAAAAAAAACACUAACAGCAGAACUACACAUAUCAAAGACCAAUUGAGGACCGAGAUUGAAUGAUAGAGUAGAGGUUGUUACUCUAUCAUAGUAUAAGCAUUUUGGUAAUCCUUAACAUACGUGUUUUGCAGUAAUAAAAAGAAUAAUAUGUUAUCUAUUGCCGGUAUUGAUUUUAUGAUUGCAAAUUUGUCAUUUCCUGACGUCGGUGGCCGAAGUCUCAGCAUACAUCACUCGAGACAGAAGCUGAUUAUGAAGGAAUUAAAUGCCCAAGAUCUUGCGAUAUUGCAUCUUGUUCCUCCAACCCUGUGAUCAUCAUUCAUCAUAUGGCCGUAUUCAAGAUCUCAUUACUUUAGUACGAAAUUAAUAUAUUUCUCCAUGAUAGCAACUUCUUAAUUGUUAGCUGGACAGCUUCGGUAUUGUUUGUGCCACUGAUAAUUAGCAAAUUAAUCAAUACAUUAACAGUAACGUGGGAGUGUUCAUUGGCUUAUGUUUUACAAGAAAAAAGUAAUUAGAGCCUCGUUACAUCACAUCACCGAAAGAUGAUUUACUUAGCUUUGACUAACAAAAUGGAUUAACAAUGAUUCAUCUUCAGCCCCGUGUUUGCUCUACAAAUCGAUGUACGUAGUGACAGAUCUACUGUACGAAUUCAUCAAUAAUAUAUGAUUUCUUUUUGAUACCGACGUAUACCCAUAAGUGGUGUACUCUUAUUUAGAUGAAAAAUUUACUAAAAUAAAUCUGGGUUAAUGUAAUUUGGGUGACACAUUUUUCGAUAAAAUAUAAAAGAAGUGAUAAUUUUUUUUAAAAAAAAGGUAAUGGGAUGACAAAUUAUUAGUUUUAAUGAAAUUGGUUGUCUUAUGAUGAAAAUACGUUUUUGUCCCUGUAACCUUCUUUUAAUAUUACGAUAAUGUUCUUAAUUGCUUAUUUAUUUACAUCCCAUAUGAAAAAAAAAAAGAGAACAAAAUUCAACUCAUACAAAAAUAAUAUUAUUAAAAUAAAUUUAACAAUGUAUACAUUUUAAAAUAAUUUCCAUAUGCAUAUAUGCUUGGUGAUGUUACAAACAAUUAGUAUGAAGAAAUUCAAUUUGCAGCCGAAGUACACAGUUGGUUUGGAAUAGCCUGUCGGGGCUUAGUUGAUUGUUUUUCAAGUAAUUUUUUUUUUCGGUUGACCAUAGAAUUUAAAUCUAGGAGAGAGAGAAGACAAAAGUAUCAAUUUAGAUUUUACCUACUCACUCAUUUUAAAGAAAUAUUUGGGGAAAAAGAAAAUAAUGCAGUUGCUUCCACUAGAAAAAUUAGUAAAAUAAAUGGUGAUACAGAAUGUGCCAAAAUAAAAACAGAUGCAACAUGAUGCAUAUAUUUACACAUAUAAGCAAAAAUGCUCAUCAAGGCUAUCAUAACAUGAAGCAAUUUUGCCAAUUGACAUAUAAAAUAAAAACAGAUGCAACAUGAUACAUAUAUUUACAAUUUUGAGGCGAACAAACAAUAUAUGUAUUACAAAAUAUAUAUACUGAAACCAUGUUUGCUCAGAAUGGUUGAAGGUAGGUGAAGCUCUCUCGUGUCAAAUUUUCUGAAUUAGAAAAUCUCGGGGUUUUUAAUUAAAUACCCUUUAAUAGUUUCAAAAUUAUUUAAAUACCCCCUUCUUUUUUUAUUUUCAUGGAUACCCUAACAAAUGUGAGCAAAGUCGGAAAUACCCUUAAUGAAUGCAUCAAAUUCACUCAAUGAAUUGUCUUCAUAUUUCUUUCCUCAUUUCUUUUACCCAAAUCUAUUUUUGCUGCCGAUUCUUUCAAAAUCUCUUAAAAUCUCUCAAAAUCUCUCAUAACUUCUUACACAAAUACAAUUAUGUAUUCAUUUCUUUAACACCCACUCUUUCUUUAAAGGUGCAUUGCUUAUUAAACAACCCAAUAAGGUAUGUUAAUGUUGUUGGGUUUUAAAUUUUUUAUUUUUAGGAAAAUUUAAAAAUUUUCCUCACAUUACAAUGUUUUAUUUUCACCAUUUUUUCUUAUACGUAGAAAUAUAUGCAAUGUAGGUUGUUUAAUUAUUUUUUUCAGCAAUAUAACUUAUUUAUGGUGAAAAUGUUUCGAGUCAUGCAUUCUUUUGAUACCGUGUACGUCAUAUAGUUAGUCAUGUAGGUCGUGUAAGUAAUAUAGUCGUGUAAGUCGUGUAGGUCAUGUAAGAAAUAUAGUCGUGUAGGUCAUGUAAGAAAUAUAGUCGUGUAGGUCAUGUAAGAAAUAUAGUCGUGUAAGUAGUGUAAGUAAUAUAGUCGUGUAGGUCAUGUAGGUCAUGUAGUUACUUGUAUAUGAAAUUUAAUAUUAUUGUUUUUAUUGUAUCAUCAGAUAUGAUUUUGGUACGUGUGCCUAUUCUCUUCAAUGGUGAAUGGAUUGAGCAAAAUAACGAGUAUAAGUUCAAAGGUUCAAAGGCUAAAGGGAUAAUGAUACCACGAUCGACAACAUAUGCCGAAUUGGUGGAGAAGAUAGCUGAAGUUAUUGAUAUAGAUACUUCGGAAUUUGAAAUCACAAUGAAGUUCAAACUUAAGACAUCUGAUCCUAUGCCACCAGUUACAAUUCAAACCAAUGAUGAUGUGGAAUUUUUUUAUAUUCCAAUUUAAUUUCACUUCUUUUUUUUAAUAAUUUUCGUUGACAUUUUCUACAUAGCAGCAAAUAUAAAUUCUUAGCACAAAUUAAGUCUUUAAAGAACUAAAUUAAUCUAAUGAUUAAUGGAAAAAUUCGUGUAAUUUUAAAGUCGCAAUUAAACAUAUUACAGCCAUUUAAAAAGUUUUUUUUUUUUUUUAUCUUCAAAGUGCUUUCUUCCUUUGGCUAAGCAUACAAGCAUACAUGAGGAAUGCCUGCAUAUAAUUAAUCCAUGAAAUCAAUUAAGAAAAAAAAAAUAUCAACUAUAGGAAAUUAAUGUAAUGUUAUACACAUAAGAACACCAUUCGCAGUGAUAAAAUAUUUCCACUCAUAACUAGACAUAUCAUGACUUACCAUGGCUUAUAAUUGGAAAUUAAGAAUCUCUCUAACUAAUGACAUUUCACAAGGUAAAGGUAUAUGCACCAUUCCAAUUUAUUGUGAGCCUUAUUAAACUAAAUGUAAUGUGUAGAUUCUAUUGACAAGAAACAAAAUGUGGAAUUGAAGGUCGUGUAAUUGUGUAAUACAAGAAGAUCGUGUAAUUGUAUAAUACAUGAAGGUCGUAUAAAUGUGUAAUACAUGAAGGUCGUGUAAUCGUGCAAUACAUGAAUGUCGUGUAAUCGUGCAAUACAUGAAGGUCGUGUAAUACAUAACCUUACACGACCAAAUCUUGUGUUACAUAACAAAAUUAUAAUCAGCACAAUUCAUUAAUUUUUCACAAUUUGCAUGCAGCAAAACAACUAGAAAUUUGUUUUCGAACAUGUUAUGAGAGACCUACAACUAAUUAAUCUAUUUUUUCAAUAUAAAACCCUAACUUUUUAUUUUUUUCCCUUGAAUAUUAACUAGAAAACUAAUUACAUGGAAUUACUUGUCUCAACUAGUUAUAUUCUGACAAUUUUGUAGUAAAUGAUCAACUCUCUCCGGCGAUUAUGUAGUGACGAACUAUGCUUCACUUUCUCAGUUGUGGCAGCUUCCCCUUCUCAGGCUUAGUUUGCUCGUGUUGAAGUUCGAUUUACCAUGUAUGGAGAAUGAAUGUUUGUUUCAGUAGAGGUGAUGCCAGUGAGGGAAUUGCAGAGGUGAUGCCGGUGAGGGAAUUGCAGUGUUUGUUUGUUUGAGUUUGAUAAUGGAGGGAAUUGCAACAGAUGAGUGUUUGUUUGCUUCACUAGAGAAGGGAGAGGUGCUGUCCGUUGAGUUGAAAUGUUUUAAAAUGAGGAUAGCUUAGUAAUUUUCUAUCAGUUUUUAAAGGAUAUCGAUAAAAAUUUUGGCAAAAACAGAUUUUAGGGUAUUGAGAUAAUUUUUGAAGUAUGGAGGUGUACCGGGCGCAAUUGGCACGAAAAUCUCAUGCAUGUGGAUGUGGGUCUCAUUUUAUUUGUUAUUUUUAAAUAUUAACAUUUAGAUCUUUUUAGUUGUGCAUUCAUUGCCAUACUAUUUUAGUAAACUAUAUUCAUUUUAUUGUAUUUUUUUAAGAAUUUUUUAAUUCGAAAUAAUUUUUUUAAUAUUGUUGAAAAAGACAGGUUAAAGUAAAAAAAUUAUUGACUAAAUAAAUAAAUAAAUGACAUUAUUUUAUUUUUUAACAUUAAAAAAAAACCAAUUUGUUGUAGUCCACUUAGGAUGUGUUUGAGAAUGAGGUGUUAUAUUUUAAGCUGCUAAAGUAAAAAUUAUAGCUGUGGAGUAAAAAUUAAAAAAAAAAUCUGUUAAACUACCAAAAUCCAACUACAAAUAUUACCAAACACCGUAAAACCCAAUUAACUCACCACAUUACCAAACGUACCAAACGGCCUUAGUCCUGCAACACUUGGAACGUUACCAAGCUUUUUAGAGCUGUACAUUUUGGACUCAGCUGUCCUUGUCAUUUCAAGUAAAAGUUGAAGCUGUCUCAAAAGUAAAAUAAUAACGUGCAUUUAAGUAACUGGCCUAAACUUCAGAAAUUUCAGAAGUUACAGUAUACGCAGGUCACAUCUAGGGCCAUUAUUAUUUAUUAGUUUAAUCAUUAAAUGACAAAAUUUUGCCAAUCUUGAGGGGGCUACUUAAAAAUGCAAGCAUCUCGUCCCUUGCCUGCUUCAUAGAUGCUCUUACUCACCCCCCCCCCCCCGUCAUCUCACUUGUGCAAACCAAAGAAAAAAGAAAGAUUAUUAUUUUCCAUUUAUUACACAAAAAACAAUAAUUCCUUUUUAUUGCUCCAUGUUUAUUAUUUUAUUCUAUUUCUCCAGAAUCUCUCUUUAUCAAUUAAAUUUAUGAUAUAGAUAUUGAAGAUUUGCUUCAAUCAGAAAACUUGUUCAUAUUUCUGGUCAAUAUAAUACAUCCCUUAAAAGGUAAAAAUAGGGAAAAAAAAAAACAAGAAUGAUGAUUUUUUUUUUUUUGGUUUUGACUGUUCUAGACAAUAAAGAAAUAUUUUGAAAGGGUCGGAGAUUACAAUGAAUCUAUACACUUGUGGAAAUUUUUUUAAGGCAUAAAUAAGUGCAACUUGAGAGCAUUUUGUUUUUUGUUCCACUAUAUAUUUUUAUACAACUGCCGCCUUAGAUUGGGUGCAUCACUUCAUUAUAUAAUCAAUAAAAAUUAAUUAUAUAAAUGGAAUCAUUCUCUAUUAUAAUUAUUCGACUUCAUGAAGUAACAACUGAUGUUUUUUACCACAUUGUCAAAAGAGUUCAACUUUUAUUUGAGAAUACACCAUAUAAAAGAACAAAUAAAAAUAAAACAAGAGUACAACAUAGAAAAGAAAAAAAUAAAACAAGUUUUAGAAUUAGUAGAUUAGAAUUGUUAUAAGAAAGAGUUGUCCCUAUAACUUCAAUAAGCUAGCCAUGUUUCUUAAACUUGUUUUACUAGCCUUACCAAACUUUUUCUAGUUGAUAUUCAAUUUUUUUUAAUUUUUUUUUUCUAGUCAAGCAUACUUAAUUGAACAGUCAAUUCAACAUGAAAACGAUUUGUCGCUUUACGAUCCUAAUUUUUAACCAGCCGUAAAUUUUAAUCUAUUAAAAAAAAUUAGUUGGUGGAAAUGUAAACAGAAGCAAGAAGGUUAGAAUUAAUAACUUUAUCAUGAAUAAUUAAUAUAAUUAGAAUUUAAUAAAACUAUAUGUAAAAGCUUAUUUCAAGAGCGAAAAUUUUAUUUUUUAUCAUUUUUUAGUGCUUAUAAUUAUAAUUUAAUCUAGAAGUAUUUUAAUUAUAAAAAAUAUUUUUAAAAAUAAGUUUGACGAAUAGUUUAGUGCUUAUAAUUAUUUUCUACUUAUAAUUAAGUUAAUAUUUAAUAGAAAGAACUAAAAUAAUAAAAGCAAAAACCUUUGCCCGGCAAUUCCUUGUUAUUUACAUUUUUGGCGCUGUCCUUGACAGAGGACUACACCGAGGAAUCUCAGGCCGCGGCACACGUGCGGCGGCUUCUCGACAUCGUCGCGUGCACCACACGGUUCGCCAAGUCCAGAAACUCCCGAUUGCCGCCAUCGUCAGAGUCAUGUGCCAAAAAGAACGGCAGUAGGCCCCACCAGCCUUCACCAAACUCUGCCGCUCUGUCUGAUGGAGCAGCAACAGCAGCAGCAGAUAACCGAAGCGGGCCCCGCGCCACGUCAUCGCCAGUUUCAUCGGCGGUUUCUCCGAGUCUGGACAUGGCGGCCAUUCACCCGACGCCGAAACUCUCCGAGUUUUAUGACUUCUUCUCUUUCUCUCACCUCACUCCCCCCGUCUUAAGUAAGCGUAAUGUUCAUUUAUUUAUUUGUCUUCGUUUCUUACAUGGUUGAUCAAAAAAAAAGAAAAAAAAAGAAAGAGGAAAAUGAUAUAAAUAUAUGUGAUUUAUUUGAAUAUGAAAUUUGUUUAUUGAUUUUAAUUUUUAAUAAUUUUGAUUUUGAAGAUUUGAGAAAAUGUGAACGCAAAGAAGGAGACAAGUGCGACGGUGAUUAUUUUGAAAUUCAGGUGCCAUUUAAUAUAAAGUUCUGAUUAUUGUUGUUUGUUGUUUAUGGACUAAUUAAUUGUAGAGUUAUUCAACUUGUUAUUUUUGCUGAUGAAUUGGCCAAUGAGUGUUAAAGAUUUAAUAAUCAUUGUCUGCUAAUUAAUAAGAAUGCAUGGAUUAUUUUCAUGUCUUUGUAAGUAAUGUGAGUAUUUGAAAGUGCGGGAAACUGUAUUUUGUGCUUACAGAUAAAAAUCUGCAAUGGAAAGCUUAUACAAGUAGUUGCAUCAGUAAAAGGGUUCUAUACUUUGGGAAAGCAGUUUUUCCAAAGCAACUCCCUGGUGGAUCUUCUGCAAAAUCUCAGUCGAGCUUUUGCCAAUGUGGGUACUCAAUAGUUGAAUCUACAGAUUAUUUUUUUCUUUUUUAUCUGAAUGCAUCUUUUUUUCCUCCGUAAAUUCAAUUAGCUUACCCAUCAAUUGUUUUGUUAAUAAUUAUGGUCAUUAUGCGUGAUGCAGGCAUAUGAAUCCCUAAUGAAAGCUUUUGUUGAACAUAAUAAGGUAACAAUUUCUGUGCUGACAUAGUUUAUUACCAAUUCAAAUGUGAUUUUAACUUGAUUUUACUGAUAUAGUAUAUUCAAUAUCCUUCUUCAGUUUGGUAAUCUUCCCUAUGGAUUUCGAGCUAAUACAUGGCUUGUACCUCCAUCUGUUGCUGAGUCUCCAUCAAAUUUCCCUUGCCUACCGGCAGAAGAUGAGAAUUGGGGUGGCAAUGGCGGAGGCCAGGGAAGAGAUGGAGAACAUGAUUUACGACCAUGGGCGACGGAAUUUGCUAUACUGGCUAGGCUUCCUUGCAAAACUGAAGAGGAGAGGGUGGUUAGAGAUCGGAAGGCCUUUUUGCUUCAUAACCAAUUUGUUGAUGUCUCAAUUUUUAAAGCUGUUGGAGCAAUACGCCGUCUCAUUGGUUCAAAUUUACACACUCAAGAUACAAUCAAUGUCCAAAAGGGGGCAAUCUUGCAUGAAGAUCGUGUGGGAGACUUGUCCAUUACAGUAAAACGUGAUACAGUAGAUGCAAGCUUGAUGUCUGAGGUUACUAUUAAAGGAAAUCAGUCAUCUGGUAUGUCUGCUGCAGAAGUUGCUCAAAAGAAUUUACUAAAAGGUGUUACUGCAGAUGAGAGUGUAGUUGUUCACGUAAGUCGAUUUCUCCUUUACUUUUUAUGCUUAUGUUCACAGAACACACAUAAAAGACAUUCAUCAAAGCCGAAAUUACUUGCGUGGGCGGAAUAAUAUAGCUCUACCUUUGUCAGGGAGUGAUUUUUCAGUCGGAUUAGGAUGUUUCCCUCUUUAUCUGAUAUCUGGCAUUUGAUGAUGGCCUAAAAUACCCAUCCUCUUCACUCUCUCUUUCUACACAUUUAUGAAUGCACAAGAAAGUCAAUUUUAGGUUCUUUCGUGAGAAUCACUACUCAUUACUAACCUUAUAUAUCUGGUUUAGCUUCAUGAAUCUUAUGUUGCCUUUCUGUUUGGUGACUCCCUAUUCUGUUGAAAUCACUUGAUAGCAGGUCUUUCUACUGAUUUUAUCCAUAUCCCUCUGAUUUUCUGCUCGUAGUUUGAUCCAGCUUAAUGUCUUGGGGAAGCCUAUUAACCUUGGUUGGGCAUGCUUGUAUUAUAUCAACUAGUGGUGCAAUUGCUAAAGUUUUCAGCAUGGUAGAUCUUGAAAUAUCCAGAUUUAUUUUUGUCAAAAUAUCUAGAUUUAUCUUCCUUUUCUUUUUCCCUUUCUUUUAUUUUAGUUUCAAAGAUUUUGUGAUAAAGAGAACUGAAACAAUAUAGUUUUUGGCAGGAUACCUCCUCAUUGGGUACUGUCAUUGUAAGACACUGUGGAUACACCGCUGUAGUAAAGGUUGUUGGUGAUGUGAAGGAGAAGUUUGGCACACAAGAUAUUGAAAUUGAAGAUCAACCUGAUGGAGGAGCUAAUUCUCUUAAUAUUAACAGGUUUGAAAUUGUAACACAAUGCUUCCUCUGUCGAUUCGUCUUAGCACACAAAGACUAGGAAAUCUACAGAUGGAGAAUGGCUGUAAGAUAUGAAAAAUUAUCUUUCAACCACUAACAUUUUUAAGCUAUUCUGCAAGAUAUCUUAGACAUACUAACUGGUAUGAGCUUCUUUGCUUAGUGUCUAUCACAGUUGAAUUCAUGAUGCAGAGCAUUGUUAUUCUCUUUAUUUUUACCAGAUAGAACAGGAUUGAAAUGGUGGUGUUGGGGAUUCUUAAGGAUAGCACCUGCUCCUUUUUCUUUCUGUUUAGAUGGGAUCUAAUCAGUAGAUGUCUGAACUCUUAAGGGGAGUUGAUGUCAGAUUUCUAAACCAGGUUUUCUUCAAGUGUUAAGUUUAUGAAUAGGCCAAAGAAAAGAAAGCUGAUAUCUAGUUAGGGAUAUAUACUCCUCUUUCAGUAUCCUGUGGACCAGAAAAUGGCUUUUCCUAUAUUAAAAUAUGUGUGAGAUCCUUCACUGUAUGGGGAUGCUUCACCUCUGCAUAGUUGUAGACCACCUAAAUAAUAACGAGUGGUUGCAGGAAACAUUAAGUCAUGGCUUUCACAAUAAUGGUUGAGUGUUUAUAGUUAUGUGCCCUGACAUUGGUUUGUAAUUGUUAUAUUAACAAAAUAACCAACAGACAUCGUUGACGAUGUUCAAAUAAAGGAUAAAGGAAAGUAUAAUUACAGUGCAUGCUCAGUUGCUGAAAUAGGUCAUCAGCUUUUUAGAUUGUGCUAUUUCAGAAAGUAUUUAGGCCUUCUUUGGUGGAUUCUGCCUUUGUUUCAUAUACUCUUAUGUCUUUCUCCAUUUAAGUUGUUCUGACAGGGUAAACUAUUUAUUGCAGCUUAAGGCUUGUGCUUCAAAAGUCUUUCAGUGCUGAAUCAGCUAGAGGAGACCAGUCAACUCUGUGCAAUUUGGAUAAUUCAGAAGCUUUUAGAAGUCUUGUAAGAAGAGUUUUUAAACAGAGUUUAGCAAAGUUAGAGCUGGAGCCAACUGCUUCAGAAAGAUCUAUUAGAUGGGAACUUGGUUCUUGUUGGGUGCAGCAUCUACAAAAGCACGAAACUCCAACAGAUACCAAGUCAACGAGGUCUGGGGAUGAUAUUAAGACUGAACAUGCUGUCAAAGGUCUUGGGAAGCAAUUUAAAUUUUUGAAGAAGAGGGAGAACAUACCUAACCUUGUUGGUAGCAUUAAUGAGGCUAACGAAAAUGACAAUGGACCAGCAUGAAUAUGGGAGGUAAUGGUAGACAGCAAAGCAAUGGCGAGCUGAAUUGUGAGAUGGAAUUGAAAACACUAAUUUCUGAAGAAUCCUUCUUGCGAUUGAAAGAAACUGGCACUGGUCUUCAUUCAAAGG
RNAcentral lists this long non-coding RNA (123228 nucleotides) under Citrus x clementina. RNAcentral describes it as "Citrus clementina (C. clementina) long non-coding RNA (CCLE_LNC001459)". The record is from RNAcentral. Lineage: Eukaryota; Viridiplantae; Streptophyta; Magnoliopsida; Sapindales; Rutaceae.